GUGCCACCCGGUCAAGUCUAGGUCUAGCCGCCGCUCCCCUCCCCACCCCCAGGGGAUUUAUCCUCUCUUCCUCUCCAGUCUCCUCCUCCAUCUCCAUGCUCUUCCUGCCUCGGAGUCGGAGACCCUUUACAAUAAUUACUUACUUGGAGCAUCUCUAGCAGACCCUUGACAACCGGGCCUGGAUCUGGAUCCGGAUCCAUCUCUUCUCCCCUCCCCCGCGCCGGAUCGCGCAUCGGCUUGGAGGCCCCUCGGGGCUGCCGCCGGUGCGGGAGGCGUCCGCGGCCGUGCGAGCUGGGAACAGAGCGGCGGGUUUCGAUCGAGGGCUUUCUCGGGCCGGCGCGGGAUCUGAGCCGCCGUCCAUGGAUUUCUCGCAGCUUGGGUUUGGUACUAUCCCCACCUCUCUCUCUCUCCCUCCCUCGGCGUUGACGCGCGCGCACCUAAACCGGAUCAGGCGAGCGCUCGUUGCCUGAUCGCUCAACCAUCGUCCCUGGUCGGCUGACGCCAGGUAUGAGCAGCUCCUGAGCCUGGUCGCUCGAUGCGUGCACGCACGCAUGUAUGCAUAUAUAUACUCCCUCUGUAAAGAAAUAUCAUGGUCAUGUUGCUUGGUGUGGAAUUGUGGCUGAAACAAUCAUGUCUUGGGCAAUCAAGACAGCCGUGGUGGUGGGUACUAAAUAAGAGCGUCUACGACCGGACUUAUUGACCCAUCAUUUGUACCGCCCUCUCAGUUCCCCGUCAGCUACGGUGCCGCCAGCCAUCGACAUUCCAUUGCCUGGGAUCCGGUUGUGGCGUGGGCUGGGAGCCGUACGGUGUUGUUGUCUGAUGUGUGCUGGAGGGUUUGGUCGGUCGAGGCCAGGUAUGAGCAGCUCCUGAGACUGAUGGAUGGAUGAUGUAUGCAUGCAUGAUACUAUGGUCAUGCUGGGACCGGAUUCACUGUUUUGACCCUAUUUGGAGAAGUUCAGCACAAAAUGAACCAUGUUGGAAGCUUAUCUGGGGCGAUGAUGAUGAAACAUGGCUGACAUAAACUUGUCUUCGGGCACCAAAAACACACUCCCCCUUCUUUUGAAACCUUUUCAUUCUCACAGAAUAUUGACGGCUCUGUCUUGGAUGGUCAUUCUGUUGAGUGAUAACCAGAGGAGCUCGACUACAAUUUUGGGGGCUGAUCUGGUGAAAGAAGAUGGUGGAGCUAGGUUGUAUGAUCUAUCAAAGGCGAAUCUGAGCCCUCUCAAAUCUCAAUGCAACUAAUAUUGUGGCCUCUACACUUUUAUUUACUUCUAUCACCUCUUUAUGUUUAAAAGUGAUGAAUUGUCGUGGUUGUGGCAUUUGCUAUCUCAUUAGGAGCAGCUGCUCACAAAUCACCUCUCGUGGUGUUUGGUUUGCUUUCUCAUGAUUUUGUUUUCCAUGGUGGGAACCACUUCGGUGCAUUCGGGCUUUUUCUUUUCGGUUUUACUUUUCCUUGAAUGGUUGUGAUAAUUCUACUGUCCCUUGGAUAGCUUUUGAGAUUAUCUUAUUGGGUUGGGGGUCAGUUUGCUUGUUUGAAUUGCUAUUUGGCUUUUGAUAUUGUCAUCCUUCUAUACGCUUUAUGUACUUAUUAUCAGUUUGCACUUUUGGCACUCCCCACUUCUUUACUGGUUUCAACUUAAGGGUCGAUGGAUUUUGGCAGCUUGGCUGCAUGUUGCUUCGGAUUCGGUACUGUCACCAUCUUCCUCUGCCCCCCCCCCCCCCCCCCCCCCCCCNNNNNNNNNNNNNNNNNNNNNNNNNNNNNNNNNNNNNNNNNNNNNNNNNNNNNNNNNNNNNNNNNNNNNNNNNNNNNNNNNNNNNNNNNNNNNNNNNNNNNNNNNNNNNNNNNNNNNNNNNNNNNNNNCCGAAACCCUGAACCGAAUCAUCAGAGCUCUUGUUGCCGCAUCACCGACCCAUCGUCCGGGUGGGUGCCGCGUCAGUCCCUCAGGCUCUACGGUGCCGCCAAUCCAUUGGCUUGGAUUCAGUUGUGCCAUGGGCUGGGAACCGUACAGUGAUGUCUGAUCGGUCGUCCGUGCGGGAGGUUUGGUCGGUCGAGGCCAGGUAUGAGUAGCUCUUGAGCAGGAUGGAUGCAGAGGGCGAUGAUGAUGAUGACGACGAGUGUGGCUGAAAUAAAGGUGUCUAGACAACCUAUAGCCAGCAGUCGGCUAUACUAUUAACCAUGCUCUAAAUAGAAUCGGUGAACGCAUUAGAGUUGCUCUUAGAGCCCACCCUUACUUCUCUUGCAGCCUGUUCAAUUCAUCGCUGAUGCUGGAUGUUCUGUGGCUCGGACGGUCAUCCUGAUGAGUGAUAACCAGGGCAGUUCUCCUCUACACUGAUGGGUAGAUUUUGCAGCAAGAGAUGUGGUUGGGUUUCAAGAUGAAAUGCAAAACUGAGCCAUCUUCUUUUGCUUAUCCUCUCUCUCUCAAACCCUAAACCAAAUCAGUUGAGUUCUCAUUGCCGACUCGUUGACCAAUCGUCUGUGUGGUUGGUGUGUCAGUUCCACACCGCUACGGCGCCGCCACCGCUAUCCCAUUGGCUUCGAUUCGGGUGCGGCGUGGGCUGGGAACCGUACGGUGUUGUCUGAUGCGUCGUCUGAGCAGGAGGGUUGGUCUGUCGAGGCCAGGUAUGAGCAGCUCCUGAGAUGGUGGACGGAUGGAUGUAUGCAUGCAUGUAUGUAUGUAUAUCAUGGUCAUGUUGCUUGUGGUUCGGUGUCCUUUUUGGAAAAAACUGAGGGGCGAUGAUGAUGCCUGUGGCUGAAAUAAUUAUGUCUUGAGCAAUCAGGACAUCUGUGGUGCGUGGGUACUAAAUAGGGCCUGAACGGGUGCUUGCGUUGGAGAUGCCCUUAAGGGCCCUCCCUUGGCUCUCUUGCAGCCUGUUCAAUUCAUUACCAAUUUUGGAUGUUCUGCGCCGCGGACGGUCAUUCUGUUGAGUGAUAACCAGAUCAGUUCUCUUGCAUCAAGAUGGGUAGAUUAUGCAGCAAGAGAUGCGGAGUGUUGGGCUUCAAGAUGAAACACAAAACUGAGCCCUCUUUUGAUAUGCUACAAAUACUAAAGUAGUGAUCUAAACGCUCUUAUAUUUCUUUACGGAGGGAGUAUUUGUGAACAUAGGGAGUAUCUAUCUAUCAGGGGCGAUGAUGAUCAAACAUGGCUGAUAUAAACCUGUCUUCGAUUAUUCAAGAAGCUGUGGGUAUCAAAAACCAUCUCUCCCCUCUUUUGGGACCUUUUCAUUCUCACCAAAUAUUGAUGGCUCUGUCUUGGAUGGUCAUUCUGUUAAGUAAUAACCAGCAGAGCUUGACUUCAAUGUUGGGGGUUGAUCUGGUGAAAGAAGAUGGGGCUAGUGUGAUCUAUCAAAGGCGAAUCUGAGCCCUCCUACAUCCGAUUCAUAAAAAAGUUGGAACAUCUUAUAUUUGUGAACUGAGGGGAGUAUCUAUCUAUCUAUCUAUCUAUGAGGGGCAAUGAUGAUCAAACAUGGCUGACAUAAACCUGUCUUUGAUUAUUUGAGGAGCUUUGGGUAUAAAAAACCCUCUCUCCCCUCUUUUGGGACCUUUUCAUUCUCAACGAAUAUUGACGGCUCUGUCUUGGAGGGUCAUUCUGUUGAGUGAUAACCAGCAGAGCUUGACUUCAAUGGUGGGGAAUGAUCUGAUGAAAGAAGAUGGUGGGGAUAGUAUGAUCUAUCAAAGGCAAAUCUGAGCCCUCCUACAUCCGGUUCAUAAAAAAGUUAGAACAUCUUAUAUUUGUAAAUAGAGGGAGUAUCUAUCUAUCUAUCUAUCAGGGGCGAUGACGAUCAAACAUGGCUGACAUAAACCUGUUUUUGAUUAUUUAAGGAGCUGUCGGUAUCAAACACCUGCUCUCCUCCCCUCUUUUGGGACCUUUUCACUCUCACCGAAUAUUGACGGCUGUCUUGGAUGGUCAUUCUGUUGAGUGAUAACCAGCAGAGCUUGACUUCAAUGGUGGGGGAUGAUCUGGUGAAAGAAGAUGGUGGGGCUAGUAUGAUCUAUCAAAGGCGAAUCUGAGCCCUCUCAAUGCAACUUAUAUUGUGCGUAAAAAGUUAGUAUGUUUAAUAAAGGUAAUAAAUUGUUGUGGUGUUUGGUUUGCCUUCUCAUGAUUUUGUGGUUCAUGGAGGGAACCAGUUUGGUGCUUUCAGGCUUUGCUCAAGCUCGUCUCGUUGUGGUGGUCCUUGUACCGGUAGUGUUUGAAUGUGUUUACUCCCUUCUUUUCGUGGGGUUAAAUGUGUGAAGCAUGGUCAGCAAAUGUUUGCCCUCUUUUCCUGUCUAUGCAUGUCCUCUUUUUCGUCCCCUUAUUUUUUUACUGGUUCUUAUGGCAGUGAUGUAAAUUCAAGUCGGCAAGUUGUCAACAUUUUUUCUACUGUUUUAGCAUAGCACAGCAACUGCUAAUUGGCCUUUAAGAAUACAAUUUGGCCGGUUUGCUUUUUGCUGAUGACCAUUCUAAUGCUUAUACAAGCCAAUGCGUGGAAAACCACAAAAAUCUUGUGUUGCGAAAAUACCACUUCUAUCUUUUCCUUUUUGAGAAUUUGUCUUUCUUGCCAAGCUUGUAUCCAUGUAUACAUAAAAGAUAUGUUGAGAGUUUGGUUUUGGUUUUAGUUCUUUUGGUAUGCAAAGGACUGUUUUGCAAGUUAACGUUUUGGAUGCCGCCUGUGCGGGAGGCGUCCGCGGCGGCGCGGGCUGGGGAACGAGCGGCGGGGCCCAUGCUGCGCUCCGGUCGAGGGCUUGGUCGGGCCGGCGCGGGAUCUGAGCUGCCGUCGAUGGAUUUCUGGCAGCUUGGCUGCAUGUAGCUUUGGAUUCGGUAACAUCCCCAUCUCUCCGUCUCUGACCCCCCCCCCCCCCCNNNNNNNNNNNNNNNNNNNNNNNNNNNNNNNNNNNNNNNNNNNNNNNNNNNNNNNNNNNNNNNNNNNNNNNNNNNNNNNNNNNNNNNNNNNNNNNNNNNNNNNNNNNNNNNNNNNNNNNNNNNNNNNNNNNNNNNNNNCUGACCCAUUGUCCCGAGAUGGCCCCUGCGUCAGUUCCACACCGCUACGGCGCCGCCAGCCACCGCCGUUCCAUUCCCUUGGGUUCAGUUGUGGCGUGGGCUGGAGCCGUACUCUGUUGUCUGAUGCGUCGUUGGAGCGGGAGGUUUGGUCGGUCGACGCCAGGUAUGAGCAGCUCCUGAGCAGGAUGGAUGGAUGAAUGCAUCCAUGUGUCGUGAACUAAAAUCACGACACUUAUUUGGAACGGAGGGAGUAGUAUGUAUGGAUGUCAUGGUCAUGUUGCUUGGUGUGCAGUGCCCGGCCGGGGGAUUGAACCCCCUUUUCGAAAAAUGAAAAUAAUGAGGGGCAAUGAUGAUCAUGACGAUGACUGAAAUAAUCAUGCCUUGAGCAAUCAAGACAGCCGUGGUGUGGUGGUACUAAACAGAGCUGAAAAAAAAACGGUGUCUGGGUUGGAGUUGCCCUUAGAGCCCACCCUUACCUCUCUUGCAGCAUGUCCAAUUCAUCGCUGAUGUUGGAUGCUUUGUGCCUCGGAUGGUCAUUCUGUUGAGUGAUAACCAUGGUAGUUCUCUUACAUCGUGAUGGGUAGAUUAUGAAGCAAGAGAUGUGAGGGUUGGGCUUGAAGAUGGAAAGACAAAAACCGAGCAUCUUUUGCUAUAUAUCUCUCUCAAAUCCUAAACUAAAUCAGUUGAGCUCUCAUUGCUGACUCGCUGGAUCUGGGCCGCCAUCGAUGCAUUUCUCGCAGCUUGGCUGCAUGUUGCUUUGUAUUCGGUACUAUCCCCAUCUCUCUCUCUCUUUCUUUCUCUCUCUCAGACGCUCACACACACUUGCUCUAGUAAAGCCUAACCCUCAACCGAAUCAGGCGAGCUCUCGUUGCCGGAUCUCUGACCAUCGUCCCGGUGGCCGCUGCACACCACUACGACGCCGCCAGCCACCACUGUUCCAUUGCCUUGGAUUCGGUUGUGGCGUGAGCUGGAACCGUGCUCUGUUGUCUGAUGCGUCGUUCGAGCGGGGGGUUUGGUUGUUCGAUCAACUUAUGAAAAAGGGUCAAAACACGAAAUUUAGCCUUUGGGUUGUGGCCGCGUCACUUCACUGCUGUGGUGCUGCCAGCCUCUGCCGUUCCAUUGCCUUGGAUUUGGCUGUGGCGUGGGCUGGGAACCGUGCGGUGUUGUCUGGUGCGUCGUCAGGUUUGGUCGGUCCAGGCGAGGCAUGUGUAGCUCCUGAGGCUGAUGGGGAUGGAUGGACAUGUGCACGCAUGUACUUCCUCCGUUCCUAAAUAUAAGUCUUUCUAGAGGUCUCAAUAUGAACUACAUACGGACAUGUGCUCGCAUGUACUUCCUUCGUUCGUAAAUAUAAGUCUUUUUAGAGAUCCCAAUAUGGACUACAUACGGAGCAAAAUGAGUGAAUCUACACUAUAAAUCAUGUCUAUAUACACCCGUAUGUAGUACGUAUUGAAAUCUCUAAAAAGACUUAUAUUUAGAAACGGAGGGAGUAUGAUCUAAAUGCUCUUAUAUUUCUGUACAGAGGGAGUAUGUAUGUAUGUAUGUAUGUAUGUAUGUAUGUAUGUAUGUAUGUAUAUCAGGGUCAUGUUGUGCCUGGUGGGCAAAGACCGGUGGUACAACCUCCUUUUCGGUAAAAAAUGAAGGGCGAUGAUGAUGACUGUGGCUGAAAUAAGCAUGUCUUGAGCAAUCAAGAUAGCUGUGGCCUGUGUGUACUAAAUUAGAGCCCACCCUUUCCUCCCUUGCAGCCUGUCCAAUUCAUCGGUAACGUUGGAUGUUCUGCACCUUGGACGGUCAUUCUGAUGAGUGACAACCAGGGCAGUUUUCUUACAUUUUGAUGGGUAGAUUAUGCAGCAAGAGAUGUGAGUGUUGGGUUUGAAGAUGAAAUGCAAAACUGAGCCNNNNNNNNNNUUUGCUUAUGAUCCUUGUAUCCCCUCUCUCUCUCCCUAAAACAAAUCAGUCAAGUUCUCAUUGCCGGCUUGCUGGCCCAUCGUCUCUGUGGCUGCCAUGUCAGUUCCCUGUCUUUACGGUGCUGCCAGCCGCAACCAGUCCAUUGCCUUGGAUUCGUUGUGGUGUGGCUGGGAACCGUAAGGCGUCGUCUGAUGCGUCGUCCACACUGGGAGGUUUGGUCGGUUGAGGCCAGGUAUGAGCAACUCCUGAGACUGUCUAAGUUACUCACCACUAUGGCCAGCCUGAUGGAUGGAUGGAUGGAUGGAUGGAUGGAUGGACGGACGCAUGCAUGCAUGUAUGUAGGGAUAGUAUGGUCAUGUUGCUUGGGGUUUGACCUCCUUUUCAAAAAAAAAAAAGGGGCGAUGAUGAUGCCUGUGGCUGGAAUAAUUAUGUGUUGAGCAAUCAAGACAGCUGUGGCGUGUGGGUACUAAAUAGGCCCCGAAUGGGGCCGGAGUUGGAGAUGCCCUUAAGAGCUCACCCUUACGUUUCUUGCAGCCUGUUCAAUUCAUGGCUAAUGUUGGAUGUUCUGCGCCUCGGAUGGUCAUUCUGAUGAUUGAUAACCAGGGCAGGUCUCUUACAUCGCGAUGUGUAGGUUAUGCAGCAAGAGACGUGAGUAUUGGGCUUGAAGAUGAAAGGCAAAACUGAGCCCUCUUUUGCUACGCUACAAAUACUUAGUUUUUCCUUCUCUACUAUACAUUGUUUUUUAUUUUCUGUUCCUCUCUAUUGUGUUGAUGUGAGAUCUCGAUCUGGAUUGCUAUCUUCUCUUGGUGACGAACCCAACCACCCUGGGUUACUUGGUUUGGUUCCUAGUUGGCGUUGUUUUUGCCUUUAAAGUUGUACAUAUACAUACUAUGUGUCAAACGAUUCUCCUUUUUUCCUCCAAUGCUUGUAGCUAUUGGCAGUUCUAUUCAUGUGGUUAACGAGAAGCUGUUCUCUUGCUUGUCUUGUCCUGCCAGAUGCUUCUUCAAAGACCAAGUUCUGAUCCGUUAUGUCUGUGUUUUUAUAAACUGAAGCUCAAAUUACCUUCGUAUUUGGUUUGGUCAGAGCAGACCUUUUGUUAUGAUUCUCUAUGCUAUUUAGUUCAUUGGUGAUUAGUCUAUUUUCAGCUGCUGCUGUCAAUAUUAACUGUCACAUUUUCGAUGCAUGCGUGUUACAGAUCCCUUGAACGGAUUCGAAAUGAGUGUCAAGUAAAGUUAUCAAAUGCAAAAGUGUAUUUGUUAAAAAGGCUCUUAUAUUUAACUGAAUGUCCUCCUGGAGCUUCCGCUUAGGUCAUUCAUGAUUUAUAUGUUGGGGGCUCGCCCCCUUCUCAUUAUAUAUUUUAAAAUUAAUUUAUUCAGUAUUCUUGCUUUGGUUUUGUUUUCAUUUUGCCAGAGGUUAGACUGACCGGUGUUCAGUUUCAUGGUGGAAUUGCCCACUAUCCAAUGUCACAUGCCUGACUAUUUAGCAUUAGAACCCCAUUUUUCAUGGGAUAAACGGGUGAGCUGCAUUUCCUGCUUUCUGUUUGUAUUAUAUGCAUCCCUUUUUGCAAGCUUAUGCUUUUCUUCUGUUUCAAAACGGAAAGUUUAUGUCAUCCUGUUUUUAUUUGGCUUGUAGUGACUCAACCAAGCCUUUAGUCUCAACACAUGGAUUGCUAGCUUCUACGCACCUCUGUCCAUGGCUAGUUCUUUGGUGAUAUUCCAUGUCCUCCUUUACUAUCCCACCCCUGUCCAUGGCUAGUUCUUUGGUCAUAUUACAUGUCCUCCUGUAUUAUCACUAUUAAAUUUUUACUGGUUCUUUUGGUAGUGAUGUACAUUCAAGUCGGCAAAUUGUGAACUUCUUUUCUACUGUUUUGGUCCAGCACAGCAACUGCUAACUGGCCUCAAGGAAUACAAUUUGCAUGGUUUGCUUUCUGCUGAUGACCAUUUUAAUGUGUAUAGAAGCCAAUACGUUGAAAAACACAAUGUUGUCAUAAGCCUGUAUCUACCUCCUGUUGCAAAAAUACCAUGGCUACCUUUUAUAAAUUGGCCAACUCUGAGCCUCCCGCCUAAUAAAGUUCUGAGUAAAAUUGAGUGUUUCCUUCCCAAAAUUUGAACUGAUCUUUUCCUUUUUGGUAAUUUGUUGUUCUUGCUUGCUUGCAUCCAUGUAUACAUAAAAGAUAUGUUGAGAGUUCGGUUAUGAUAUUAGUUCUUUCGGUAAAAUCAUGGGCUGGUGGAUGCAAAAGUAGUUUUGCAAGUUUAUAUUUUCGCCUUUUUUCCUACACAUUUUGUUGGUUUUGCAGUAUGUCAACCGGUUCUGUUGUUUUAGGAACAGUACUCCAGGCUCACUUAAUUCUUGUCUCUCUCUUUUUUUUUUUUCCUUUUUUGUUCUUCCUUUUUCUUGAAUGGCUAUGAUAAUUCUGCUGUGCCUUGGAUGGUAAUCUUAUUUGGUGCUGGGUCAGUUUGCUUGUUUCAAUUGCUAUUUGACUUGAUAAUUUUGUUCUUCUAUUGUACUCUUUAUUAUCUACUUAUCAGUUUGUAGUUUUGGUUUCUCUUUAGGCCGCGCUUGGGAUGGUUGUAUUUCAAUACGGGGGUAUUUAGUUUACACUUGUAUUUUACUGGCUGCUGAGGCCGUGUUUGAGUUGUCGUUUUCUUUCCAAAUACGUCUGUAAACAAUACAGAUCUCCAUCCGUCGUUUCGCUUCCAGCCGGGAAUCUCUAUUAGCUCGGUAAAUCACACCUGUAAAUUAAAUACAUUUGUAUCUAAAUACACCCAUUCCAAGCGGGGCCUGAACAAUUUCUGGCUGAAAACAAAACGAUGGCCCGAGGUCCGUAUUUUUUACACGUGUAUUUGAAACGGAAACCUGUACUUCUUUACUGGUUUCAACUUAAGGGUCGCAUAUAGCAAGUUCAGCUGUCAAAAUUACUGUCUUCUUUGUGUCACAUUCCUGAAUGGCUGUGAUGAUAUAACCUCCCUAUGAGAGCUAUCUAACACCUGAAUUGAUUUACUUGGUGCUAAACUAGGAUGGCUUGUGUCAAGCAAGUAACCAGUUUAGCGGCUAACUCCCUCAGUUCAUUGGAUUUUUCAGUAUGGACUACGCACGGACUGAAAGGAGUGACUAAACACACUAAAAAUAUACACCCGAUUAAGAAAAAAGUUAGAACAUCUUAUAUUUCUGAAUGGAAGGAGUACUGUUAAACGUUGGAAUUAAGAAUCCACUUAACAGUGUGUAGAGACGGACAAUGGAGAUUACAUGAUCCUUCUACUUAUGGUGGCAAGAUGGCGUUAUAUUUGAGCCAUUUACUUAUACAUGUCCCAGUUUUAUGUGUCCACCAGUUCAUGGUUUGCUCCUGGUAUUGUUUCUUUCUGCAAUCACUGAUUCUCCUAUGAUUUCUUGUCAUCUUGUGCUCUUUGACUAUUGGCUUCUUUGUAAUUCUCUUUGUGGUAUUUGCGCCAAAGUGCUGUUGAUGGCGAUAAUGAGUAAUGUUCAUUCAGAGGUGUAUUUAGAUCAGAUAUCAUCACUUGUUUAUAUGGUAUGUUUUAGGGUUAGGGUUUUGUGUGACUAGGUGGAAGUGUGCAAAUCGGGACGGCUUGCUUUCUCAUUUGAAUGCUGAAAUGUCACACAGGGAUGUAAGGGCAUCUGCAAUGCGGAUCAAUGCGGAUCACCAGGGGUGUAAGGGCAUCUGCAAAGCGGAUCACCAAGUGUAUCGGAUACAGAGUGGGUUCUGCCCAUAUGAGAGCCUCCUUUUUUUUUAAAUAAAUACGACCUCUACUUUUGAAUAUUAUUGGUUUUGAUUCUUCUCAAUCUAUUAAUGAUUUAUAGCAGUAUUGGGAUCUCAUUGUAAUAUACUCCCUUCGUAAAGAAAUAUAAGAGCGUUUAGAUCACUAAGUAAUCUACGACACUUACAAGAUAUGCUCAUUGCAAACUGGAUUUUGUUCUAUUUUACACUUGCAUACUCAGAAUGCGUUGAAUUACUCAUGCAUCAAGAGGUUGUACUUUAUUUGAAUAAAAAGCAAUCCUAUGUGCUGAGGGCCCUGGGAAGCGGCAGAGGGCGUAUUUUGCUUUGCGAGAACUACAGGUGUUCCUGGGUUUGCGCAUGUUCAUAUUCUCGACUAUUUUCUCACCAUAUACAUGUUCAGUGUUGCUGUACGUACACAUAGAUAAUGCCCGUUGCUAUACAUACACAUCUAUAAUGCCAACAUACGCAUAUAUAAUGCCCAGUACAUAACUAUCUGUACGUGAGAUUUUCAUUAUUCAUUACUUGGAGGCAUGGUGUUGAUAAUCUAAAUAUUGAGCUUCCUCAUACAGUAUGUCUCAUCAUACAGUUUCAUCUGGGUUCUGAAGUUGCGCCUCAUACGUACCGGGCAGUUGGAAUACACAGCACCGCCUGCAAAGGUUCCAACUCCUCUUGUGAAGCUAACCAUUUGGCCCUUCCGAAAAGAAAUCUGACUCUGUCCGAAAUCCUGACCAUGUGGUAUAUGGAGAUGAUUUCUGACACCCGAAGAAGAAUUGAAUAUCCUAAUCCAAGAGAAAAAUUGCCUCUGUUCUCAACAAGUGCAGGUGCCAAAGGAUCAUAUUUCAAUCGCUCCACGCAUCCUAAGUUCUUUCAGAAUAGUCCAUACGAUAGCCCUUGCACCUCGCCCUCUCCUUAGUUCUGAACUCAAGAACAAGCAAUAUGUUACUCUCGAGUACUAUAUGAAAGCCGAAAGAUAUUAUCUCAUGAAUUUCCAAAUAUCACCGCUACGCGAGAGAUUGGCUGUUACGCAAAAUUGCUUCAAGAGCUGGAUGAUUUUUGCCCCACCAAAGUGUUUGCAUUUGAGCAUCCCUUGAACCGCGAAACUGCAGAGAUUGGCUGUUACGCAAAAUUGCUUCAAGAGCUGGAUGAUUUCUGCCCCACCAAAGUGUUUGCAUUUGAGCAUCCCUUGAACCGCGAAACUGCUCUCCAGUUUUAUGCCACUCUGUACAUUUUUCAAGAAGAGGAUGACAACUCCAAGUGGAUCAUGGAAUGGAUGACCUAAGAAAAACGCAUCAAGUGCACAUCAACUGACUUCGUGUCACACUUUCAUUUUCCUCGUUUUGAGCAUGUCAAACAAAAUAUUCGGGUCCAUAAAUUGAUGUCAUCACUGAUGAAGAGUUUCGAUGCACCAGAGUUGCAGAAAAGAUUCAGGACUACUAUGGUUCUUCUUGUCCCGAACACCUAUUUUUUUAUCAUGCCAUGAAGACUGUCUAUGUUGCCAAGGCCACUCACAAGUGUUUCGUUCCUCCUGUGCGCGAUACACUACAAGUUAUGGAAGAUUUUACCUCGGGAAAAUCUCCUGCCCCAAUCCAAGAUGACAAUCCAAGAUUGUCAUCGCCAAUUUGUUGGCCCUCGUCUACCUCAACUCGGAAGGAUUGCUUCCCCUCUGCCGCCUUCUCAACUUGAAGUUAGCUUGCACACUCAGCAAGUUCUCGUGAAACAUAUUGAGGAAGAUUACUCCGAGAAAGAACACUUAGUCACACAGCUCAAUUUCAUCAACAACCUCACUCGUGUGAUGCACUUAAUCGCUCAUGAGAAUAAGAAGAGGCUUUGUAAAUUUCUUUGCAAAUUCUUCAUCAAAAAGCAACUCAUGAAUGCGAACCUUCAAGAGCUUUGUGAUUAUAUUGACAAGGGUUUCUCUAUCAAAGAUUUCCAAGAUCAAAGUGUUCCAUCUCUACCUGCUCGUGAACCUACAACUCAUCUUCUUCAUCCUAAGAUUUACAAGCCGCUCGAAGAAUAAAAGGCCAUGUCUCCUACUGUGAAACCAUCUGAAGGCCAAGCUCUCACUCGUAUUCCGCCUGAAGUUGAUCCACUUGUGCCUAGCUCCUCUACUCAGCACGCAGAAAAUCCUCGAGAAGAACCCACUUCCGUCGACACCCAAGAAGCUCCUACAAUGCGAGUCACAUCUGUAGAUGAAGGAUCUUCAGCCAGCUCUUCUAUAAAUUCCUCAGAGUAGUCUUCAUUGAGCGCUUCAUGCCUCAUGUUAUUCGUCACCUUUUUGACACUCGUUGACAAAAGAGGAGAAUUACAUCAAGUUUCUGAUAGAUUUAUCUUUUGGCGUUCAUCUAGAUUUGUUUUCCCUUGAGUUUGCAACUGUCCUUCAAUGUUUGUAUACUGUGUUGCUCUCUUUGGACAUUGUCAAUCAAAAAUGGACAUCCAAAUGAGUACCCAUCUCGUCUUGAACAGUCCAUGGUUUUAGAACAUUUGCCCCAUUGAAUCAUUGAGACCAGCCAUGCGAUGUCUUUCACCGACCACAUUAUAGCUCCUACGCGAAGUGGUUCUACUCAAAGUAGAAUGGACGCACUACACCACGACACUGCAUUUCCAACAAACAGGUUGGUCGAAAAAACAGCCUUUGCCAACACACAGUCGGUCGAGAAAGAGUAUUGUCGACCGAAACCGUCUGUUGGGGUAAGUCCAGACGAGAAAGCCUUUUCCCGACUGAUUGUUUGACGCCUGUAAAUAGCAUUGCUGACCGACUUUCCGAUGGCACAGGAAGGGCUCUUUCCCGACCAACUUGCGGUUGGGGUUUCCGUCGAAUCUUUCCCGACCAACUGUUUGACGACAAAACCUUUCCCAACCGAUUUUCAGCUGAUGUUGGUGUUGAAGCUUUCCCGACCGACCAUUUGACAAUACAGCCUUUGUCGAUCGAUUUUCUGCUAACGUUGGUGUCAAAGCUUUUCCCGACCGACCAUUUGAUAGCACAUAUUUUGCCGACCAACAAUUUGACAGCAUUUUCCUUAGCUGAGCAAUGUUUAAUACCCAUGUACCCUUGUUUUUACAUCUGCCUUACAAUACAAUGUCAAAUCAAGUUGCAUAUCUCAUUACAAGUCAAGUUACAAUAGCUUGCGUAUCUCAUUACUACUCGCGAGUAAAGGAAACAUUUAUGGUUCAAAGAUUGAAUCACCCAACAGGUUUACAGAAUGAUAGAUGCAUGUCCGAUAUUCAUUGUUUGCUCCAUUACACAAAAACCCAGGUGCACAAAAUGAGACCUAAAAGACGCAUUAUUUUUGCUCCAUUACAGAAAAUCUCUAGCGGAUGCAAACUAACAUCUUCCUGGGUCCUUCCUGCUCCUUUUGUAUGUCUUUUCUACAAAGGAUAAAAAUGUCAUGGUGAGCAUGCAUUCAGAGAUGAUGGCAAAAAUAAUAAUUGUAUAAAUCAUAGAUGCAACGUGACCAUGAAGUAUAUUUCAGGAAAUGUGAGCAAUACAGAGGUGUACUCGGAGCAACACAAGGCAACAUAAUUAAGUUGUAUUUCCAUCAUCUGGACAUAAGGCAAAAAUUUAGCAUGUCCAGACUCCCAGCUUUAAUUCAGAAGACAUGGUACUAUUUACUGUGGAGAGCACUACUCGCUACUCCCUCCGUUCCUAAAUAUAAGUCUUUUAAGAGCUUUUACUAGAUGACUACAUACGAAGCAAAAUGAAUGAAUCUACACUCUAAAGUAUGUCUAUAUACAUCCAUAUGUAGUCCUCUAGUAGAAUCCCUAGAAAGACUUAUAUUUAGGAACGGAGGGAGUAGUUUGGUUGGUGCUCGAGAGCAACUACAAAAUUGUGCCAGCCAGCUAUGAACUAUACAUUAACUUAGCCAAACUUUAGAUGAAGAGAAUAACCAAGAAAAUAUAUACCAUCACCAUUUAAGAAGUGGCAAUGAACUAGGUAGACAUUGAAAAUAAGAGAAGAUAGAACAACAUUGAUUGUUAAUGCUCAAUGUACAGAGCUAGAUAGCAACUAUCAUGAGGAAGAAGAUACAAGGGUCUGGUUAUGUUCAUUACGGUCCCUGGUUUUGUAGCUGAAAAAAUAAAUACUAGCUCAUGAAUCAAAUAUACCUUAGCGGCGGGACGAGGAAGAUGCCCCUAGUUUGUAGGGUUUCAUCUAGCAAAGUGAUCAUGAGUCAGUAUCACAUCAAACAAUUCGAGAUAAGUGGACAAAACACACAUUGUUAGUGAUUACCUUGCUAGAUGGCCAUGCAAUGGACCUUGUGACAGCAUCAUCGAUAAUUUGUAAACCGUCAUCUUCAAAAGGCAAAGUAGCAUCCCUUCUUAGGAACCUUGUGGACACGUUUCCCAUCUGCACUCUUCCUUUCAGAUUUGCAUCGUGAAGCCUUACAUUCUGGCAUGAAUUGGCAUUGACAUUGUUCUUCCAAAAUAGAAUGCAAUCAUUUUCAUGCAUGAAUAUUAACAUACCCAAGUCCUAGGCAUUUGACUAGUUUUUUGGCUUUAUUGGAGUUUUUGGGUAUUGCGGACUGAGGGUAAGCAUCUUUGAGUAGAUCUAACAACAGAUCAAAACUUAUGUCAGACCACCCUCCAAGCAGUUUGAUGUGAAGAAGUCUCACUAGGAAACGAAGCUUUGAGAAAUUCCUACAGCCUGGAUAUAGCUCUUCUCUAGAAUCAGCUUCAAGUUUGCGGAGAGAUUGUAGAAAAGAAUCAUCUUGAUCUAAACCACAAUCAUCUUCAAGAUCUCCCCCUUUAUCCAAACCAGCAAGGUCUCUUAGCAAAUCAGAUAUAUCAUCGCCCUCAUCCCUAUCGUCACCCUCAUCUAGAUUUGGAGGAAUGGGAGGAGAGACACGUUCCCUUGCAUACGAGGUGCUCACGGACUUCAAAUUCUUCUCUCCAGUACGAGUUCACACAGUUUUCGCAAGGACAUAAGAUUUUAUUCUCGACCGAUGAUUUACUAAAUGCAUAGCCUAGGAAUUUGGCAUGCUCUUGUAAGUACUUCUGUGUAUGCCUACAUGCAAGUGUACAUGUGCACUGCAUUAUAUAUAUAGUUUCAGCAUCUAAGAAAUUUAAAAAAUACAUGUGGCUGUUAUACCUAGGCGCAUCCAUCCAACUUUUAUCCAUGGUAGCUAGCUUCACACUUAGUUAUUACCAAAUCAACACUAAAUACUAAAAAGAUAAUAUCAUUACCAGAGAAUGCAAGGAAUUACUGCAAGUACUACCAUAAAUAAAAUGGAUCAAAGAUGUGGUUGACUCACCAACUGGUGGAAGUUGUAGUGACAAGCACGCAAGGGGGAUUAUUGUGCCACUACUGUAAGUUGAGUCUUUGGGAGCAAGAAUCCUGAUAACCAACCAAAUGAAAUCUGAUCGUGCCAUACAUUUGAGAUUGUGUAUUAUAUACAAUAAAAUAGCAUGCAAAUAAAAAACUGUUCAAAUAUUUUAAAAAUAGGCUAAAAUUUGUACAUUACAACACAUGAAAAUUAUACAUAAGCAACAUGAGCAUAUGUUCACAUGUACCGGAGAAUAUGAACUCUUCGAAAACAUGAAAAAAUAGGUUCAAAACUAUACAUCACAAUAGCAUAUUAGAAUUGACUUGACAACACCAUGAGCUGUUUAAAACAUGAAAAAUAGGCUAAAAACUGAAUGUAACAACAACAUAUUAUGAUAAGUUUGACAACAACAUUGCAUAUUAUAACAUGUCUAGCUCCAUUGCUACAAAAUUCACAAAGAACACAAAUCGGUUUAGAUCUCACUACCAAGGGACGGCAAGAAUAGCCAGCUGCAGAGCUUCUGUUGCUGAGAGUGCUUUGUCACGGCGCCCGACCUAUCUCCCCGGUUUGCAACAGGUUAAGCCCCAUCAACCCCGGGAUCUGCAGCAGAUUAAGCCCCAGAUUUGCCCUACGCGCGGCCUGACAACGACGAGGUGAUGAGAUAGCACCUGGGCGAAGGAGAAAGUUUGAGCGUGCGGGGCGGCAAGCCAGCAGGGUCGUGCGGCAGGCAAGGCCGUCUCCGGGGUUGGCCACCACAAGCAGCAGCACCUCCGAGACGUGCCCCGCCACGGCUGUAACGCCAUUCCACAGGGCAACUCUCCUCUGCAGUAGGUAGAGAGGCAACCGACACAGUGAAGAACCCGGCGGCGGCGUGGUGGAGCGCGGGGGCGCGGUGGAGAGCCCGAUGGUGGAGGCCAACAAUGCGGUGGAGCGCGGGGGCGCGAUGGAGCACGGGCGAGGGUGGAGAGCCCGGCGGUGGAGACCAACGGCGCGGGAGCGAGGUGGAGGCCAACGGCGCGGUGGAGCGCAGGGCGCGUGGGAGAGCCCGAUGACGGCGUGGUGAAGCGCAGGGGCGCAACGGAGACCCCGGCGGCGGCGUGGUGGAGCGCAGGGGCGUGGUGGAGCGUGGGGGCGCGAUGGAGCACGGGCGAGGGUGGAGAGCCCGGCGGUGGAGGCCAACGGCGCGGGAGCGAGGUGGAGGCCAACGGCGCGGUGGAGCGCAGNNNNNNNNNNUGGGGAAUGAAGUCAGGAAUUUGGCUGUGCGCGGCGUUGGUGAUUUUGGGGAAAACCUUUCGCGCGUUGGGCCGGCUAUUGGCGCGAAAAAAUUGGCUCUUCGCGCGCUAGAGGCCCAUAGCAUCGGACAGUCGGUCGGGGUUAUUUGCCGACUGAUAGUCCAUGGGCCAUAACGGUUUUCCCAAUCGAUACGUGGAUGGUAUAGGAUGUAGCAUUCCCGACCGAUGAUCCAUUAGAAUUUUUUCUAGCUGACUGUCGAUUGGCAAUAGUGCCUUUUUCCCAACACCCGUCAGUAUGUAAUGCAGUGUCGUGGUGUAUUGACGCCAACGAGCAUACCCCCACCGGACCGGUUCUUCUCUUGUGCAUUUAUUUUUCAAGAAACUUCUUCAGCAUUUUAUGCACCGGGCUGACUCAUCGCUUGUUCGUGUAAUCUUUGUCCAGGUUGGUUAGGUGGGGGUAUAUGCUCGAUUGCUGGGGUACAUGAUGGGCAGAUGUAGAUUGAGUAUUGAAAACAAAUCACAUCUUGUGCUUCAUGUCCGGUCCUUCAUGAUCGUGGAACCUAGGAUCAAUAACUUUAAAGUAGCGUUUGCCUUGAUCGAUGGUAGAAGUGAUAUGAGUGCCUAAGGUUUAGGCCUAAUACUUCCCCGUUUCAUAAUGUGUGGUGCCUAUAAAUUAUUUAGGAGUCAAACUUUACAAGUUUGAUCAAGUUUAUAGAAAAUUAUUUAUAUAUACAAUAUCACUUAUAUGUAGUAUGAGAUGUCCACCUCAUGAUACAAAGUAUUCUUUGUAACCCCGGUUAAAGUUUGUCUUUUGAGAUAAUCUAUGUGCAUUGUAUUAAGGAAGACAGGGUAUAUGGGUCAACAUUGAUUAGUUAAGCGACCGACAUGCGCUCAAGGAGUUGUGUCAUUCGAUUCUGUGGAUGAGCACGGUGCCCAUCUAGGCAUCUAUAUGUGGGGCACGCCUGUUCGGCUGAGCGGGGCCAAAGAGAAGAAGCAGCAAAACCUAUACGAGGUCGAGAUGCGCACGUUGGAUGCGGAGCGCGAGAUGGAGGCCGAGCGGUAGCAUGCGGCACACGGGUACAGGAUGCUACAACCGGUCUAGCAGGCGGCGCUAAAUGCAACACAACAGGCAUCGGGAGUUGGCAUCCUUCGGCCUUGUAUCAUGCAAGGUACUUAGAAGAGGUGUUUAAAAAAAACUAGUAUACAAGGUAGACUCUUAGUUAGGCGUCUCUCUUAUAAAAAUAGACACUGGUAUUUGAAAAAAAAAUCCGGUUUAUUUUUUUAAACACUUAGCAUUGUACAAGGCCUUCUAGACUCCUCCCUUUUCCAUGGAUGGAGACAUCGAGGCACGUCCCUAGAUUCAUCGUCUGUCUGUUUUCACAUUUUUAGUUUUAACUGGCAUAAAUGCCCAUGCGUUGAAACGGAAGAAAAUUUGAUAGAAAUUAUAAAAUCUCCCUCUUUUCACAAAUGUGCUUCGAGCGCCAAUCUUCUAUCCAACUCCGACAAAUUAUGUAUGAAUAUGGAUAGAAGAAGGGAAUGAUUAUAAAAACAUUUAGUGCACCAAGUAAUUUUUUCCUAUUCUUCUCUCCUCGAGUAGCGUUAAAAAAGUCACAAUUAGGGUUACUCUUAUUUGUAGUGAUAGUAUAAAAAUAAUGUUAUUGUCGUCAUGUUUACUAGAGUUUUAGUAAAGAAACAAAAACAAAAAUAGCUAGAAUGAAGAAGGGAUGGAAAAAUUAUGAAAUUUACAAAAAUGUUAAUUCCCUCACUUCAAAACUAUUCGAUCAACAUACUUAAUUCUUUGUUAAAAAUCAGAUUAUUAACACGAAGUUUCAAGCUUGAAAAUAAAAUAAAAUAACACAUCAUUCUCAAUGAUUUUGUUUGAGCAUCUCUCUCGCAUGAGCAAAUAGCAAAAACCACCAUAAUUGUGCAAAAGUCAUCAAACUCCCACCAAAAUGCAUGCUUUAUGGUGGUUUUUUCCUCAAGCAUUGAUAACUUCGACCUGAUUGUGAUUUUUUUAAUUUACUCCUCUCGCAUGCGUCUCUCUUUCUCCCCUCACUCAUCAGCAUGCCCACUAAAUGAAACGUGCAAGAACUCUCACCGAGCUUCUCUUUAAAAGUAAUCAAGGCUAAACGAAACAUUAUCAAUAGAGGUUAGUUUGCUGGUAGGUAUUUUUAUCCUAUCGAGGUCCUGUUUGUUUCAUAAGUCCUAGGACUUUUUUAAGUCCCGACUUAUAAGUCAUAAGUUACUACCUGUUUGUUUACAGGGACUUAUAAGUUUCGAGUCUCUGCCUGUUUGUUUACAGGAACUUAUAAGUUCAUGUUGCACCUAAUAAUACACUUGUUCACAUAACCCUUGUUCAUACAAAUGAAUUGCAGAAUAGUGACAAUCGAAAUAACAAUUGUUCAUAACACUUGUUCAUACAAACGAAUUAACACUUGUUCAUAAGAACCAAAAUAAGAGAGAGUACAUAACAAUUGAGAUAUCAAAAAUUACAUAAGCGAAGAACCUUGGGGCACGGGCCUACCACGACCAGGUCCGACCGAAGGAAGGCCAUGACCGGCCGACUGGUCGAAGAGGAGUUGUUGGUACGAGCCGAACUCCGGGAAGUCGUCGACGUUGCCGUUGAGAUCCAAGAAACGCCCGAAACCCAUUCCCUCCCGAGAUUUCCACCGGCGGAUGAGAACUGGGAGAAAAAAGGCAGCUGCUCCUCCUCCUCAUCAGCCAUGGUACGGUGACCUGGGACGCGAGGAUCGUCAUCAGCCAUGGCGCGGUAACCUGCAGUCAACAUGGAUUGUCAUCAGCCAAAAUGUCAACAAGAAACUGGAUGAAUCAACAGUAACAUUCCAUAUUUUUCAGUUAUUAUUAUACAGGAAACUAGAUGAAUCAUCUUUUAAUUAUAUUAGCAAGAAUCACCAGGAAACUGGAUUAAUUGCAUCGCACAUGACCGGCUUAAUUGCAUCGCACAGACUGGGUGAAUCAUCAACGAAUCAUCAGUGAAAUUGCAGCGCACAGGCCGACGGGACGGGACGGCGGGGGGACGGGGCGACGGGACGGGACUAACCGAGGCAGAAACGGGCGACGGGACGGGGCGGCGGGGGGACGAGCCGAGGCCGAUGGGACGGGACGGCGGGGGAACGGGGCGACGACGGGGCGGGUCGGCGACGGGGCGGGCGGCGACGGGGCGGCUACUCCAGCGAUGCGGGGCGGUGGGGCGGCGGCGGGGCGGGCGGCGACGGGGCGGCUAGCGAUGCAGGGCGGUGGGGCGGCGACGAUUGGGCUGGGAACGACACGGGGUAGGGCGGUGGGGCGGCGGGCACUGAUCGAUGCGGGAAACGACGCGGACCAACGAGCAUAAUUCCCAAUAAGCUCCUCCCUGAGAGUCUUAUUUGAUAAGUCCCAAAUCACCACAAUAAGUCCCAAUAAGCCCCUUGUGUUUGGUUUAGGUGGGACUUAUAGGGACUUUUUUAAGUCCCUAAACCAAUAAGUCUUUGAAAACAAACACCCUGUGAGAGCGACAUGCAAUGUGCGCGCACAUCCAUGAAAAGUCUCACAAUCCUGUCAUGCUGCUUUCAAUCAAUCAUGAAAUCAAUUGUCCAUAAUUCUGCUUUAAGUAUGCGUCGUUUCUUUUCGGGCGUCAAAUUCCUGCUUUAAAUUUGGCCAUGAAAUCUCCCACCAUCCUGCUUUAAUUAGGAGUCAAUUAGCCAUGUAUGCCCUAUUGGGAACGACAUGCAUCGACGUUCAAUUAGUCAUGAAAUUAAUAGUCCAUAAUUCUGCUUUAAGUAGGAGUCGUAAUGGCUCCCAAAUUCCCGUUUUAAAUUAGGCUAGAAAUCUCCCACAAUUCUCCUUUAAUUAUGAGGCAAUUAGCCACACAUUCCUCCUCAUUUAUCAAAUUAUUAGCAUGUGCAGCCAUGGGCAUAAUUUUGAGAGUUAAUUUCUUUGCUUUUCUAGGAAUUUGUUUCCUUGAAAUAAGUGGGUUUUUCAUAGGAUUAAUGGGACUCACAUGUCUUUCUCUUUUUGUUUAUUUUGAUGGCUGCCUAUUGACAUAUAAAAACUGGUGAAAUUUUGCAUAAAAGGGUCGGGGUCGUACAAUUUAGUUGGUAGAUGAAUCCAAAUUUUAAAUGAUAGCAUGAGCUAAAUGAGUUGGUUGGGUACUUUGAUAUGUAAUGUGAAGAGGUUGUGUGUUCAAACCACCAUGGGUGCAUAGUUUUUUAUGCUAUAUCUUUAUUAAUGGGCUGCACACUACUUUUAAUUUUUAAUGGGUUGUGUGUGGCCCAUGCAAUAAAAUCGGAAAUUUUAUUACAAAGCUGGCCUCGAGGGAUACGUGACAGAUCAAAUUUUACGUAUGUAGAUUGGAUGUUGACUGAAAAAAGGUCAUGGUGUUUUGCGUAAAAUAUUAUGACAAUUCAGAAUACAUAUUUUCUUUAUUAGUAGGGAGCUGCUACGCCUUGGCCUAUGGAUCUUUUUAAAAGAUCCGUCACCUCGCGAGUCCUUGGAUGUGGCAGAAUCUACCGCCUGAAUUUCCUCCUCUACUCCGCAACAUAUAUCUUGUUUUAAAAACAUUUACGACAUAGGUUGUCUUACGGAUUUUUUUGUACACAAACUGUGUUGCGGGAUUGUUUUUUUGCAACAAAAACUUUGUUGUUGCAGACUUUUUCUUGCAACUGAGGUUUUGUUGCACAUAUUUUUUGCAGGAGGGAUGAUGUUGCAAAACCUUGUCAACAUUACUGCCAUCAUUUCCUACGAUGCUUUGCGACAUAACUGAUGUUGCAAGAUAUGGUGAAGGAGCAUAGGCAGGGAAAAUAAUGAACCCAUACGAGCAUACGUGAGGACAAAUGGAUGAAGGGUGAUCCAACGGCUGCGCGGGUGGCAGAACUUUCCGCCUGAUCUGCCUGUAGAGUGUGAGUAAUCCCUUAUUACUAGGUAUAUAGAUAUAAAUAUAGAUUAUGUAAAUUGAACUUUUGUAGUUAUUUUAUUAUUUUUAGUUUUAAAUAUUAAAAUUAUUCUAUCCGCGUUUGGCUGUCGGUGAACAAGAACGGAUAAUGACAUCUGCUUAGGCCAACUUCAACCCACGAUUCCAAAUGGACGUCUUUUUUGUUCGGAUUUCGUUUGUUUGGACCGGCAAAACAUACGUUUGUGUCCGGUUUUCGGCGUCGGCCUCAGCAUGCACCCAAUGGGCGGCCGCAUCGCAUAUUGCCCGCAUCACAUGAAUAAAAAAGGCGAUCACACAUUUUAUAAUACAAAGAUAAAACUUAAUUUAAACAUUACUAAAUUCUAAAAAGUCCAUGCGCCUUAAAUAAACAUUACUAAGAAAACUUCAAUGCCACCACUGCCCGUGGCCGUCGUCGCUACCGCCGUCGUCUUCACGUGUCGUCUAUGGUGAGGUUGACAUACGACGGAGGCAUCCAGAGGUGGGUCGAGGGCGCGUGCGUUGGAUGAAUGCGUCGCGAGGGCGGGAGGGGCUUGAUGGUGACUGUGGUGGCGUGGGCGCCCAAGGCUCGGCACCUAUCGAGUCGACCAUCUCCGACGCGAUGGCCGACCAUGCGAGGGUUCCAAACACCAGCGACGGGCUCCUCUAUGCAGGGUGGCUCCUCCACGGCCUCCUCCUUGACGGCUAUCUCUAGCUCUCGGAUGGCGACGUCGUCGACCGCGGAGAGGGCCAUCAUCUCCUCGAGCCCCUCCCACUUGCGCUUGUCGUGGGUGUGGAGAUAGUCCUAUAUCACGUGCCACAUCGGCUCCCCCUCCCCAUCGGUGAUAGGGACUGGUUGGGGUGGCGACGACGGUGAUGGGUUGGACGUGAACCUAGACAGCCGACAAAGUACGACUAUCGCGCGCACGCCGUGUUCAUCACGGAACCAAGUAUCCCAUAGAGGCAAGUCUAUGGCAUACCGGUGGUCGUUGACGAGGUCAGGCGGUAGGUGGGUGCGGCGGUGACAGAUCUCCUCGCGAAGGGCCCGGACGCUCAUCGGGACUGGUGGGAUCGACACCCAAUAUGCGGAGAGGUGUCAGUUAUUGGGGAGGUGCACGUCGCUCCACGAGAACAAUGAGCACAUCUCCCAAUACCACUCGCGGAUCUCGGCCUUCACGUACGACCGCAUGCGAGGAGCGGCCGGCGCUGACGAGACGUGAAAUGGGGGGGUGUAGGAAGUGGAGAUGGAGGAGGAACGAUGGCCGGAGGAAGACCCGUGUGACAGCCCGAGACCGACGUUCCAGAAGCUUCCCCUUUUCUUUUCGUUUUCGUCGUGUGCGUAUUUUCAGUUGCCGCAUCAUCAUCGCAUCUUGCGCAUCAUCUGCAUUGCAUCGGCAUCUCCGUUGCCGCCAGUUUUCAAAACUUGCAUCCGUUAGUAGUUGCCGGUUCUCGUCGUUGCCCGUUCCGAGCCCCGACCGCACACGCACGCGCCCGCGGCACCGUCGAAACCCUGUUUUAAAAGCGCGUUUAAAACUCUCUCUGAUCGAGGUGAAACUUGGCACGCGAUCGCGAUUAGAUGUAGCUAGGCCGCCUGUCGAAUUUCGUCGCGAUCGGAGACCGUCUGGUACCCGAACGGUCGCUCGUAGCGGCACCGUAUUCGGGCUACUGUCGGACGUUGUCGGUGUUUUAAAGUUCAUGCCGCGCCGCCCGUUCUCCCUCUCGUCUCCGGACAUCUACACAACACGGUCGCGUACCCAUACCCGCGUUCGGAAUCGUCCGAAUCCGACCCCGCGGUUGGAUCCGGAGCGCGAUUCCGGUUAACCGAGCCCCCUUUUUCCUUAUGAAUACCCCCUCCUCCUUAAUUUUGGAUAGCCCCUCUUCCCUGCCUCGUUUUCCGCACCCCACCUACCAAACCCUAACCCUAGCCGCAGCAGCCCCUCCCCACCAGCGCCGCCGGCCCGCCCGAGCCCGCGCGCGGCCCGCCGGGCCCGAACCGCCGCCGCCGAGUGCCCGAGCCCCUGCAACCCCGAGCCUCCCCCAUGGCUCGCUGCUCCCGUCGCCGGCGCCGCCUCUCCCCGCGCCUCGCGCCGCGCCGCCUUCCGCCGCUGCGCCUCGGGCGGCGCCGACCAGCACCGUCGUCGACAGCCGCCGCCGCGCAGGGCCCCCUCCGGCCGCUGUAGCCCCAGAUCCUGCGCGAGCCGACCUCGUCGUCCAGGGGUCGCCUCGAGCGCCGCCGCCGGGACCUCGCCCCUUCGGCCGCGCCGCCGCGCCUCCCUCGCCAGUGGCCGCCUCGCCUGCCUCGCUGCGCCCCGUGUUGCCCCCCCUCGCCGGCCGCCGCAGCACCGCCCGGCGCCACCGCUCGCACGUCCUGCUCGGGAGCAGGGCAACGGGAGCGCCUCCUCCUCCCGCGUGGGCCCCGAGCUGGCCCAGCCGGGACGGCCCACCUCCCUCGGCCUCGCCCAGCUCCCCGGCCCAUCUCCAGCAGAGCCCGUCCGGUCCAGGUGAGAGCCCCCCUCGAGCCUCUCUACCUCGCGCCCCAGGCGCCUCUUAGUGCUUUCGCGCAUGGAUUUCGGCCCAGUAGACAUUUAGGAGUUAGACCGAAUUUAAAUUCUUUUUCAGGGUUAGACUAGAAUUUAAACCCCUGUAACUUUUAAACCGUAAGCCGGUUCGAGACGUGUUAUAUAUCGUUUUGGGGUAGCUUCGCGAGUAGAACACGUUUAUCCAACAUGCAUAUUUAUUUAACGCUGUUUAGAGUGCCUAAUGCCUCGUUUUACGUGCUGUUUAACUAGGUUUCGAUCCGUAGUUAUUUUUCGCGCGUGUCCGGACUGCCCGUAUGCCAUAGAUUUAAUGUCCAUGUUUUAGGGACCAUAUUUCUACGUAUUUUAGAGCGGUCACUCGUAUUUUUCCGUGUAGGGUUUUGCCGGUAGUUUAUUUUCUCGUUUAGAGGUAUUAUCUCGCAUUAUUGUGUGGCGUUAUUUUGUGCUGCAAACCCCACAUAUUAUAUAUGUUUCCGGGGUAGAAAAAUCCCAUGGAUUUUUCUGUGCAAUUAGUUUUAGCUUUUGAGGAAGUUAGUUCGCGAGAUAUUUUGCCGUGAUGCCCUUUUGUUUAAUCCGUAGGUUUUAUUCCGGGCCUCGUUUGAAUUAGUUGUCAACUAGUGUUUUGAUCUUGGAUGUUUUGUUUAGUCCCUGCUAUUUUUGGUUGCAAUAGAAAUGCAUGUUUAGGUGUUAUUUGACUGCCCUCAAGUUGCUUGAAUAGUGCUGUUUCAGAGGAGCCGAAAUAUUUCUAAGUCUGGAAUCUGUUAUUAUUUUGUUGUUGUCUUGUCUUGCUUCUAUCUUGUGAUCUGUAUCUCUUUUGAGGUUGGUCCAAUGGAGUUAGUUGUUCCCCUUAUGUUUCUCUAGCAUGCUGUUAAGUUUCAUGCCAUUUGGAGACCUGUAGCUUAGGGCUUUGCUGCUGUCAAUAUUGCUUCAGGCUGAAAAGUGCACUUUCAGGAGGUGAUAUUUUCACUAAGUCUGAAAUAGUGCGUGAGAUGCCAUUUUGUGUCUUCUUUUCCUAGUGCUCCUUGCUGCCAAGCUAGUAGUUGUUAGUUGUUUGUAGUAGUGCGUCUUGCCCUCUUUCAUGCCGUGCCUUGCUUGAGCUCCUCGGAGUUGUGUAGCCGAAGUUGUGAGUCGUAGAAGUUGCUAUGUGGCUGUUUUGGGCAGAUUGUAGCGUUUUCUUGUUUUGCUCGUAGUUUCCGAACCGUAGCUCCGAUUUGGUCAUGUCCUACAUGAAACUUGCUUAGAAUCUCGUGUAGUUUCAUUUUCUCUUGCUGGUUGCAUGUGAUGAAGUGCUCGUAGCCGCCGUUGCACACAUUUUGCAUUCAUGCUAUCAUAUCUUGCGGUGCUUGCAUCUUUUGAACCGUAGCUCCGUGGGAGAUGUUCUUUACGUGUAGGUUGCUUGCCUUGACGCGUAGAAUCACGUGAACCUAUUUGUUUUGCUGGUUAACAACCAAUUAUAUGCUUUAGUUCAGAUCUGGUCAGAAUUGUAAAUUAACUUGUGAGGUCGUCUCGGAGAUGCUAUAUAUCAUUUCCGACCUCAUUUAAAAUGUCUAGGUAGGUUGUUUAAUUCCCGCUCCACCUCUUGCAUGUUUAACAACAUUAACAUUGUCGUGUAAAUAACCGGGAGUGAACUAAAUAACUACCGUGGAGUUUCGUCAAUAUGCAACUCGUGCAUAUUGAACUUCACUUAAUGUGUAGUGUUUGAUUGUGUGUUUUGUCAUGCCGUGACUUGCAUGUAUUCAGUAGCUCAUGCAUCAUAUGUGUCUUGCGUCGUGUGGUGAUUCUCGUGUGUUGAUGCUUGUUUCCGGUUUCCUCCGUCUCGAUAGAGUUCCGCAAGCGUGUCGGAUGUGAGGACCGUUCGACUACGUCGGUUCGUCUGCUUCACGGAGGCAUACUUCUUCCAAGCGGGAUCUCAGGCAAGAUGAUCAUUUCCCCAGAUACCACUACUAUCAUUGCCAUGCUAGUUUUAUCGCUUCUAUCGUUUAUGUCACGUUGCCUACCACCUGUUAAAUAUCAGCCUCUCAACAAUGCCAUGAUUACCUUCAACCUGUUCGACCUAGCAAACCACUGAUUGACUAUGUUACCGCUUGCUUAAUCCUGUUGAUAGCGUUGCUAGUUGCAGGUGCAUUGCUUCCAUGUGAAAGCAUGGGUUCCUUGUUAUAUCACCAUAUUAAAUGCUAUUUAAUUUAAUGCACCUAUAUACUUGGUAAAAGGUGGAAGGCUCGGCCUUUCUAGCCUGGUNNNNNNNNNNNNNNNNNNNNNNNNNNNNNNNNNNNNNNNNNNNNNNNNNNNNNNNNNNNNNNNNNNNNNNNNNNNNNNNNNNNNNNNNNNNNNNNNNNNNGUAAUUUGUGAUGGACUAGUUGGAGCACCCCUGCAGGGUUAAAUCUUUCGGAAAGCCGUGCCCGCGGUUAUGUGGCAACGUGGAAGCUUUGUUUAACACUGGUUCUAGAUAACUUGAAGUUAACUUAAUUAAAACAUGCCAACUGUGUGCGUAACCGUGACUGUCUCUUUCGUGAGUUCCUUCUCCGAUCGAGGACACGGUGGGGUUAUGUCUGACGUAGGUAGGUGUUCAGGAUCAUUCUUUUAAUCAUCUGUAGUGACGUCCUUUAUGCGUAGAUCUCCCCCCUCUUAUUUCUUGUACUCGUAAGUUAGCCACCAAAUAUAUGCUUAGUCGCUGCUGCAACCUCACCACUUAACCAUACCUCUCCCAUUAAGCUUUGCUAGUCUUGAUACCUUUGGAAAUGAGAUUGCUGAGUCCCCCGUGGCUCACAGAUUACUACAACACCAGUUACAGGUGCAGGUAAAGGUUACUCGACGUGAGCGCGUUGAUUGUUCAUUUGAAGUUGCUACUUCUUCUUCUUCGAUCUAGGAUGGGUUCCAGGCCGGCAACCUGGGAUAGCAAGGAUGGACGUCGUUCUUCUUUUGUCGUUUGUUUUCGUCUGUAGUCGGACCCUGCUCUUACUCCUGAUGUUUAUGUAAUGUACUGAUGUGACUCUGAUGUAGCUUGUGGCGAGUGUAAGCCAACCCUCUUUAUAUAUCUCUCCUUUUCAGUACAUGUACUUGUAACGAUAUCCAUUCUUGCGACACGACGAGAUGCGCUUCUAUCCCUGACGAGGCCCUCGUGCCAAAUUGAGGAUAGGGUCGCAUCUUGGGCGUGACAACCCGACUCGUGGUCGUGCUUCCCCUUAUGACCGAGGAUCCAGUGCCAACCCAUUUUGCUGGUGACGAGGUGGAGGAUAGGAGGCGUCGGAGCCAAGGUUUGACACGGGCGUGUCGGGCUCCGAGGAACUCCACAACUUCCACAUUAAGAAGGACGACGAGCAAAGGCGCUCUACGGCUGACAGACGGGCCCACCCCCAUGUGUCCCUUAAAGGCGAGCAGUGGGAGGUAGGUGGGCGGCUGCCACGCGACCCUCAGACGGACGCAAAGCAAACGCGUGGGCGUCCAUUCAAUCAUUUCGUGUACGUCUGAACACAAACCAGGAGAAUGUUUGCGCGAGAAAUGUGAAUGCUCACGCGAGUUGAGCCUUCUCAUCAUACCCACACGGUUUGGAGUUUUGCGUUGAAGUAUACCUGGGUAUUCUUCGGUCCGGGCCAAAAAAAGCCCCGUGAAGAAAACCCAGGCCCGAGCCCGGCCCGGCCCGACCGUCGGGCCUAAAUAUUGGGGCCAAGCCCGACCCAAACCGAAAAAAGCCCGACUGAGCCCGACAGGUUCAGCCCGACCGCGAUGUAAAAAUUGUUUUUGUCGAGCCCGAGCCCGACCCGACCCGACCGUUGGGCUCAAAUUCCAGGACCAAGCCCGGCCCGAUGGGACAUUUAGGCCCGGCUCGACCCGUGAUUUUCGAGUUGGGUCUGGUCGGGUCGUCCGGACCGGGUUGCCCAUGGCCACGUAUAGUUGAAGUUGGCCUUAGCCGACCCAAACACACACACACACACACACACACACAAAGACAAAAUCCGCGUCCGUGUUAACCUGAGAAAAUGCAUCGUCGAAGGCAUAACACGACACGUGCACUCCACUCCAUGCCUGCCCCCUCCCCUCAGGCCUUGUCCGGUUGCAUGACAAAUGGGUGGGAUUGACAUGUAUUGACAGGGAUUAAAUCCCAUCUAGGUCAAAUUCCUCCCAAAUUCCCUCCAAUCCACUCCAAUCCACCUGGUGGGUGGCUUAACCGAACAAGGCCUGAAGGUGCCUUUAGAGCAUCCCUAGUAGUACCCUCAAACCCUUAAAUUCUUAAAAAUAAUUGUUUUCUACAGCUUGCGAGCAAAAAAAAUCGCGUAGACUAGAACCCCUUAACCCUCAAACCCUUAAAUUUUUUUUGAGGAUCAGACCUUCAAACUCUCUCCCAACCUGUACAAGUGAGGAUUGGAGAGCAAAACCUACCCCAACCCUCACUUGCGAGCCAUCCGAGCGCGGAGGGAAAUUUCCUGUCCCCAAAUCCCGUUUGCGCCCACCCGAGCCGCCGCCAGCCGCCUCUCCAGCCGUCGCCGCCGUCCCGUCCCCCGGCCGCNNNNNNNNNNNNNNNNNNNNNNNNNNNNNNNNNNNNNNNNNNNNNNNNNNNNNNNNNNNNNNNNNNNNNNNNNNNNNNNNNNNNNNNNNNNNNNNNNNNNNNNNNNNNNNNNNCCCGUCCGAGCCCGCCCCCACCCCGCCCCCCGGCCGCCGCCCGCCCUCCGCCCGCAGCAGGCUGGACGCCUCUCCUCCACCUCCUCCCGCGCGCGCCCCCCGGCCGCCGCUCGCCCCUCCACCUCCUCCCCCCCGCGGCCUGCCCCUGGUAACCUGCGCCCGCCUGAUUAUUGUUUUCUUCAAACCGUUAUUGAGAUGAUGAAAAUUAUGAUAUGUGAAAUGACAGUUUUAAAGGCACCGUCCUGUUUUCCAACUAUUAAAAAUGUCAAAAAAAUGUCAAUUUUCAACUGUUAAACUGAUUUUAGGAUUUGAGCGCACUAGUAGCAGCGAUUCUCUUAUUCUUCUUCCCCACCCAUCCUCUUCACCCCCGCUCUCAUUCCCAUUCCCCGCACCCCUCAAUUGCAUCGGAGCAUUAUUUUUGCUAAAUGGUCCCUUCACAGGAUCUUAUGUAUGUACCAGAGCAUCUACAGCCGGCCCCUGGAUCUGGAACCCGAGUGGAUACCCAUCCCAUCCGGAUCCGGAUCUUGACCGACCCCUUCCCCCGCCGGCGACGAGCCCUAGCUAGCUCGGACCAGUCCUGGUGCGAGAGGCCACCGGCGGCAAGGCUGCGUGCGGUGGCGGAGCAUGCACUGCGAGCGCUCUACUCGGAUCUGACCGAACCCCGUCGCCGCGCCCGUCCCGCUCGCCGUGGCCGAUGAUCGCGCGCGUCGGCUGGGGCCGCGUCCCUCCCCAGAUGGCGGCGAUGAUGGAGGGAGCCGCCGGCACCAGCCCCCUCCCGCCUCGCCGGACCGCGCAUCGGCUUGGAGGCCCCUCGGGACUGCCGCCGGUGCGGGGGGGCGUCCGCGGCCUUGCGGGCUGGGGACCGAGCGGGAUCUGAGCCGCCGUCGAUGGAUUUCUCGCAGCCUGGCUUCGUUUUUCUUUGGAUCCGGUACGGUCCCCAUAUCUCUCUCUCUCUCUCUCUCUCUCUCGGAGUUGACACCACUAGAUCCAAAUCCUAAACCAAAUCAGGGGAGCUCUCGUUGCCGGAUCGCUGGCCUAUCGUCCGGAUGUCCGCCGCGUCAGUUCCCCACAGCUACGGUGCCGCCAGCCACCGCCGUUCCAUUGCCUUGGAUUCGGCUGUGCGUGUGGGCUGGGAACCGUUCUCUGUUGUCUGAUGCGUCGUUGGAGCGGGAGCUUUGGUCGGUCGAGGCCAGGUAUGAGCAUCCACGAAGGCGUAGAAGAUCGACAUCNNNNNNNNNNCGUGGGCUGGGAACCGUUCCCUGUUGUCUGAUGCGUCGUUGGAGCGGGAGGUUUGGUCGGUCGAGGCCAGGUAUGAGCAGCUCCUGAGCUGGCUGGAUGGAUGGAUGCAGGUCAUGUGUCGUGAACUAACACCACGAUACUUAGGCUGUUUGUAAUGGGAGUAUCAUAAGUAGGCAAUUUUGAUGAUUCUUCAUAGAAUUAAAUGAAGUUGAGUAUGUGUCAUGCAUGGCAAUAAAUGAACCACCCUAUGAUACUAUUAACAGAUUAUAAUAUGCAUUACGGAUGUAGUAUCAUAUGCAUAAUACUAGUAUAUGAUACUCUCUAUUACGACCAGCCUUAUCUGGAACGGAGGGAGUAUACUUUGGAACAGAGGGAGCAACUAGAGCCGACACCCAGCAACCCAGCAACCAAAUCCGGAGCCGUCGCUCGGACCCCGAGUCCACGCACCAGGCUGGCCAACGACACUGUCACCCACAUGGCCAGUGCUGGCAUCCCUCCACUCUCUCUCUCUCUCUCUCUCUCUCUCUUUAACCCUAAAACAAAUCAGUCAAGCUCUCGUUGCCAACUCGCUGACCCACCGUCCGGGUGGCUGCCACAUCAGUUCCCUGUUGCCACGGUGCUGCCAGCCUGCCAUUCCACUGCCUUGGAUUCGGUUGUGGCGUGGGCUGGGAACCGUAGAGUUUUGUUCCGAUGUGUCGUUCAAGGCGGAGGUUUGGUCGGCUGACGUUAGGUAUGAGCAGCUCCUGAGACUGUCUAAGUUACUCACCACUAUGACCAGUUUGAUGGAUGGAUGGAUGCUACUGUGUGAUGAAGGCCCUGUUUGGAUACUCUAACUUAGCUAGAGGUUAGAGGUUAAAGUUAGUGCUACUGUGUGAUGAAGGCCCUGUUUGAACGGUAGAGUUAGCAGGAUGGAUGAAUGCAGGUCAUGUGUCGUGAACUAAAGCCACGAUACUUAUCUCGAACAGAGGGAGUAUAUUUUGGAACGGAGGGAGUACAUAUGUAUGUAUGGAUAUCAUGGUCAUGUUGCUUUGGGGUUCAACCUCUUUUUGGAUUAAAAAAGAGGGGCGAUGCCGAUGAUGAUUACUGUGGCUGAAAUAAUCAUGUCUUGAGACAUCAAGACAGCCAUGGCGAGGUGGGACUAAAUAGUGCCUGAAAAUUGGUGUCUGUGUUGGAGUUGCUCUUAGAGCCCACCCUUACCUCUGUUGCAGCCUGUCCAAUUCAUCGCCAAUGUUGGAUGUUCUGUGCCUUGGACGGUCGUUCUGAUGAGUGAUAACCAGGGCAGUUCUCUUACAUUGUGAUGGGUGGAUUAUGCUGCAAGAGAUGUGAGUGUUGGGUUUGAAGAUGAAAUGCAAAACUGAGCCNNNNNNNNNNCUUGCUACGUUACAUAAACUCGGUUCAGUUGCAUUUUGUUCUGGAUCUGGGAUGGAUCCUCCUCCUCUCUCUCUCUCUCUCUCUCUCCCUCCCUGCGAAGAAGAAGAAGAAGAACAAACCAGUCAAGCUCUCAUUGCCGACUCGCUGACCCGUCGUCUGGGUGGCUGCCACAUCAGUUCCCUGAAUCUACGGUGCUGCCUGCCACUGCCAUUCCAUUGCCUUGGAUUUGGUUGUGGGGUUGGCUGGGAACCGUACAGUAUUGUCUGAUGUGUCGAAUGAGCCGGAGGUUUGGUCAGCUGAUGCCGGGCAUGAGCAGCUCCUGAGACUGAGACUAGUCAUAGGUGGGAGUAACUUAGGUUUUAGUUCAAUUUGAACUUGAACUAAAACCACAACAGGAAUUAUGUAACGGAGGGAGUAACAUACAUGCCACAUACGCAAAAAAGGUGGUGUGACAAGUAAUUAAAGAGGAUGGAUGGAUGGAUGUGUGCAUGCAUGUAAUGGGUAUCGUGGUCAUGUUGCUUGGUGUAUAGAGCCCAGCCGAGGGAUCAACCUCCUUUUUGGGAAAAAAAUGAGGGGCGAUGAUGAUGUCACCGGCCGACAUAAUCAUGCCUUGAGCAAUCAAGACAGCUGUGGUGUGUGGGUACUAAUUAGAGCCGGAAUCGGUGACCUCGUUGGAGAUGCCCUUAGAGCCCACCCUUACCUCUCUUGCAGCCUGUUCAAUUCAUCUAUGAUGUUGUAUGUUCUGUGCCUCGGACGGUCGUUCUGAUGAGUGAUAACCAGGGCAGUUCUAUUACAUCGCGAUGUGUGGAUAGCAAGAGAGUGAGUGCUGGGUUUGAAGAUGAAAGAUAAAACUGAGCCAUCAAUUUUUCACCGUUUAGUUGCAUCUUGUUUUGGAUUCGGUAUGGAUCCUCCUCACCUCUCUCUCUCUCUCUCUCAAACCCUACGCUCUCAUUGCCAACCCGCUGACCCAUCGUCCGGGUGGCUGCCACAUCAGUUCCCUGUUACUACGGUGCUGCCAGCCUGCCAUUCCAUUGCCUUGGAUUCGGUUGUGGCGUGGGCUGGGAACCGUAGAGUUCUGUUCUGAUGUGUCGUCUGAGACGGAGGUUUGGUCGGCUGACUCCAGGUAUGAGCAGCUCCCGAGACUGUCUAAGUUACUCACCACUAUGGCCAGUCUGAUGGAUGGAUGGAUGCUACUGUGUGAUGAAGAGAUGGAGUUCUUACAGGGGCGAUGAUGAUGACCAUGGCUGAAAUAAGCAUGCCUUGAGCAAUUAAGACUGCUGUGGCCUGUGGGUACUAAAUUAGAGCGCACCCUUACCUCUCUUGCAGCAAUUCAAUUCAUAGCUAAUGUUGGAUGUUCUGUGCCUUGGACGGUCAUUCUGAUGAAUGAUAACCAGGACAAUCCUCUUACAUCGCAAUGGGUAGAUUAUGCAGCAAGCUAUGUGAGUGUCAGGCUUUAAGAUGAAAGGCAAAACUGAGCCCUCUUUCGCUACGCUACAAAUAUUUGAUUUUACCUUCUUUAAUAUGCAUUGUUUUUUUUUNNNNNNNNNNNNNNNNNNNNNNNNNNNNNNNNNNNNNNNNNNNNNNNNNNNNNNNNNNNNNNNNNNNNNNNNNNNNNNNNNNNNNNNNNNNNNNNNNNNNUCUCUCUCUGUCUCUCUCUUUCCCCGCCCAGCAACAAAUAGCCGUAACUGGUAACUUGCUGUAGAGCAAGGCCUCCUAGUAUAACGACUAACUGUCUAACUGGGCAAAGUUGAAUGGAACCAAUCUCAGGAUAUGUUGAAAGAUCUCCAACACCAAAGGGGAGGAAAUCAUCAUAGCCAUUCAGAAAAGAAUAGAACUCAUCAACACACAACAGAAACAAAUAUGCUGUGUUCAGAAGACAUCAAUCCAAGUCCAGAUGGGCCGUUACUCACAUCAACACAAUAUAGAGGAAUAGAAAAAAAAANNNNNNNNNNUUGUGUUCAGAAGUUAAUUUGGACCACUAUGCUGAUGGCCGUAUUACUGACAAUGAAAGAAGCGAUUUACAUUUGUUCACUUAAAAUAAAAGGAGUAACUGCAAGCCAAAUAAAAAAAGGACAAUAUAAAUUUUCCAUUUUGGAACAAAAGAAAAACAUAAUAAGAUAGAUAUCCAAGUCAAAAACAAUAGUGUGUUCGACAUAUAUAGUUUGUACAACUAUACAAGCAAAAACAACGCCAGCUAUGUAUCCAUCUCGAAUCCAAAACAACAUGCAACUGAGCUGAGUAUAUGUAGCGUAGCAAAAGAGGGCACAGUUUUGCAUUUCAUCUUCAAGCCCAACACUCACAUCUCUUGCUUCAUAAUCUACCCAUCACAGUGUAUGAAAACUGCCCUGGUUAUCACUCAUCAGAACGACCGUCCAAGGCACAAAACAUCCAACAUUGGCGAUGAAUUGGACAGGAUGUAAGAGAGGUAAGGGCAUCCUCCAACGUCAAGAUCGAUUUUCAGGCAUUAUUUAGUCCCACCUCGCCAUGGCUGUCUUGAGGUCUCAAGACAUGAUUAUUUCAGCCACAAUCAUAAUCGUCAGCAUCGCCCCCCUUUUUUAUCGAAAAGAGGUUGAACCCCCAAGCAACAUGACCAUGAUAUCCAUAUAUACAUACUCCCUCCGUUCCAAAAUAUGCUCCCUCCGUUCCAGAUAAGUAUCGUGGUUUUAGUUCACAACACAUGACCUGCAUCCAUCCAUCCAUCCAUCUUGCUCAGGAGCUGCUCAUGCCUGGCCUCGACCGACCAAAACUCCAGCACCGACGAAGCAUCAGACAACACCGUACGGUUCCCAGCUCAAUCGCACAGCCGAAUCCAAGGCAAUGGGACGGCGGUGGCUGGCAGCACCGUAGCGGUGGGAACUGACGCAGUGGUCACCAGGACGAUGGGUCAGCGAUCCGGCAACGAUAGCUCGCCUGAUUUGGUUUAGGGUUUGGGUCUAGUGGUGUGAACUGCACGCACGCAUGCACCGAGAGAGAGAAUGAGGCUCUGUUUGAUAGCUCAGUUUUUUCUAAGUAUUAUAAGCAUACUACAGUUUUUUAGAAUACCAUGAUUUUAAUUACUGUGAGCUGUUUGGCAGCCCAAAAACUGUAGUAUGGCCAAAACUGUGGUAUUUUAUUUGUGUAAAAAGAAGAAUCCCAGAUCUGCGGUAUGCACAUUAAGCAAUAUAAAAAUCAUAUCGCUAAAAAAAAAAAAAGAACCCCAGACCUCUUUCUUUAAACAGAGCAAGCGAAAAGAGGCAUCGCACGCACACUUUAUUUUCUUCGCUGCUCCACCCACCGCUCCGCUCCGGCCACCGGCCCUGCUCCACACGCCUCGACUGCGUGCCAGAAGGUGGGCAAGCAGUCCCGUCGGCCAUUUCGUAGCUCCGCCUGCUGAGACACCUACACCAUGUUGUGAACCAUGCUCAUUGAUAAUCUACAAGUCUUGUGCAAGGCUGUUCUUCAUGCAUGUGGCUACCUGCUUCUACAGUUUGCGUGCAACGGCUUGACACUAUCAAACAGGUAGCCUGUAUUGCUGAUACUUCAAAAUUCUUUAAUAUGUAAAAACUGUGGUAAAUUAUGCCAACAGUCAAAAAUACUGUAGUUUUUCAAUACUUCGGUUUUUAGAAUACUUGUGCGAGAGAGAGAAAUGGGGAUCGUACCGGAUCCAGAGAAAAACGCAGCAAGGUUGCAAGAAAUCCAUCGACAGCGGCUCAGAUCCCGCUCGGCCCCCAGCUCGGACGGCCAUGGACGCCCACCCGCACUGGCGGCAGCCCCGAGGGGCCUCCAAGCCGAUGCGCGAUCCGACGAGGCAGGAGGGGGCCGGCGCCGGCGGCCCACUCCAUCCUAGGGAGGGACACGGCCCCAACCGAGGCGCGCGAUCAUCAGCCACGGCGAGCGGGGCGGGCGCGGCGACGGGAUGGCAAGCAUCAAUGGUGGAAGUUAAGGAGGACUACAAUGGCAAAUAUCAACUGAAAAAUUGAUAAUGGAUACGAAAAUUGGACCAAAAAACUGAAAAAUGGCAUCAAUAAGAAUCUGCUUUUAAAUUUGUUCAAUAAAAAGAUUUCACACCAUCUCACCUUUCCAGAAGGUGCACACAAAGAACCAAAGUCAUAGUUUUUUUUUUUUUUGAGACAAACCAAAGCCAUAGGUAAUGACAGGUUUCUUUUUCAAGCUACAGGCCGACAAUGCACAGAAUAUAUAUAACUUAAUUUUCACAAUGAGCCCAUGACCAUUCACAGUUGCCAAACGGGCAUUCUUCAAAUCAAGAAGAAACAAAGAAAAGUUAGUAGGGAAAUCAAGCUGUUUUCUGGAGGAUAUUCCAGAAGUUCUCACUGAUCAAAUUACUAUAAUCAAACAGUAGUAGAAGUAUCAAACACAGGUGUCAUAACAAACACAUGCACGAGGAAUAGUUCGUGAAAUCCAGGAAAAUUGUAGAGUAUUACUUGAAUGGCUCAGAUUUAACCCACCAUAAAUCACCAAAGUUGGACAACGCUUCAGGUAGUACUUGAAGCCUUAUGGUACCAAACAACAACAACAACAACAACAACAACAAAGCCUUUCAGUCCCAAACAAGUUGGGAUAGGCACGUGGAUAGCUAAUUUCCAUGCACCCCUGUUCAUUGCUAGUUCUUUGGUGAUAUUCCAAUCCUUCAGGUCUCCUUACCANNNNNNNNNNNNNNNNNNNNNNNNNNNNNNNNNNNNNNNNNNNNNNNNNNNNNNNNNNNNNNNNNNNNNNNNNNNNNNNNNNNNNNNNNNNNNNNNNNNNNNNNNNNNNNNNNNNNNNNNNNNNNNNNNNNNNNNNNNNNNNNNNNNNNNNNNNNNNNNNNNNNNNNNNNNNNNNNNNNNUUCCUAGUAUAACUACUAACUGUCUAACUGGGCAAAGUUGAAUGGAACCAAUUUAGGAGACAUGAAAGCAUCUAUAUCUCAGGAUAUGUUGAAAGAUCUCCAACACCAAAGGGGAGGAAAUCANNNNNNNNNNNNNNNNNNNNNNNNNNNNNNNNNNNNNNNNNNNNNNNNNNNNNNNNNNNNNNNNNNNNNNNNNNNNNNNNNNNNNNNNNNNNNNNNNNNNUCUUUUAAAAUGCCCAACUAUUUCUUAUAGUUGGGAAUAUUUUUUUCAGAAGGGGUCAAAAGCAUUUAUUAUAUUUUAUUUUUUGUUAAAAGCCUUUCUUUAUUUUAAGAUUUCCGUUUUAAAAGGAUUUAAAAAAACAAAGGGGGAGGACCCCAGGCCAAGGCCCAGCAGGCCAAGGCCCACGCCUCCCCUCCCCAGCCCUAGCGUCGCGAGCCAGCCCCUCGAUCUCUCCUCCCGCAGCGCCGUCGUCCUCAGCGCCAUCUCCCUCCUCUCGUUCCCCUGUGCCGAGUCCCAGCCCCGCCGCCAGUAGCUCCUCUGCGCCGCCUCCAUGGCCUCGGCGUCGCCCCUGCUUCCCAGGCCGUCGCCCCUACCUUGCCUCCGGUCGCCGCUCGCAGGCCCCGCGCGCCGCAGCCUCCAGCAGCUGCUCCGUCCCUUGCCCAGCGCCUCCCCAUUGCCGCCGCCAUGGCCUCCUCCUCCCAGCGCUCCCUCACGCCAUGGCCUCCUCCGUCCCCGUGCUCGCCAUGGCCGCCGGUCCCCUGCCGAUUUGCUGCUGCUGUGAAUGUUGUUGUUGCGCUAAGCUGUUGCGUUGCGUGCUGCCGAAGUUGUUGGUUCCUGCUGCCGCUGUUGCUGCGUUUGCUAACUGCUGAUGUUGCUCUGCUAGCUUGCCGCUGCUACCUGCCUGUUGCUACUGUGUCUGAUGCUGCUGCUUGCUGCCUGCUAUGGUUGUUGUUGCUUGCCAGGUUGCUGUGUUGUUGCCUGCUUUUGCCGCCUGCCCUGCUGCCGAGCUAGCUUGCUUGCCUGCUGCCCUGUUGCGUUUUGCUUGCUAGGGCCAUGUGUUGUUCCUUGCCGUGGCUGAUGCUUGCUAUUACGGCUAGCUGAAUCUGCUUGUUGUUAGUUGCUUUUGCUGUUAGGUGCUAGGCUAGGUUGCAAGCUAGCUGCUGCUUAGUGCUAGGUUGCUUGUUGUGCCAUAGCCGCUGCUUGUCGUAUUUGCAUUGCCAGUGCUAGUAGUUGUUGUCGUUAGAUGCCUUGAUGUAGAUGUUGUUGUUGUGUGGCCGCUGUCGCUGUCGUUGAAGACCGGUGCACCAUCCCCGCCACCGCGGCCCGAUGACAACUACGUCCUCGACAAACCCCGAACAUCGACGGAGACGUGGUCGACUACCGACGCCGAAGACCCGAGAACCACGACGCCGAGCGAACGACUACCGUCGACGAGACCGGUACCACGACUUCCAGGACGUCCACAACGACCGUUGUUCCCCUUCACUGGACCGAACCGUUCCGAUUCGCACGCGUCGAAGGUAUACCGAUGAGACGUGGCCGAGAACCGUAUGCAUGUGUUGUACGAGUUGAAUAUAUGUAUGCACCGUAUGUUUGACCAUUGCACGUUGUCCCUCUAUGUUGUGCCCGACACAUGGGAACCCGGUAANNNNNNNNNNNNNNNNNNNNNNNNNNNNNNNNNNNNNNNNNNNNNNNNNNNNNNNNNNNNNNNNNNNNNNNNNNNNNNNNNNNNNNNNNNNNNNNNNNNNGGAGUGGUUAUAACAACCUUGACUAAGUGUUACAUGUACUGGCUAAUACCCCCUUCAGCCGGAACGCCGUGGGGAAGGACGUUCAAGCUGUCCCGAAACUCAUGGAACACUUGAGACGGUAGGCCUUUGGUGAACAAGUCGGCAAACUGGGAGCUCGAGGGAACGUGAAGCACCCGUGCCUCACCGAGAGCUACUUUGUCGCGGACGAAGUGCAAGUCAAUCUUGAUGUGCUUCGUCCGUUGAUGCUGAACUGGGUUGGAGGCCAGAUAAGUGGCGCUGACAUUGUCACAGUACACCACGGUUGCACGAGCUGGAGGACAGCGUAGUUCGUGGAGCAACUGCCGUAGCCAACAAGACUCGGCCACGCAGUUGGCGACACCACGAUACUCGGCUUCCGCACUGGAUCUGGACACCGUUGGCUGCCGCUUGGAGGACCAGGAGACAAUGUUAUCGCCAAGGAACACGCAGAACCCGGAUGUAGACUUGCGGGUGUCAGGGCAGCCCGCCCAGUCGGCAUCCGUAUAUGCAAUGAGGUCCGUAGAAGAUGAUUUGUAAAGCUGAAUCCCAUAGUGUGAUGUACCCUGUAGGUAACGCAGAAUCCGCUUGACGAGGUGCAUGUGGGUAUCGCGUGGGGAGUGCAUGAAGAGACAUAUUUGUUCACAUUGCAUAGCUUUGACGAUGACAUUGUAUUGUGUGUGGACGAAAGUGAAGAAGCGUUGAAGGGUGGAGGAGGUGUCGGACUUGUUGCGUAGAGGAAACGACCACGAGUAGUGCGUAAAAUCGUCAAGUACAACCAGAUAGUAUUGGUAACCUGAGAAGCUUAUAACAGGCGGUGUCCACAAAUCACAAUGUAUUAAAUCAAAGGGAGCAAAGGUUUUGCUAAAGGAGGAAGAGAAAGGGAGGCGGGGUUGGCGGCCUAAUUGGCAAGCAGUACAAGGAGAGUGCGGGGCCUUAUUACAAGUGCUAAGAAAAUCAUUGGUAAUGGUGGACAUGGAGUGGGCGCCAGGAUGGCCGAGCCGGCGAUGCCAAAGAUCCGCCGAGGAGAUGGCGAAGAUGGAGGGAGGCGUCCUUUUGUUGUCGUAGAAUAGGUAGAGGUCGCCGUGACUAGCGGAGAUCAUUAGAACCCUCUGGGUGCGAAGAUCCUUCACAAUAAAACCAAAUGGGUAAAAUUCAAUAGAGCAAGAAUUAUCGCGAGUGAAACGGCGAACGGAGAUGAGGCUAGUGACGACCGUUGGUGAAACGAGUACGUCGGUGAGGCGAAAUUCGUAGGGGUGAAGUGUUGUGGAGCCGGAAGCGGUGACGGGAAGGUGGUUACCAUUGCCGACAAGGAUGCUUGAAGGUGUAUGCUUUAAAGAAUAAUUAUGCUUGGUCAGGUUACCUGGGUUUCCCGUCACGUGUGAGGACGCGCCGCUGUCGAGGUACCACUCUGGUGCAGGCCGAGAGGGGAACCCGCCACCGUUGUAGGCGGCGUUGAGCAUGGCGGCGUGCUCCCAUGAAGGACAAGGAGGUGGAUAGAAGGAUGGCGGUGGUGACGGGAGCAUAGGGUAUGCCUGCGCGUGUGAGCCAGGGCGUGGACCAAGGACGCCCGCAGCGUUCGGAGGAAUCCAGCCGGGCCGAGGAGGUGGCAGCGCCAUGCCGUACGAGGCGAAAUAGCCAGUUAACGGAGUGGCAGGUGGAGUGGGGUGGCGUCCGGAGUUGUCGCCGCGGCCGCGGCCACGGCCACGGCCGCCACAGUCACCACGUCCGCGCCCAGAGGGCGAAGGAGAUGGAUGAGGAGUGCCGCGGUCGCCGUGGGAAGCGUCAGAGGGCCGGUCGGAGGAGGUGCGUCCACCCGGAGUGGAGUUGGCGCCGGAGGGUGAUCCACCCGUCAGAGCGAAGGCCGAGGCGCUCUCGUCGGCCACACGCUGCGCUUGGGACUCCUCGGCGAGGGUGACACGGGAGAGAACCGUGUUGAAGGGGAGAUCCUGAUCGCCGAGAACGACGCGGAUGGUGUCGAGACGCUUGUCCAACCCGUGAAGGAAUUGGGUGGUGAGGUCCACCUCGGUGACGGCGUGAUCAAUAUCAGCGAGGCCGUCGGUGAGAAGCUUCAUGCGUCGCGCGUAUUCAGAGACGGAGAGAUCGCCCUGCUUGAGAUUGCGGUACUGGCGAUUGAGAGACAUGUAGCGGGCGACACGAUUUGCAAGGAAGAAGUCCUUGAUCUUGUGCCAGAGGGCGAAGGUGGUGGUGGCGCCGACGACAUGGUCACACAUCGUGUCGGAGAGGGUGGCAUAGAUCCAGAGCACGACAUGCGCAUCCAGCUCAAGGUAGGCAGGCGGGGCAUUGGGGGGAGGUGGUUGCUUGGUGAGAUAAGAGACGUCUUAGCGGAGGAGGACCAUGAGGAAGAAGGUCUUCCAUUUGUGGUAGUUAUGAUCGGCCGGAUUGAGAAGGAGUUUGAUGUGGUUGGUGAUGUGGUCGCCGAAGAUGGGAUGGCGUGGUGCGGCGGCAGGGGCAACAGGGGAUAUGGUGGCACCGGAGGAGAAGAGAGGGGCGAAUUGGGAGCCGGAGGCGGUGCCGAAGAUGAACGGGGGAGGUGUGGCAGCGGAGGAGGAGGACGGCAUGGCCGUGGGAGGUGCCGCGGCGAAGGAGGAGGAGCCCGGCGAGGUGGCGGAGCUCGUGGCGGCGGAGGACACCGGCGACGCAGAGGUGUCGGGGGAGGCCAUGAGGACGUGGAGAAUUGAUACCAAGUUGGAAUAUGUAUUGUGAUUCCUUGAACAAUGAUGUUACAAAGUGUACAAUAUAUAGACUUGGCUACCCCUAUUUGCGUGGCACGUAGGCCAUUUCCCCUAGUGAUCCUAUGAUAUAGGAGUGGUUAUAACAACCUUGACUAAGUGUUACAUGUACUGGCUAAUAGAAUGGCUACAGUAUACGUAAAUCACUCAACAGCAAACAGUUAUUUCUCGGAAUAAAUUGAGCUGGGGAUGAUCACGGCAGUUAUAGGGACCUCCGGGAUGCUGAACCCAGCAUUGAUCAGGCUCAGCUUGGCGAUGCUGAACCCAGCUGUCACCUAUAUCACGCUGAGGCCCGGCGGGAUGAUCAGGUAAGGCCAUUGGGCCCGUGAAUAUUCGCUGCCAGUCAUGCUGAUCUUGGCGAUGCUGAACCCAGCUCUCACCUGCAUCUGCUUGGAGAAGCUGUUGCUGGAGCUGGACCUCUCGCCGAAGUGUGGCAUCGCCGGCAUCGGCUUCCCUUCUACCAAUUUAAGUGAUCUAAUCGCCAAUGAUGUCUUCAUAUAUGAAUAGAGUGCACAUAAAUUUCAUGCAAGACAGGCAAUAAUCUUUACAGCUGAUCCAGGGAGUACGCGAGGAAGAGAGCUGGGAGGAGCAGAGGAGGGAGUACCCGAGGUGAGAGACACGGACGGCAGCGGCGACGGAUUUCAAUUUUUACAACAACAAAUUAAUUCAGGUGUUGUGUAGUGCGGGUUGAAAUGAGGAAACGGCAAGAGGGAAAGUGCAAAAAUGCAUUGGUUGACCGUCCCGCCAUGCUGGCUCCAUGUGGCGUCAUCUGAUUGGUCAAGGACUAAAUUUGCACCUCCUAUGCAAGUUCUAGGACUAGUUAGUCCUUUUUUGCAAGUUUUAGGACUAAACCAUCACAUACCGUGCAAGUUCUAGGACCUGCGGUGCUAUUAACUCUUACUUUUAUACAGCCUGCUUCAGUCGGGUACUGUUUGCCCAUUUUGAACCUGCCUUGACAAGAGUUCAUGUGUUGGUAUUGUAUACGGAGUACAAAGUUACAAACCCAAAGGGAUAAGAUUUCUGUCAAGUGCCGACGGCGAUCACGUCAAUCUUGGAACCGUUUCACACGCGCAUCGUCACUUUGUCCUUCGCCAACCUUCGCCUAUUCCGUAGUUCCUGCUUUGAGUUGCAAAUCUGAGCAACGGAACCGGUAUCAAAUACCCAUGCACUACAACGAGAUUUGGUAAGGUACACAUCAAUAACAUGUAUAUCAAACAUACCUUGUUUGGCGUUGGCCGCCUUCUUAUCGGCCAGAUACUUGGGACAGUUUCGCUUCCAGUGACCAAUCCCCUUGCAAUGAUAACACUCAGUUUCCGGCUUUGGUCCAGCUUUGGGUUUCUUCUUUGAAGGGGCAACAGCUUUGCCACUCUUCUUGGAGUUACCCUUUUUGCCCUGCCGUUUUUUUUGAAAUUGGUGGUCUUAUUGACCAUCAACACUUGAUGUUCUUUAUGAAUUUCUCACAUGAACCUCNNNNNNNNNNNNNNNNNNNNNNNNNNNNNNNNNNNNNNNNNNNNNNNNNNNNNNNNNNNNNNNNNNNNNNNNNNNNNNNNNNNNNNNNNNNNNNNNNNNNAUGGAUCAAGACUGGGAUUUGUCACUCCGUGUGACGGAGAGGUAUCUCGGGGCCCACUCGAUAAUACAACAUCACACACAAGCCUUGCAAGCAAUGUAACUUAGUGUAAGUUGCGGGAUCUUGUAUUACGGAACGAGUAAAGAGACUUGCCGGUAAACGAGAUUGAAAUAGGUAUGCGGAUACUGACGAUCGAAUCUCGGGCAAGUAACAUACCGAAGGACAAAGGGAAUGAUAUACGGGAUCAUACGAAUCCUUGGCACUGAGGUUCAAACGAUAAGAUCUUCGUAGAAUAUGUAGGAUCCAAUAUGGGCAUCCAGGUCCCGCUAUUGGAUAUUGACCGAGGAGUUUCUCGGGUCAUGUCUGCAUAGUUCUCGAACCCGCAGGGUCUGCACACUUAAGGUUCGACGUUGUUUUAUGCGUAUUUGAGUUAUAUGGUUGGUUACCGAAUGUUGUUCGGAGUCCCGGAUGAGAUCACGGACGUCACGAGGGUUUCCGGAAUGAUCUGAAAACGAAGAUUGAUAUAUAGGAUGACCUCAUUUGAUUACCGGAAGGUUUUCGGAGUUACCGGGAAUGUACCGGGAAUGACGAAUGGGUUCCGGGAGUUCACCGNNNNNNNNNNNNNNNNNNNNNNNNNNNNNNNNNNNNNNNNNNNNNNNNNNNNNNNNNNNNNNNNNNNNNNNNNNNNNNNNNNNNNNNNNNNNNNNNNNNNNNNNNNNNNNNNNNNNNNNNNNNNNNNNNNNNNNNNNNNNNNNNNNNNNNNNNNNNNAGCCCUUAGUGGGCUGGUGGGACAGCCCCAAGGGGGCCUAUGCUCCAAGAGAAGAAAAUCAAAGGAAAAGAAAAAAAAAAGAGGGAAGAAGUGGGAAGGGAGGGGGACACCUCCCACCAAACCAAGUCCAACUCGGUUUGGGGGGGGAGUCCUCCCCCCCUUGGCUCGGCCGACCCCUUGGGAGUCCCUUGGACCCCAAGGCAAGGUCCCCCUCCCUCCUCCUAUAUAUAUGGGGCUUUUAGGGCAGAUUUGAGACGACUUUCUCACGGCUGCCCGACCACAUACCUCCAUAGUUUUUCCUCUAGAUCGCGUUUCUGCGUAGCUCGGGCGGAGCCCUGCUGAGACGAGAUCAUCACCAACCUCCGGAGCGCCGUCACGCUGCCGGAGAACUCUUCUACCUCUCCGUCUCUCUUGCUGGAUCAAGAAGGCCGAGAUCAUCGUCGAGCUGUACGUGUGCUGAACGCGGAGGUGCCGUCCGUUCGGUACUAGAUCGUGGGACUGAUCGCGGGAUUGUUCGCGGGGCGGAUCGAGGGACGUGAGGACGUUCCACUACAUCAACCGCGUUCUCUAACGCUUCUGAUAUACGAUCUACAAGGGUACGUAGAUCACUCAUCCCCUCUCGUAGAUGGACAUCACCAUGAUAGGUCUUCGUGCGCGUAGGAAAAUUUUUGUUUCCCAUGCGACGUUCUCCAACAGUGGCAUCAUGAGCUAGGUUCAUGCGUAGAUGUCUUCUCGAGUAGAACACAAAAGUUUUUGUGGGCGGUGAUGUGCGUUUUGCCGCCCUCCUUAGUCUUUUCUUGAUUCCGCGGUAUUGUUGGAUUGAAGCGGCUUGGACCGACAUUACUCGUACGCUUACGAGAGACUGGUUUCAUCGUUACGAGUAACCCCCUUUGCUCAAAGAUGACUGGCAAGUGACGGUUUCUCCAACUUUAGUUGAAUCGGAUUUGACCGAGGAGGUCCUUGGAUGAGGUUAAAUAGCAACUCAUAUAUCUCCGUGUGGUGUUUGCGUAAGUAAGAUGCGAUCCUACUAGAUACCCUUGGUCACCACGUAAAACAUGCAACAACAAAAUUAGAGGACGUCUAACUUGUUUUUGCAGGGUAUGAUUGUGAUGUGAUAUGGCCAACGAUGUGAUGUGAUAUAUUGGAUGUAUGAGAUGAUCAUGUUGUAAUAGAAAUAUCGACUUGCACGUCGAUGGUACGGCAACCGGCAGGAGCCAUAGGGUUGUCUUUAUACUAACAUAUAUGCUUGCAGAUGCGUUUACUAUUUUGCUAGGAUGUAGCUUUAGUAGUAAUAGCAUAAGUAGCACGACAACCACGAUGGCAACACGUUGAUGGAUGAUCAUGGUGUGGCGCCGGUGACAAGAAGAUCGUGCCGGUGCUUUGGUGAUGGAGAUCAAGAAGCACGUGAUGAUGGCCAUAUCAUGUCACUUAUGAAUUGCAUGUGAUGUUAAUCCUUUUAUGCACCUUAUUUUGCUUAGAACGACGGUAGCAUUAUGAGGUGAUCUCUCACUAAAAUUUCAAGACGAAAUUGUGNNNNNNNNNNNNNNNNNNNNNNNNNNNNNNNNNNNNNNNNNNNNNNNNNNNNNNNNNNNNNNNNNNNNNNNNNNNNNNNNNNNNNNNNNNNNNNNNNNNNUUUUCUCACCUUCACUGACGAUUUAAGUAGAUAUGGUUAUGUCUACUUGAUGAAGCACAAGUCUGAAACAUUUGAAAAGUUCAAGCAAUUUCAGAGUGAAGUGGAAAAUCAUCGUAACAAGAAGAUCAAGUUCCUACGGUCUGAUCGUGGGGGUGAGUAUCUGAGUUUCGAGUUUGGUACUCACUUAAGACAAUGUGGAAUUGUUUCGCAGUUAACACCGCCUGGAACACCACAGCGUAAUGGUGUGUCCGAACGUCGUAAUCGUACUUUGUUAGAGAUGGUGCGAUCUAUGAUGUCUCUUAGUGAUUUGCCGUUAUCAUUUUGGGGUUAUGCAUUGGAAACAGCUGCAUUCACUUUAAAUAGGGCACCAUCGAAAUCCGUCGAGACGACACCAUACGAACUGUGGUAUGGCAAAAGACCAAAGUUGUCGUUUCUUAAAGUUUGGGGAUGUGAUGCUUAUGUCAAAAAGCUUCAGCCUGAAAAGCUGGAACCCAAAGCGGAAAAAUGCGUCUUCAUAGGUUACCCAAAAGAGACAGUUGGGUACACCUUCUAUCUCAAAUCCGAGGGCAAAGUGUUUGUUGCUAAGAACGGAACUUUUCNNNNNNNNNNNNNNNNNNNNNNNNNNNNNNNNNNNNNNNNNNNNNNNNNNNNNNNNNNNNNNNNNNNNNNNNNNNNNNNNNNNNNNNNNNNNNNNNNNNNAUAAAACUAAUCACACGACGGAAACGGAAAUAAAAGGGGGAAUCUUCUAGGCGUCAGUCUCGGGCUGUCACAGCUCUCCUACACUACAAGAGGAUCUCGCCCCGAGAUCCAAGUAUGAAAGGGGAAGAGGAUGAGAAAGAACAAGAGGUAAGAACUUAGUCGCUUCUUUGACAAACGAGUGAAACCAACGAUCCUUGAAGGUAGCAAAGAGAUGAGGAAUGAUAUGAGAAAGAAGCGAGAAUUCACGGAAAAUUUCGGCAACACUUUGGUAGGAAAAUGGGACAAAAAACUCGAUAAGAAGAGAGAAUUAGACAAUAUUCAUAACAAACAAGUAAAUAGAACAAGGGAACACCAUGAUCUUGAUAGAACAACAUAAUAGACCCAAAAGAACAACAUCACAAUGCCUUCGGAACAAGAGAAUAUGACAUAGCUCAUACGGAAGCAGAGAAUGAAGAAUAGAAUGACAACUAUCAUCACAAUUGAAUUGAAGAGCCUCCGGACAGAGAAUUGACGUAGUAGUUGGAAAACCAACAACGAAAAGAACAAGGUAGUAGUGGGUUUAUGAAAAUCAUCUCAACAAAUAUGAGGUGACAACCAACCACUACAAGAACCAAGGAUAGAUGAAAGCAAAGAUAUCAAAACUUCUUACACCAAGAGGGUGCACUGAGAACUGGGAUUAAUAACAAGCACCAUGAUAGCACAAUCCAUAGGAAAAGCUUUAGGUGAAGCCUAAACCAAGAUAGCUCAAUGAAGAAACCAUGAGUUAAGAAUAAUCUCAUGAUCAAAGGAUUGAUGGAUUUAACUAUCUCAUUCUUGAAAGGAAAUCUCUUCGAGGCUCCUACACUAACAAGAAUGCUACAAUACCACCUCAAAGGAUAAAGGAGAACAAACGCAUUGGAAAUGCAAGAGAAAGAAAACAUGAGGUUCUCCAAUAAGAAUCUUGAAGAACACUUGAGAAUGGAUUGAAACCUUGAUGAACCACCAUGAAGGACCUCCGUAUACAAAUGAAUGAUGCAAAGAUAUGAAGGAAGAAAGAAUAAGAUUAUGACCUUGCCAAGAUUUAGAUGAAGCUUCACAAAGAGAUUCUUGAGAAAACUUGGAACUCCGGAAAAGAAAAGAUAAUAACAUUUGAGAAAAAGGAAUUGAUAUCAUGAGGCACUCCGAAAGAAGAAUUCAGAUUACUAUGAACAAGAAUAAGAAUUAUGUUAUGCUUAUACUUCAUCAAGUUUAAUUGAUGACAAGAAACGGAUUUAGCAUAGCACUUAUCCUUGUAGAAAGAACUUUAAGAAAGAGGGAGAUAUGCACCACAUGAAGCAUAAUGAAGGAAGCACCGGUGAGAAUCGGAUUGAAUGGGGAUACCAAGAAUUAAUGGAGAUACAUGAGAAUGAAGAGAUCAUGAUCCACCUGAAAGAGAACUUGAACAAGGCACCGGAUAAUUGAGAGAUGAAUGAAGAGACAACAAUUGAGAAGAAUUGAGGAUGAAAGCUGAAAGCUGAGAACAAAGAAUCUUCUGAAAUGAUGGCCUUCGGAGGAACGAGAAAUAAAAACAACUCAAAAACGCAUCGGAUAGCAAGAAAGAGAUUAAUCAUGAUUGGAACAAAUAAGAUGAUGGCACAAAGCUGAAAUGAUGAAUCUUAAAAAAAAAGGACCAAGAUUUGAGAGAAACACUUCUUCGAAUUGCAAGCUGAGAAUGAUGACGAGAACAACACCAAGAAUUACCGAGACACUCCGGAAUAGAGAAAAAUGAAAGUUUGAGCCAAAUAUGAGAAUUAAUUCGAAUAUAACUUGAAGAAUUAAAUAUGACUGAUGGAAAUCAUACUUACGUCAUAGUUGAAAGAAUUAGAGAUCUUUGGGAAAGAUUACAAAAGCCAGAUAAGAUCCUGGGAAAGAACCUGUGGGUUAUGGGCCCACUCAAAGAAACCACCGUUGGAAAAGAUUACUUGGAAGAGAGAUAUUGCACCGGUAUGACGAGAACUAGAUGAGGUUGAGAACCUCGAAAUAAUUAAAAGAAUUGAAAACAAGAACUUCUAAGAUAUCUUAAAUGCUGCGGAUAGAAAAGAGAGGAAUGAAUAACCAAGAUAGGCUGAAAAGAAUCUCCAACAUGAAAAAGAAUUACAAGGAUAAUUGGGAUAUGAUGAACACGGAUAGCUGAAUUAAAUUCACCGGUAAGGAUGAUAAGAAUGAACAAAUAUGACACGAAUCUCCUGAGAAUCUUCACAAUGAAUCACCGGGUAAGAGAGAAAAGAACAGACAUCGGAAGCACAAUGAAAAGAAAACUCUUGGAUGAAAAUUGAACCACUGAGAAAAGGGUGGGAGGGCGGGGAAAAACAAAUACAACUUGAGACAGAUGAGAUAACUCCGGAAAGAACUGAGAGAAUGAUGUGCAAAAUUAGAGAGGAUUGAAUUCACUAAAAAGAAGCACACCGCUUAAAAAGGAAUUAACAUGACGACUUCGGUUAACAAGAAUUGACAAGACAACUGAUUGAGCAAAAGGAUUAGCAUUCACAUAAAAAUAUGAGAACCCCUCUUGGAAAGGUCUGAAAUCACCACUUGAAAUCGAAGUAACACAAAUUUGUUGGAAGAUCGUCCUAUAAGUAACUACUUGAAUUCCCACCUAAGAAUUCCCGAAUAUCUAGUCAUGCAAUCUGGUACACGGAUACAAGGAGUAAUAAUCACACAACUCCUAUACUAACCCGUCACCUGUAUCACAUCCGUCAACACACAACCAGAACCUCGGACCUUCAUCUACAACAGACCCUCAUGAUCACAACGAUACAAAGUAUGGCAGUACUCCCGAACAAUCUGCACCAGUACUGGGGACAUCAGGGUUAUCUCGCCACUACUAGUAUUGAAGCAAUUACAAACAUCCUUCGUUCUGAGAUACUAAGAAAUCUGAAUGAUAACGAUGUGCUCAAGAAUCCCCUGGAGCUCAACUCCCCUGAAACUCAAAGCAGAUAGGAGGCACCAAGACAAAACUCCGUCACAUCAGCAUCAUAUAGAUCUCAAAAAUAUCCGCGUGAUCCUAAAUAUUUUUAUGAGUGAGAAGAGGAGUAGAAUAAUUAUUACGUCAAGAUUCCUCACCAGAGCAUAGAAGAGGAGAAAAAAGAAUCCUACUCUCCGAUAUAUAACUAGACUCAAAGUUUUUUUUACUAGACUCGACUCGGCGAAGUUCGAUCAAUCAAGGGGGCUCCUAGGUNNNNNNNNNNCAGUUUUUCACUAGACUCGACUCGGCGAAGUUCGAUCAAUCAAGGGGGCUCCUAGGUCGGUACUGCUCUGAUACCAACUUGUCACGCCCAAGAUGCGACCCUAUCCUCAAUUUGGCACGAAGGCCUCGUCAGGGAUAGAAGCGCAUCUCGUCGUGUCGCAAGAAUAGAUAUCGUUACAAGUACAUGUACUGAAAAGAAGAUAUAUAUAAUAGAAUUGGCUUACACUCGCCACAAGCUACAUCAGAGUCACAUCAGUACAUUACAUAAUCAUCAAGAGUAAAAGCAGGGUCCGACUACGGACGAAAACAAACGAGAAAAGAAGAACGACAUCCAUCCUUGUUAUCCCAGGCUGCCGGCCUGGAACCCAUCCUAGAUCGAUGAUGAAGAAGAAGAAGAAGCAACUCCAAAUGAACAAUCAACGCGCUCGCGUCAAGUAACCUUUACAUGUACCUGCAACUGGUGUUGUAGUAAUCUGUGAGCCACAGGGGACUCAGCAAUCUCAUUUCCAAAGGUAUCAAGACUAGCAAAGCUUAUGGGUGAGGUAUGGUUAAGUGGUGAGGUUGCAGCAGCGGCUAGCAUAUAUUUGGUGGCUAAACUUACGAGUACAAGAAAUAAGAGGAGGAAGAUCUACGCAUAGCGGACGGAAGCUACGGAUGAUCAAACGAAUGAUCCUGAACACCUACCUACGUCAGACAUAACCNNNNNNNNNNCGGGUGAGGUAUGGUGAAGUGGUGAGGUUGCAGCAACGGCCAGCAUAUAUUUGGUGGCUAAACUUACGAGUACAAGAAAUAAGAGGGGGAAGAUCUACCCAUAGCGGACGGAAGCUACAGAUGAUCAAACGAAUGAUCCUGAACACCUACCUACGUCAGACAUAACCCCACCGUGUCCUCGAUCGGAGAAGGAACUCGCGAAAGAGACAGUCACGGUAACGCACUCAGUUGGCAUAUUUUAAUUAAGUUAACUUCAAGUUAUCUAGAACCAGUGUUAAACAAAGUUUCCACGUUGCCACAUAACUGCGGGCACGACUUUCCGAAAAGAUUUAACCCUGCAGGGGUGCUCCAACUAGUCCAUCACAAAUUACCACAAGCCGCAUAGAAAUCCUCAACGACGAAGCUCGUGAUCUCGUCGGAUUCCUUAGUGGAAAACCUCAACUCUGAGAUUACCCAAAGCAUCACCGGAAUCCCGAUGCACAAGAUAUUUCAUCAAAGGUAAAACUAAUCCAGCAAGGCCGCCUGACGUGUCGACGAACCCGAUAGGAGCCGUGUAUCUCGUUCUCAGGACACGACGGAUGGGUCACACUAGGAGAACCAAACCUCGGGUUGCCCCGCGAUGGCCCCGUAGUCUGCCAAUUUGGACCAACACUCAUGAGGAGAACUGGCCUGGGGGUUGAUUAAAUUAUCCUCGGGGUCCGGAAAGUCCCUAUGCAAUUUUAUUAGGUGUUUAGGCAAAUGUAGUACCAAAGUUGGGCCUUGCCAGGCCAGUCUUAAUCUAAAACGAAUUAUCAAGGGGGUCCCCAUAACAACCCCGAUCGUGUUAGGAGCGCUCAAUUAUGGAACAUAACAUCGGUAGCCGAAACUAAGGGGGCAAAGGUGGAACAAAACACCAGGCUAGAAAGGCCGAGCCUUCCACCUUUUACCAAGUAUAUAGGUCCAUUAAAUUAAAUAGCAUUUAAAUAUGGUGAUAUAACAAGGAACCCAUGUUAUCACAUGGAAGCAUCUGCACCUUCAACUAGCAACGCUAACACAUGGUUAAGCAAGCAAUAACAUAGCCAAUCAGUGGUUUGCUAGGUUGAACAGGUUGAUGGUUUUCAUGGCAUUGUUGAGAGGCUGAUAUUUAACAUGUGGUAGGCAACGAGACAAAUCGAUAGAAGCGAUAAAACUAGCAUGGCAAUGAUAGUAAUGGUAUCUCGGGAAAUGGUCAUCUUGCCUGAGAUCCCGCUUGGAAGAAGAAUGACUCCGUGAAGCAGACGAACCAACGUAGUCGAACGGUUCCUCACUUUCCGACACGCUUGCGGAACUCUAUCGGAACGGAGCAAACCGAAAACAAACAUCAACACAGAUAUUCACCACACGAUGCACAACAUGAUGCACAACCUAAUAUGAUGCAUGAUCAGUUCAAUGAUGCAAGGGGUGGCAUGGCAAUUCACCUCACGCAAACUCUACACAUUAAGUGAAGCUCGAUAUACAACGGGUUGCAUAUCGACGAAACUCCACGAUUAAUUAUUUAAUUCACUCCCGAUUAUUUACACGACAAUAUUAAAUUGUUGUUAACAUGGCAAGGGUGAAGCGAUGAUCCUACAUGACAUCCUAGUCGGGUAACACGCGAAACAUCGAUCGGAGCUACGACGCAAGAAACAUGCAACACACGAUAUAUAUGCCAUGAAUGCGUUAUGCAUGCAAGUUACAACAUCACGGCAAGAAGAGAAGGAAACAUGUGUCGUCAUGGCGAACGAAAGGGAACCAUGGCGGCAAAACGGAAACGAUGCCACGACAACGUUCCUAUCCCGAUAACUCGACGAGCAAUCAUGCCAACGUGCUGGGAACGCGUGCGGGAACGGUAAAUAAGAUGGGGUGAUCCCGGUUACCGGGUUCCCAUGUGUCGGGCACAACAUAGAGGGACAACGUGCAACGGUCAAACAUACGGUGCAUACAUACAUUCAACUCAUACAACACAUGCAUACGGUUCUCGGCCACGUCUCGUCGGUAUACCUUCGACGCGUGCGAAUCGGAGCGGUUUGGUCCGGUGAAGGGGAACAACGGUCGUCGUGGACGUCGUGGAAGUCGUGGUACCGGUCUCGUCGACUGUAGUCGUUCGCUCGGCGUCAUGGUUCUCGGGUCUUCGGCGUCGGUAGUCGACCACGUCUCCGUCGAUGUUCGGGGUUCGUCGAGGAUGUAGUUGUCGUCGGGCCGCGGUGGCGGGGAUGGUGCACCGGUCUUCGGCGACGACGACAACGAUCACACAACUACAACAUCUACAGCAAGGCAUCUAACGACAACAACUACUAGCACUAGCAAUGCAAAUACGGCAAGCAGCGACUAUGGCACAACAAGCAACCUAGCACUAAGUAGCAGCUAGCUUGCAACCUAGCCUAGCACCUAAGAGCAAAAGCAACUAACAACAAGCAGAUUCAGCUAGCCGCAAUAGCAAGCAUCAGCCACGGCAAGCGACAGCACAUGGCAGCAGCAAGCAAAACGCAACAGGGCAGCAGGCAAGCAAGCUAGCUCGGCAGUAGGGCAGGCGGCACAAGCAGGCAACAUCACAGCAACCUGGCAAGCAACAACAACCACAACAGGUAGCAAGCAGCAGCAUCAGACACAGCAAUAGCAGGCAGGUAGCAGCGGCAAGCUAGCAGAGCAACAACAGCAGCUAGCAAACGCAGCAACAGCGACAGCAGGAACGAGCAGCUUCGGCAGCACACAUCGCAACAGCUUAGCGCAGCAGCAACAUUCACAGCAGCAGCAAAUCGGCAGGGGAACGGCGGCCAUGGCGAGCACGGGGACGGAGGAGGCCAUUGCAUGGAGGGAGCGCUGGAAGGAGGAGGCCAUGGCGGCGGCGACGGGGAGGCGCGGGGCUGGCGCGAUGCUGGGCAAGGGACGGAGCAGCUGCUGGAGGCGGCGGCGCGCGGGGCCUGCGAGCGGUGACCGGAGGCGAGGUAGGGGCGACGGCCUGGGAAGCAGGGGCGACGCUGAGGCCAUAGAGGCGGCGCAGAGGAGCUACUGGCGGCGGGGCUGGGACUCGGCACAGGGGAACGGGAGGAGGGAGAUGGCGCUGGGGACGACGGUGCUGCGGGAGGAGAGAUCGAGGGGCUGGCUCGCGACGCUAGUGCUGGGGAGGGGAGGCCUGGGCCUUGGCCUGCUGGGCCUUGGCGUGGGGUCCUCCCCCUUUGUUUUUUUAAAUCCUUUUAAAACAUAAAUCUUAAAAUAAAGAAAGGCUUUUAACAAAAGUAAAAUAUAAUAAAUGCUUUUGACCCCUUUUGAAAAAAAUAUUCCCAACUAUAAGAAAUAGUUGGGCAUUUUAAAAGAAAUGAUAUAAACCCCUUUUUUGAAGAAUUAAAAUUAAAAUCUUUUUUUGAAGAAUAAAAUAAACCUCUUUUAUUUAAAGAAUAAAAAUAAAAACUCUUUAAAAGAGAAAAGUAAAUGAGACGGUUUUAAAAUAAAACCAAAGGAGAAAAUUAAAGAAAAUCCAAGGGCUGCCCCCGCAUUUAAUAAAAUGACCUUUUUAAAAGAAGACGCUUUUUUCAAAGGGGAUAAAACGGAAACUUUAGCUAAACCACAAAAAUGAAAAGAGAGGUGAGAGGGGCGAGAAGGUUUUUUAGGUCCUCGGUGCAACUAGGUUACGANNNNNNNNNNGGACCUUUUUAAAAGAAGACGCAUUUUUUUAAAGGGGAUAAAACGGAAACUUUAGCAAAACCACAAAAAUGAAAAGAGAGGGGAGAGGGGCGAGAAGGUUUUUUAGGUCCUCGGUGCAACAGGGUUACGAGCUUGAACUUGUUGCACCCAAUCAUGUUGCAAGGCCCUAAGGCACAUACACACAUGCGCUCACACUCAAACAACGAGGUGCAACUAGCCACACCAGACAAGCACAGAUGACAUGAUGCCAUGCAUGAUGCGGCGAUGCAAACUACAUGACGAUGCAACAAAUAAAACUAAUCACACGACGGAAACGGAAAUAAAAGGGGGAAUCUUCUGGGCGUCGGUCUCGGGCUGUCACACCUCUCUGGUCAGAUCAGAAGCUGUAGCAGAGUGGUAGCUGCCUUGUGCGUGUGUGUGCUCGAGCAGCAGGUCUGGGGUUCGACCCCCAGUACCUCCCUUUUAUUUUUUCCCUUGUCCUCUGCAUUUCUUUUUUCCUUUGCUGUUCACCACCUUGCAACCUUGUUCUUUGUAGCUAGGUACUUAUUUUUCUUGUGCACUUAGAUGUUUGUGCUUCCUCCUCUCUUAAUCUGCAAGUAUGUUCAUUUGUUGGUGGCUUGUGAAUAAGAGGUGAUGCACUUGUGUGUGUGAAUAUGCACUUAGUAGAGUUGUAGAUGCAUGUGCUUAUAGUCUUGUGCUUAUCACUUUAGUUGAGAUUGGCAUUUUAUCUCCUUGCUUGUGCUGUAUAGUAGUGGGAGGUGAUGUGGUGUAUGUUUGGGUGCUUGUGAGAGGUGCAUGUGUGUGUGUGUGCAUACACAUGAGGUUAGUCAUACAUUGGUGUGUGUGUAUGGUGAUGCUUCCUAGUAGAUGAUCUUAUGUUGGUGGCUUGUGUUUAUGCUUGUGUGACUAGUAAGAGGUGGCAGUAGGUGAUGUGCAUAUGUGUGUGUGUNNNNNNNNNNNNNNNNNNNNNNNNNNNNNNNNNNNNNNNNNNNNNNNNNNNNNNNNNNNNNNNNNNNNNNNNNNNNNNNNNNNNNNNNNNNNNNNNNNNNNNNNNNNNNNNNNNNNNNNNNNNNNNNNNNNNNNNNNNNNNNNNNNNNNNNNNNNNNNNNNNNNNNNNNNNNNNNNNNNAUUCUUUGUGUUGCUAGCAUGUGUAGGUGGUGUGAGUUUCUACUAUAUGACAUGCAUAUGAGUUGAUGAUAUGCAUGUGGUGAAAAUAGCCCCACUUUGCAACACUUGUGCACCUUCACAUGUCCAUAUGUGAGAGGGCAUGGUGAUUUGUAUGUAUGGGUAGCUUGGUAGAAGUGGUUGUGAAGUUGAUGUGCAUGAAACAAACAUGGGGUUCAAACCCCCAUGUCACUUUGUCAUUGUGCACAUGAGCUCAACCAUGUAGUAGUUGAUAUAGUGAAACUACAUGAAAUGAUGCACUAUUCCCUAGUCAUGAUUUGGAGUAGUUUCCUCUUCCUUAAUUUGUGGUCACUUGUUCCAAGUAAGUGCCCACAUUUUAUAUAUGAUUUUGUGGUAGAAUUUCCCAAGGAAUCCAUUGGUGAACUUAGCUUUGCCAUUGGAACAUUUUUCUGGAAAGUCAUAUUUGCAUUUUCUUCUAAGUUUAGAGCUUGGUUCCAUGCAUGGUGAUGUGCUCUUGUAUUUGAUUCUUGGUUGUGGUAGUAGAGGGUGACCCCCUCUACCACAUGUGGGUUUCAAUUCAUGAUUUGGAAUCCAUGUGUGCAAGUGGUGCCCAUCCAAAGUGGGAAUGUGGCUGGAAAUUCCAGCUUAGUGUUUGAGAAUCUGGAAAUAUUUUCUUCUCCUGUAGAUGAGGUCGUGCUGGUCAUUGUGUUGUGAUCUAGCCUUAGUUCAGUGCUAGGAAUUUGGACCUGAUAUGUUUUUAAAGCUCCCUGUCAAAUUUCAUCCCAUUUGGAAUCCUGUAGGUUAUGUUUUGGUUGCUGUCAAAAAGCUUCAGAGCAAAGACAGAAAAUCAGGUGCAGGAAUUUCACCAAGUCCCUGAGAUCUGAUGGUUUUGGGAAAGUUUGCAUCCUUGUAUCUUCCUGUGUUUAAUUCCUUUUGGUGUGAUUCUUGCUUGUGCUGGUAGUAUUCUUGGCUAGCUACAGCCACAUAUAUUAUUUUUCAUAUUUGGAGGGCUGUAGCUAUGUUGCAUGUAGUUCACAAAGUGCUAAGAUGCAGAUUAUGGCAGAUUAUGUAGUUUUGUCAUUUUGAUGAUUGUGGGUGCUUAGUUGAUGUUGUGGUGUUCUUCCUUGAUCCAAUCCAUUCAUGUUGGGUUGUUAUAUGUCUUGGCAACCUGGGAAUACCAGAUUUGUGCCAUUUGAGCAUGUGGUAUUGAUUUGGACACGUAGGGCUUCAUAUCUUGUUUCGUUGAUUCCCGUUGAUCCGUAGCUCCGAUUGUAAUGUUCCUUAUAUGGUUUUGCAUCAUUUUCACGAUACGCAUCUGAUCAUGUCAUUCUCAUGCAUGUCAAAAUAUCUUGGGGUACAGUUCUGUCCAGAAACUUGUAGUAGCUUCUCUUGCUUGUGCUAGUGAUAGAAAUAGUGAUGCAUGCUCAUUUUUCAUAUCAUGCAUCAUGUGCUUGUUGCAUCUUGAGGUGCUGUUGUUCAUUGGAUGUUAUUCUUAUGUUGGGUAGCACUGGGAUCGGAGAACGAGUACGUGGAUUCGGGAGAGUACGUGCAGGACGAACAAGAACCAUUCCAAGCUGAGGAUAUCACAGGCAAGAUGAUAUGACCUUGAUUCCAUCUCUAGACUUGUUAUGCUAGUUUGUGUUUCCAUGUCAUAUUGCUCGCUGCCUAGCACUGAAAAUUGCCCCUUGAGAUGCCAUGAACCCAUACCCUGAUCCCUUCCUAGCAAAACUUGAAUGGCUAAGUAGGCUUUGCUCAGCUACUAAUGUUAGCAUUGCUAGAUGCAGGUGCUUUGACUCAUAUGAUAACAUGAGCUUGAUAUCAUUAUCUUAAAUUCUGUUAUUUAUUAAUGCACCUAUAUACUUGGUAAAUGACGGAAGACUUAGCCUUUUGCCGGGUGCUUUGUUCCGUUAUUGCCGCCAUAAUUACCGGCUACCGGUGUUUGAUUCCAUAUUGAUCGCUCCUAACACGUUCGGGGUUGUUAUGGGAACCCCCUCGAUAAAUCGUGUAGCGCUAAGGCUUGUCCAGCAGGACCCAACAUUGGUGUUAAUUUGCUAAUCACUUAAUAAUAAACUGCAUAGGGAAUAGCUACCCCGAGGAUUUUAAUCAACAACCCGGGCCAGUGCUCCUCAUCAAUGUUGGUCCAAACUGGGCACUGCUCGGGGCCAACUCAGGGCAACUUGAGUGAUUUCUAUCAGGCCAUCGUGCGCAUAGCUCAUCCAGCGUGUCCUGAGACUGAGAUACGCGGCUCUUAUCAGGGUCGUCGACACGUCGGGAGGUCCUGCUAGUCUUGCCUUACCUUAGCGAUAUAUCUUGCGUAUAGGAAUCCCAGUGAAGCUUUGGUUUCCCCCAAAGUUGAGGUUUUCCUCUAAGGAAUCCGACGAGAUCACGAGAUUCGUGAUAGAGGAUUACUUUGCGGCCUGUGUACGUUUGUGAUGGACUAGUUGGAGCACCCCUGCAGGGUUUAAUCUUUCAGAAAGCCGUGCCCGCGGUUAUGUGGCAACUUGGAAUAUCUUGUUAAUAUCCAGUAUUAGAUAACUCAAACAUAAGCUAAUAAAAUUGUCAACUGUGUGCGUAACCGUGACUGUCCCCUCGAAGAUCUCUCUUCGAUCGGGAACACGGUGGGGUUAUGAAUGCCGUAGGUAGGUGUUCAGGAUCACUUAGUGAUCAAGUAAUCACGACCGCUAGUAUAGACCACCUUCAUACUUGUUCUACGUAUGUUAGCCCCUAAAUCAAGCUUAGGAUGCUGCAACCUUAAACACUUCACCUUAUCCCACCUAAUAACUUGACUAGUUCUGGCACCAAGGUCUUAGAUUGCUGAGUCCCGGUGGCUCACGGAUUCCUCCAAAAUCCCAACAUGUUUAGGUACCCCAGAGACAGAUGAUCCCGACGGCACUCAGCUGGCGUGGCAGUACGACGAGGAGAUAGACCGCCUUUACGUGAACUAUCCAGAAGAUUGAGGCGUGGUCGUGAUCGUGGGCCUGCAGGCAGGGUAGCAUAGCAUUUCUAUGUUUUGUAGCCGUAGCGGAACUUCCUUGGUUGUAUGUGUGAUGUACUCUGAGAUAUUUAUGAGAAGGCAAUUGAAUCACUGAUUGUCUAUCUUUAUUAUUAUGUAUGUGUUGUGUUACCUCUUUGCGAGACGCUUAUAUGCGCUCCUUUCCAAUUCGGGGCCUCGAUCCCCAUAUCGGAAAGGACCGCAUCUUGGUCGUUACAAAGAUCCACCCGUUGCUCCUUCACCGUAUAUCAGUCCUCCGGUAUGCUUUCAGUCAUCAAGAAUGAAUACAUUGUAGAUAUUAUUGUUAGCUUGAUAUUUAUAGUUCUACUUUUUGUUGUAGUCUCCUCCUCCUCUGUGCAUGUACUAUCGUUGGAUCGACAUGGAACGGCCGGACUGGCGGUGACCGAGAUUCGUGAAAGAGGUCAUCGUGCAUGGGCUAUUUUGGACUUGGAAGAGCGUCGUGCGAAGGCGGAAGCAGAGAAGAAAGUAGAGGAGAAGAGAGAGUGGGAAGAGUACUGUGUGGAGCAGAGGGCUUUUCUUGAUGAGAUGAUCAGGAAAAACCAAGAAGAGAAACUUCGGCUGGAGGAGGUUUACAGACACCGGCAGGAAGCCCGUGAUGCUGAGAGGGAGAGAAAGAAAGAAAGGGCUCGUGUGGCCAAGGCAGCAGAAGAAGCUGGUGAUGGAAAAGAAAAAUAUCCACGUUGGACUCAGUAGAUUUGUUUUAUUGUAUCCUAAAAUUGUUGAAUCUUAAUUUCAGCAAGUUGUAUCUUAAUUUCAGCAAGUUGUAUCAGCACGUUGUAUCUUAAUUUCAGCAAGUUGUAUUUUAAUUCCGGCAAGGUGUAUCUUACUUUGAACAUGUUAAGUUUUCCGACCAUAUCUUUCCUGCCAUUUCUUUCCCGCCAUUUCUUUCCCAUCGUAUCUUUCCCGCCUUUUCUUUCCCGCCAUUUAUCUCCCGCCAAUUCUUUCCUGCCUCGCUCUCAGCCACCUAUAAAACUCCCUCCACACUAAGGUGAGAUAACAAUGUAGUCCAGUAGCUAUCAUUCGUCAAGAUGUCCCAUUAGUUUAAUUCAGUUGGAAAGGGUGGCCUCCAAGGACAUUUGAGGAGAUAUGGAAAGAACUAAUUUACCACUGAAAUAGAACAUGAAUAUGUCUCAUACAUGAAUAUGUCUCAUACAAAUAGACAUAUGUUUCAUACAUAAUUAGAUAGUCAUAUCUUAUACAUAGAUAAUUAUAUCACUCCUGGCGACGACGACGAAUCUUGGGCUUCCUCGGACGCGGACCGGUAGGCGAUAAGCACUCAGGCGGUGGACGAGGCUCGCGAUGACCAUGACCAUAUACCACCUCGUCCAUCAGUGUCAGUGUCUCCUGCGUCGAUGGUGGUGGUGGAGUGACAAGAACUGUCUCCAAGAAAUCAUAUGUGUUUGCACCUCGGUCAUUGUCGUCGUCGUCGUCGGGUAAGUACAAACCAGUAAACACAGGUGACUGGACUGAAGCCAUGAACGGUUGCAAUUGGUUGCCGACUGCGGUAAAGUAAAACAUGCAAAAUUGAUUUACGAGCCUACAAUUUUUCAAAUAAUGUGCAAAGUAAUGUUACCUAUGUCCAUCCGAUUAAGCCAAGAUGAGCCCCCGGGUUGUGAACGAGGUGGCUGCUGGAAGAAAUAACUCCCUGGUUGUGAAGGAGGUGUCUACUGCCAGGGUUGUGAAGGAGGUGUGUGCUGCCAGGAGGAGCUCCCUGGGUGUGAAGUAGGUGUGUGCUGCUAGGAGGAGCUCCCUGGUUGUGAAGGAGGUGUCUGCUGCGAGGAGGAGCUCCCUGGGUGUGAAUGAGUUGUCUGCUGCCAGGAGGAGCUCCCUGGAUGUGAAGGAGGUAUCUGCUGCCAAGAGGAGCUCCCUGGGUGUGAACGAUGCACAGAGGUUCGAGGUUCUGAAUGCUGCAGAGAGGGGCGUGGCGGACGAUGGGCCGCAGAAGUGUUAACAACAUCCGAAGAUCGUCUACAUGUAACAGCGACGUAAAUCCCGCGCAGCUUAGCAAGAUGACCCUUCAACCAUGUGACUUGCUUUCGCGGUGGGAUAUUUUCUCCUCUCUCAAAGCGUUGUACUAAAGUGGAAACCUCAUCUACCGCCUCAGAUGUCAAUUCGCCCUAUGAACUAGGAGUUAACCAAUUGUGUAUGUUCAGGUUAAGGGAAAAAUUAACAUGUGAGAAACAUAGCACAUACCGCGUGGUGUCUGGUUCCCACAACUGAGGCAGUUGGGAACAGAUCGCUGGUGAGAGGGGCUUCGAUAUGAUCAGGAGCUGAUGAUGGAACCAAGUAGAUCCUCGUGCUAUGCCGGUAACGCUGUAGAUACAACCCGAACUUGUCCCAGUCAAAGGCUCGAACUUCAUCCCAAAUAUUUGUUGGCGCAGUAGUCCAUUCGUCGACGUAAGGGCUAAUGUCGCGAAGCCAAGAAGCCUGGGACUUGUUUCCUCCUACGCGACUGUACCUGAGAUUGAAAUGCACAUUACAUGAUUAGUUAUAUGUCAAAUGCAGACAUGAGAACUGAAGUAGUAUUACUUACUUAUGCACGUUAUCUGGUAAGUGUGGAAUAACAAGAAUGUGAGGCUCUUGGCAUAGAUCGAACUGUCUCAUCACCCUAUGAAGAGCCAUCUCCUCAACCGUCACGUCGAACACCAACCUGGCCUUGGUCAUCCAAUAAUGCCAAUCUAUAGUGCACAAUCUAGAAAUCCCAAGAGGACACCUUUCUGAAAUAGCAUGAUCGGAGUAUGGCUUCCAUAUAACUUGACCCUCGUGCAAACUAUCAAACUGCGCUGUGAAGGAGGGGUAGCAGCCCCUCACCUGGCUAUGCGCAAACUCUCUCUGUGCAUGACAACAAACAUUACUAAAUAUUAUUGAAUAGCGAGAAAUAAACAUUAGUAAUUCAUAUUGUUACUAGUUAUGAAAAUACCUCUCUCCGCACCUAGACAGAUCCCAUAGUAGGCAAGUCGCCGAUAGAAGACACGUAAGUCCCAAUCAUGUGCUCAUAACCAAAACGUUUUUCAACGCUCACAUAGGGUCGACCAAUAGAGAAUCUCCCAUAUGACCAGAGCUGCAACAAUAGUAGACAUCCAACAAUAGCAGAUUUUCUGGACUUCAACUGACAAGCUUUGCACAGGCCUCUAUACGUAGCCGCUAACAUAGCAGAACCAAAACUCCUGUGCACAAUGUUCUCCGGGCAACGUGCGUCAGCUAUCUCUCGUGCAAUACCAAUGAGUCGUGCAUCAACAGUGGUCACGUGGUUCUCCGUGAACAUCGUCUUGCCGAACAACCACAAAAUAUAUGCCUCUAGGGAUCGGUCAAUCUGUGUCUGUGACAACUCAACGUUGGGAUAUCCUAAGGAGACAAUCUGAAACUGGCUCAACCACCUAAAAAGAGGCCCAUGACGAUCGUUGUCUAGCAACGUAGUAGUUGGCGCCGCAGCCAGAAAACGGGCAUGCAUCGAUGCUAGCCAACCAGUUUCUGCCUCUAAAGGACCUAUGGCAGCACCGGCCAGAGGUAAUCUCAACAAGACACAUCCUGUAAAGUUGGCGCCAUCUCUCCCCUAGAAAAAUGAAAUGUAUGUGUCUCUGGUCUCCAUCUAUCUACUAAGCAGGUAAGGAGUGACCUAUCAUAAGAGAAAUGUGUAACUUGCCUCUUGUGAAACUCCAUUGGUUCACCUCCUGAUACGUCUCCAUCGUAUCUACUUUUCAAAACUCUUUUGCCCUUUUUUUGGACUAUAAUUUGCAUGAUUUGAAUGGAACUAACCUGGACUGACGCUGUUUUCAACAGAAUUGCCUUGGUGUUAUUUUUGUGCAGAAAUCAAAGUUCUCCAAACGUCCUGAAAAUUUACGGGGAGCAGUUAUGGAAAAUAUCAAAAAUAUCUGCGCCAAGUUCCACCUCAUGGGGUGGGCCAGUGGGCCACAAGCCCCUGCUCCGCCACCACCCCCUGGUGGCGGUGGGCAGGCUUGUGGGGCCCACAGACACCUACCGCCCCCAACUCCAGCUCUAUAAGUUGCCUUUCGUCCCAGAAAAAAUAGAAAGAGAAGUUUUCCUCGCGUUUUCGAUGCGGAGGCGCCGCCACCACCUGCUCUUCAUCUGGAGGGCAGAUAUGGAGUCCGUCUUGGGCUCCGGAGAGGGGAAAUCGUCGCCAUCGUCAUCAUCAACCUUCUUCCCUCUCCAAUUCCAUGAAGCUCUUCAUCGUUCGUGAGUAAUCUAUUCGUAGGCUCGCUGGGCGGUGAUGAGUAGGAUGAGAUCUAUCAUGUAAUCGAAUUAGUUUUCAUGGGGAUUGAUACCUAGUAUCCACUAUGUUCUGAGAUUUGAUGUUGCUACUACUUUGCCAUGCUUAAUGCUUGUCAUUAGGGCCUGACUGCCAUGAUUUCAGAUCUGAAAUUAUUAUGCUGUCACCAAUAUAUGUGUGUUGUAGAUCCGAUCUUGCAAGUUGUAGUUACCUACUAUGUGUUAUGAUCCGGCAACCCCGGAGUGACAAUAAUCGGAACCACUCCCGGUGUUGACCAUAGUUUGAGGAGUUCAUAUGUUCACCAAGUGCUAAUGCGUUGGUCCGGUUCUUUAUUAAAAGGAGAACCUUAAUAUCCCGUAGUUUCCUUUUGGACCCCGCUGCCACGGGAGGGAUGGACAACAGAUGUCAUGCAAGUUCUUUUCCCUAAGCACGUAUGACGACACACGGAAUGCAUGCCUGCAUCACAUUGAUGAACGAGAGCUAGCCACAUAUCUCUCCGUGUUAUAGUUGUUGCAUGAUGAAUAUCAUCCAAACAAAUCACCGACCCAUUGCCUACGAGUUUGUCCUACUACUGGUGUUACUUGUCUUGCUCUGCUGCUGCUACUACUAUUGCUACUGCUGUUACUUGUCUUGCUCUGCUGCUGCCACUACUGUUGCUACUGAUGUCACUUGUUCUGCUCUGCUGCUGCUGCUAGUACUGUUGCUACACCCGUUGCUUGCUACUGUUGCUACUUGCUACUGCUGUCACCACUGCUGUUCCUUGCCACUGCCGUUACUCGCUACUUUGUUGUUACUACUGUGCUUGCAGAUACUAAUCUGUCAGGUGUGGUUGAAUCCGACAAAUUCAGCUGCUAAUACUCAAGAGUACUCUCUCACCUCCUUCAGGCGAUCUACAAAUUUGGGUCGAAUACUCUACCCUCGAAAACUGCUGCGAACCCACGCGCUGGUGGGCCAUCAACAACAUUCUUCCAGUUUCAUUGCCGGGGAGUGCUAUCAGCAUUCUUGUGGUGCCGUUGCAGGAGAAGGAUCGUUGUCAUAAGCAUUCGUCUAGCUAACGCCAGAGAUUGCGCGAUCAACAUUUUUCUGGCGCCGUUGCCGGGGAGGUAUUGCUAUAUUCUCUGAGUCACUUGGGAUUUAUAUCUGCUGAUCACUAUGAAGAAUCUGAAGGAUCCGAAGACCAAAGUCUUGCCCUCAACUACGAAGGGAGGUAAGGAAUUGCCAUCUAGCUCUGCACUUGAUUCACCUUCAGUUAUGAGUAAGUUUGCGACAUCACCUCCUGCUAGAAAUCUUGAUAUGUCGCAUGUGCUUAGUGAUGCUUUUGAUACUACUGCUAGAGAUGCUAUGCUUGAUACUAUGCCUGAUGAUACUAUGCUUGAUACUGCUAGAGAUGAUAUGCUUGAUACUAUGCUUGAUAUUGCUAGAGAUGCUAUGCUUGAUACUGCUUUGCCUGAUGAUGCUAGAGAUGCUAUUUUGCGUGAUGAUGCUAUGGUUGAUACUGCUAGAGAUACUCCUUUGCCUGAUGUUCCACUAGGAGUGUUCCUUGAUGCUCAUAUAGCUAGAGUUACUACCAAUGCUCGUGAUGCUUCUGAUACUGCCGAUACUAUUGAGAUAGAACCUGCUUUUGCUCUUGCUAGUUCUAGGUCUCCUAGAUAUGAACUGCCUGAUAUACCUCAGGGUUACGUUAUGGAGGGAGAGAUAGUUGAGGAUUUUCUUGCGUGUAAGGAUGCCUAUGACGCUGAUAAAUUAAUUCUCAAGUGGAAGGAAAAAUCUCGUGAAGCUAGGAUGAAAAAUGACCCGAAGUUUGCCACUUCGCCUAUCUUUGUCACCGAUAAGGAUUAUGAAUUCUCUAUCGACCCUGAGAUAAUCUCUCUAGUCGAAUCUGAUCCUUUUCACGGUUAUGAGUCUGAGACAGUCAUAGCGCAUCUUGCUAAACUAUCCGAAAUAGACAACCUUUUCACUAAUGAGGAGAAGAUCCACCACUACUAUAUCCUUAAGCUGUUUCCUUUCUCUCUAAAGGAUGACGCUAAAGUCUGGUUCACCUCUCUUGCUCCUAGAUGUGUGCGUAGUCCCCAGGAGAUGGUCUAUUACUUCUGUGAGAAAUAUUUCCCUACCCAUAAGAAGCAAGCUGCCUUGCAGGAAAUAUACAACUUUGCUCAACUCCAAGAAGAGANNNNNNNNNNNNNNNNNNNNNNNNNNNNNNNNNNNNNNNNNNNNNNNNNNNNNNNNNNNNNNNNNNNNNNNNNNNNNNNNNNNNNNNNNNNNNNNNNNNNAUGAAGAAGCAAUGGUGGGCCCAGAUUCCAACAAAUGGCUAGAAGCCAUGAAAUCCGAGAUAGGAUCCAUGUAUGAGAACAAAGUGUGGACUUUGGAGAUACUACCUGAGGGUCGCAAGGCUAUUCAGAACAAAUGGAUCUUUAAGAAGAAGACGGACGCUGACGGUAAUGUGACCGUUUAUAAAGCUCGACUUGUGGCAAAGGGUUUUUAACAAGUUCCAGGAGUUGACUACGAUGAGACCUCACCCGUAGCGAUGCUUAAGUCCGUUAGAAUCAUGUUAGCAAUAGCUGCAUUUUUCGAUUAUGAAAUCUGGCAGAUGGAUGUCAAAACGGCGUUCCUUAACGGUUUCCUUAAGGAAGAGUUGUAUAUGAUGCAACCCGAAGGUUUUGUCGAUCCUAAAAAUGCUGACAAGGUAUGCAAGCUCCAGCGAUCCAUUUAUGGACUGGUGCAAGCAUCUCGGAGUUGGAACAAACGCUUUGAUGAGGUGAUCAAAGCAUUUGGGUUUAUACAAGUGGUUGGAGAAUCUUGUAUUUACAAGAAAGUGAGUGGGAGCUCUGUGGCGUUUCUAAUAUCAUAUGUGGAUGACAUAUUACUGAUUGGAAACAACGUAGAGUUUUUGGAGAGCAUAAAAGGUUACUUGAAUAAAAGUUUCUCUAUGAAGGACCUAGGAGAAGCUGCUUACAUUCUAGGCAUUAAGAUCUAUAGGGAUAGAUCAAAACGCCUGAUAGGACUUUCACAAAGCACAUACCUUGAUAAAGUUUUGAAGAGANNNNNNNNNNNNNNNNNNNNNNNNNNNNNNNNNNNNNNNNNNNNNNNNNNNNNNNNNNNNNNNNNNNNNNNNNNNNNNNNNNNNNNNNNNNNNNNNNNNNUUGAUGGUGAGCAAGACCACUAGUUUCAAGAGAAACGGCAAAGGAAAGAAGGGCAAUUCGAAGAAGAGCGGCAAGCCUGUUGCCAAUCCGCCGAAGAAGCCCAAAGCUGGACCUAAGCCUGAAACAGAGUGCUUCUAUUGCAAGGGUAUGGGUCACUGGAAGCGCAAUUGCCCCAAGUAUCUGGCAGAUAAGAAGGCGGGCAAAGAAAAAUCAGGUAUAUUUGAUAUACAUGUUAUUGAUGUGUAUUUAACCGGCUCUCGUAGUAGUGCAUGGGUAUUUGAUACCGGUUCUGUUGCUCACAUUUGCAACUCGAAGCAGGAACUGCGGAAUAGACGAAGGCUGGCGAAAGACGAAGUGACGAUGCGCGUAGGAAACGGUUCCAAGGUUGAUGCAAUCGCCGUCGGCACAGUGUCACUUCAGCUACCAUCGGGAUUAGUGAUGAACUUAAAUCAUUGUUAUUUAGUGCCUGCGUUGAGCAUGAACAUUAUAUCUGGAUCUUGUUUAUUGCGAGACGGUUACUCUUUUAAGUCUGAGAAUAAUGGUUGUUCUAUUUCUAUGAGUAACAUCUUUUAUGGUCAUGCACCGAAUGUGAGAGGAUUGUUCAUAUUGAAUCUUGAUAGCGGUACGCAUAUAGAUAACAUUGAGACCAAAAGAGUUAGAGUAAACAAUGAUAGCGCCAUAUUUUUGUGGCACUGCCGCUUGGGUCAUAUUGGUGUAAAGCGCAUGAAGAAACUCCAUGCUGAUGGACUUUUGGAGUCACUUGACUUCGAUUCACUUGACACGUGCGAACCAUGCCUUAUGGGCAAGAUGACUAAGACUCCGUUCUCCGGAACAAUGGAGCGUGCAAGUGACUUGUUGGAAAUCAUACAUACCGAUGUGUGUGGUCCAAUGAGCGUGGAGGCACGCGGCGGAUAUCGUUAUUUUCUCACCUUCACUGACGAUUUAAGUAGAUNNNNNNNNNNNNNNNNNNNNNNNNNNNNNNNNNNNNNNNNNNNNNNNNNNNNNNNNNNNNNNNNNNNNNNNNNNNNNNNNNNNNNNNNNNNNNNNNNNNNUAAUGACGUGGUCCCGUUAUCAAGUGACAACACUUGUUCAUAAUCAGAAGACACUGACUAUCAUCGAUCAACUGGCUAGCCAACUAGAGGCAUGCUAGGGACGGUGUUUUGUCUAUGUAUCCACACAUGUAAAUGAGUCUUCAUUCAAUACAAUUAUAGCAUGGAUAAUAAACUAUUAUCUUGAUACAGGAAUUAUAAUAAUAACUAUACAUUUAUUAUUGCCUCUAGGGCAUAAUUCCAACACAAACAGUACCCGACUGAAGCAGGCUGUAUAAAACUAAGGGUUAAUAGNNNNNNNNNNAUCUAGGGCAUAAUUCCAACAGUCUCCCACUUGCACUAGACUCAAUAAUCUAGCCCUCACAUCACCAUGUGAAUUACAUUGUAAUAAAUCUAACACCCAUACAGUUCUGGUGUCGAUCAUGUUUUGGCCGUGGAAGAGGUUGAGUCAGCGGGUCUGCUACAUUCAGAUCCGUGUGCACUUUGCAUAUAUUUACGUCCUCCUCCUCGACGUAGUCGCGGAUGAGGUUGAAGCGUCGUUUGAUGUGUCUGGUCUUCUUGUGAAACCUUGGUUCCUUUGCUAAGGCAAUGGCACCAGUGUUGUCACAGAACAAGGUUAUUGGAUCCAGUGCACUUGGCACCACUCCAAGAUCCGUCAUGAACUGCUUCAUCCAGACACCCUCCUUAGCCGCCUCCGAGGCAGCCAUGUACUCCGCUUCACAUGUAGAAUCUGCUACGACGCUUUGCUUGGAACUGCACCAGCUUACUGCACCCCAUUAAGAAUAAAUACNNNNNNNNNNNNNNNNNNNNNNNNNNNNNNNNNNNNNNNNNNNNNNNNNNNNNNNNNNNNNNNNNNNNNNNNNNNNNNNNNNNNNNNNNNNNNNNNNNNNAUACCUCUCGAUCCGGGUGUUCUUCUGAAAGAUAAACUUCAACUCCUGGAACAUCUCAAAUGCUCCAUGACGCUCAAAGCGACGUUGAAGUCCCGGUUCCAAGCCAUACAAGACUGCACAUUGAACUAUUGAGUAGUCCUCCUUACGUGCUAACCAAGCGUUCUUAACAUCCUGAUCAGCCGUAGCGGGUGGUUCAUCUCCUAGCGCAGCAUUCAGGACAUAAUCCUUCUUUCCAGCUUGUAAGAUUAGCUUAAGAUUACGAGCCCAGUCUACAAAGUUGCUUCCAUCAUCUUUCAACUUAGCUUUCUCUAGGAACGUAUUAAAAGUCAGGAUGACACUUGCGUGAGCCAUGAUCUACAACACAAAUAUAUUCAAAGUGGACUUAGACUAUGUUCAAGAUAAUUAGAGUUCAACUUAAUCAAAUUAUAUGCUAAACUCCCACUCAAAAAGUACAUCUCUCUAGUCAUUUGAGUGGUUCAUGAUCCACUUACACUAUCCCAAGUCCGAUCAUCACGUGAGUUGAGUAUAGUUUCAGUGGUAAGCAUCCCUNNNNNNNNNNNNNNNNNNNNNNNNNNNNNNNNNNNNNNNNNNNNNNNNNNNNNNNNNNNNNNNNNNNNNNNNNNNNNNNNNNNNNNNNNNNNNNNNNNNNCCGGCCGCCGCCCGCCCUCCGCCCGCAGCAGGCUGGACGCCUCUCCUCCACCUCCUCCCGCGCGCGCCCCCCGGCCGCCGCUCGCCCCUCCACCUCCUCCCCCCCGCGGCCUGCCCCUGGUAACCUGCGCCCGCCUGAUUAUUGUUUUCUUCAAACCGUUAUUGAGAUGAUGAAAAUUAUGAUAUGUGAAAUGACAGUUUUAAAGGCACCGUCCUGUUUUCCAACUAUUAAAAAUGUCAAAAAAAUGUCAAUUUUCAACUGUUAAACUGAUUUUAGGAUUUGAGCGCACUAGUAGCAGCGAUUCUCUUAUUCUUCUUCCCCACCCAUCCUCUUCACCCCCGCUCUCAUUCCCAUUCCCCGCACCCCUCAAUUGCAUCGGAGCAUUAUUUUUGCUAAAUGGUCCCUUCACAGGAUCUUAUGUAUGUACCAGAGCAUCUACAGCCGGCCCCUGGAUCUGGAACCCGAGUGGAUACCCAUCCCAUCCGGAUCCGGAUCUUGACCGACCCCUUCCCCCGCCGGCGACGAGCCCUAGCUAGCUCGGACCAGUCCUGGUGCGAGAGGCCACCGGCGGCAAGGCUGCGUGCGGUGGCGGAGCAUGCACUGCGAGCGCUCUACUCGGAUCUGACCGAACCCCGUCGCCGCGCCCGUCCCGCUCGCCGUGGCCGAUGAUCGCGCGCGUCGGCUGGGGCCGCGUCCCUCCCCAGAUGGCGGCGAUGAUGGAGGGAGCCGCCGGCACCAGCCCCCUCCCGCCUCGCCGGACCGCGCAUCGGCUUGGAGGCCCCUCGGGACUGCCGCCGGUGCGGGGGGGCGUCCGCGGCCUUGCGGGCUGGGGACCGAGCGGGAUCUGAGCCGCCGUCGAUGGAUUUCUCGCAGCCUGGCUUCGUUUUUCUUUGGAUCCGGUGCGUGCGUGCGUGCAAGCUCUCUCUCUCUCUCUCUCUCGGUGCGUGCGUGCGCGCAGUUCACACCACUAGACCCAAACCCUAAACCAAAUCAGGGGAGCUCUCGUUGCCGGAUCGCUGGCCUAUCGUCCGGAUGUCCGCCGCGUCAGUUCCCCACAGCUACGGUGCCGCCAGCCACCGCCGUUCCAUUGCCUUGGAUUCGGCUGUGCUCGUGGGCUGGGAACCGUGCUCUGUUGUCUGAUGCGUCGUUGGAGCGGGAGGUUUGAUCGGUCGAGGCCAGGUAUGAGCAGCUCCUUUGCUGGCUGGAUGGAUGGAUGUAGGUCAUAUGUCGUGAACUAACACCACGACACCUCUUUUGGAACGGAGGGAGUAUGUAUGUACGUAUGGAUGUCAUGGUCAUGUUGCUUGGGGGUUCAACCUCUUUUUGCGUUAGGGUUCACUUCGUGUGUUCUUUCGCUCCAGGGGUCAUUUUUGUCAAUUUUGCCCCCCUCCCCAUUAUUUUUGCUAAAUGGCCCCUUCACAGGAGUAUGUAGCAGAGCAUCUACAGCCAUACAUGGAUCUGGAACCGGAGCGGAUACCCAUCCGGGUCCAGAUCUCGACCGACCCCUUCUCCCGCUGGUGACGAGCCCCUAGCUAGCUAGCUCGGACCAGCCCGGCUGCGAGAGGCCACCGGUGGCAUGGCUGCGUGCGGCGGCAAGGCCGCGUGUAAUGCGAGCGCUCUACUUGGAUCUGUCCGAAUCCUGGCGAGCCCUGUCUCCCGCUCGCCGUGGCCGCUGAUCGCGCUCGUCGGCUGGGGCCGCGUCCCUCCUCAUACGGCGGCGAUGAUGGAGGGAGCCGCCGGCGCNNNNNNNNNNNNNNNNNNNNNNNNNNNNNNNNNNNNNNNNNNNNNNNNNNNNNNNNNNNNNNNNNNNNNNNNNNNNNNNNNNNNNNNNNNNNNNNNNNNNAUUUAAGCGGGACUUCGAAAAUUUCCAACCCAAUUCGUCCAUUACUCUUCUUCCUCUCGUUCUCCUACCCGACGCGGCACAGCGACGAACGUAACCGACGCCGUCACGCUGCCCGCCGUCCUGCUCGCCGUCGGCCAUCCUCCUUGCCGCCGCGCCGUCCUCCUCGCCGUCGCGCCGUCCUCCUCGCCGCCUCGCCGUCCUCCUCGCCGUCGCUCCGUCCUCCUCGCCGUCGCGCCGUCCUCCUCGCCAACACUCCGGCCAGUAAGCCCCCCGCCCCCUCCUCCCCAACACUCCGGCCAGUAUAGAAGAAAAGAUGAAAAAGGAGAAGAGAAGAAGAAAAAGGAGAACAAAGGAAGAAAAAGGAGAACAAAAGAAGAAAAAGGAGAAGAAAAGAAGAAAAAGAAAAGAUUUUUUUGUCAUUUAGUUCCUAUUGUUUUUAGGUUUGUGCUAAAUUAUUAGGGUUAGUAAUAUUUAGAAUUAGGUUAGGGUUACAAGAAGAAGAAAUAUGAACAAAAAUAAGAAAAUAAGAUUAGGAAAAAUGAAAAUAAGAAGAGGAGGAGAAGAAAAGAAGAAAAAGUGUAUAUUGUAUAGUGUAUAUGCUUAAGUGUAUAGUGUAUAUAGUGUAUAGUGUAUAAGGAGAGGAGGAAUUUUGCUAUAGUGUAUAUAGUGUAUAGUGUAUAAGAAAAGAAGAAAAGAAGAGGAGGAGAAGAGAAGAAAAGAAGAGGAGGNNNNNNNNNNNNNNNNNNNNNNNNNNNNNNNNNNNNNNNNNNNNNNNNNNNNNNNNNNNNNNNNNNNNNNNNNNNNNNNNNNNNNNNNNNNNNNNNNNNNAUGAUUGAUUCAGGUUUCAAAGACGAGUUUGAUACACUUGUUCACAAUGUUGGACUUGAAGAAUUCAUCUCCGAUAAAUGUGAAUAGUAUACUACUCUCACUGCCUCUUUUGUUCGUAGAUUUAAAAUUUUAGCUGGCCGUGACACAUCAGUACUGUUUGAUCUCUAUGACAAAUCGUAUACCAUGGAUUUAGAGGAUUUCAAUAGAAAUUGCAAGAUACCUGAUUGGGGUAGUCUCAAUGAUCCUCCUAAAUCUUCGGUUAGAGAUUUUUUCUCUAGUACAACUGUUGGAAAAACUAGAGAUAUUACGCAGACUACCAUGGGGAGCAUUCAUUUUCCUGCCUUGCAUUACUUUGCCUUCUUCAUAGGUAGAUGCAUUAACGGCAAGAUUGAGAAUUGUCACCUCUGCGCACCCGACCUUAGUAUUCUUAAGAGCGCAGUAACGGGUGAUAGAAGUUUCAACAUGGGAGCUAUAAUCACGAGGAGGCUAAAUUAUAAUGCUAAUGAAGGGGAUUUCUUUGGUGGGAUCUAGCCACUCGCAUAGCAAAUUUUCUUGGAGUACCCAUCUGCGAAGGAGAUCCCCCGCUCCAUACAACUUUCCUUGAUCGUGCCGCUAUGACACGCUAUCAGUUCCUUGAGAGGGAUAAUGAAUCCCUCCUAUACCGGUUAAUAUUUAACCGACAGCGUGUUUUCCAUAUCACCCUUCCUGCUCCUGCCUUCUUUGACUUUCAGGUAAAACAAAGAUAUUACAUAACCAGAGGAGAGGCACAGGAGUAUGAGAGGGAGGCAAAGGCUGCUCACCUCCGUGAGGCAGAUAUUCAGGCAGUGGCUGCCGCGUUCCCGUACAACCCCCAUUAUGAUUUUGGAUAUCGCCCGGACCAGCCAUGGGAGUAGACCAACUUAGGCCAAAAGCCUAAGCUUGGGGGAGUACGUGUUUCUCACCGACUUUAUAUUCUUGUUCACACUUUCACUUUGUUAGUCGGUGUUCACACUUUGCCACUGUAUCAUCCAUGCUAGUUUAUUUAUUUUUCUCGCUUUCUUCUCGUGUGUUUAUCUAGUUUGAGAAAACCCCAAAAGAUUUGUCGUUCUUCUUUUGCUUGUUGGGAGCUUUCCCGUGUAAAUAGUUUUCUUUUUCUUUGGGUCAAGGUAGAAGACCAUGGUUACAAUGUUUAGUGGCUCUCGCAUGCAUAUCUAUUUAUCUGUCAAAGAGCCAUAUUGCUUUGUCUUCUUCUUUGUGUUUGCUUGCAGAUUCCAGCUUAGUCCAAUGCACGAGCACUCUUAUUAUUGUUCACAUCAUUCGGUCGUGCAAGUGGAAGGCAAUAAUGACGAUAUAUGAUGAAGUGACUGAGCCUGGAAAAGCUGGUAUGAACUCGAUCUAUUUUGUUUUUGUAAAUAUGACUAGCUCAUCAUUCCUGAUUCAGCUUUGUUAUGAGAGAGGCAUGUUUGCAAUGACAACUUAGAGAUCAUAGUUUCUGAUGCCAUGCUUAAUUAGCUAGGAGCUUAUAAUGGUUUGUCUUGGAUGCCAACAUGAAUUUUGAGAUGAUUAUGAUGUAGUAUGAUAGGAUGGUAUCCUCCUUUGAAUGAUUCAAGUGGCUUGACUUGGUGCAUGUUUACGCAUGUAGUUGAAACAAAAUCAACAUAGCCUAUAUGAUAUUCAUGUUCAUGGUGAUUUAUGUCCUACUCAUGCUUGCACCCAAUGUUGGUUAAUCUCAAUGCAUUUUGAUGACUGUUGUCGCUCUCUAGUUGGUCGCUUCCUAGUCUUUUGCUAGCCUUCACUUGUACUAAGUGGGAAUACUACUUGUGCAUACACUUCCAUAAAUCCAAAGUUGUUCCAUAUAUAUGAGUCCACCAUACCUACCUAUAUGCGGUAUCUACCUGCCGUUCCAAGUAAAUUUGCAUGUGCCACUCUCUAAACCUUCAAGAAAUAAUCUGUUUUGCAUGCCCGAACCGCUCAUGUGGCGACAAGGGGCGAUCAGUAUCUUCCAUGCUAGGCCUGUUAUCCUCGAUAUGUGUUUAUUCACUAUCAUUCACGAGAAAGGGGCCGGUAAUGGGAAUGCCCAGUUCCAUGCUUAAAUCGAAAAGAUAAUUGCAAACAAAACUCCCCCUAGAUUGUUGUUGGUAUGGACGGCACCCGAGUAUUCGGCUAGUCGUGGAGUGUGAUUGAUCGGUGGUGGGCGAGUCAAAACUUUACUUUUCUGUUUGGGAACCGCCUAUAGUAUGUGUAGCAUGAAAGAUGGUGAAAACUCUUGGUCAUUGCAUUGACAAUGAAAGCAUGCCACCCAAAAUUAUUUAUCUCUGUUUUCAAAGCAUGAGCUCUCGCACCUCUGCAAAUCAAUGCCUCCCUCUGCGAAGGGCCUGUCUAUUUAUGUUUCUGUUGAGUCAUCCUCCUCUUAUAAAAGCACCAAUUAGAGAGCACCUCUUUCAUUUGUAUGCUUUGCUUUUAAUUGAUAUUGAGUAUGACUGUGACUGGAUCUUCUUUGCCAUGAAUUACAAUAUUCAGUCAGCCCUUGGUCUUUGAAGGUGCUCUGCAUUUAUGUUUUGCGGUCUGAAAAAGAGCUAGCUAGAUACCAUCUGUUCAUAUUGCUUCAUGAUUGUUUUGAUUGAAGUGUUGACGUUUGAAACUUAUUAUUAUUGCUCGCUAGUUGAUUAUGCCAUUGAUAUGAGUUCCUCUUGAGAUUAAAUGUCAUUGCUUAUGUGGUUAGCUUAUGAUCUUGCUGAAAAUCUGAAUAUGAGUUAGACAUAAUUGCAUCAACAAGAUCAAACAUAGUUCGUAAAAGUUUUUCUUUUGUCUCUUUCAGUUUGUCAACUGAAUUUCUUGAGGACAAGCAAGGCUUUAAGCUUGGGGGAGUUGAUACGUCUCCGUCGUAUCUACUUUUCCAAACUCUUUUGCUCUUGUUUUGGACUCUAAUUUGCAUGAUUUGAAUGGAACUAACCCGGACUAACGCUGUUUUCAGCAGAAUUGCCAUGGUGUUGUUUUUGCGCAGAAAUAAAAGUUCUCGGAAUGACCUGGAAAUUUACGAGGAUAUUUUGUGGAAUAUAAAAAAAAUACUGGCGCAAGAAUCAACCAGAGGAGUGGAGCGAGGAGCCCACAAGCCCACCAGGCGUGGCCUCCCUGGCCGUGCCUAGCAGGCUUGUGGGCCCCUUGGAGCUCCACCGCCUCCAACUCCAGCUCUAUUUAGUCCCUUUCGUGCGGAAAAAAAUCAAGGAGAAGAUUUCAUAGCGUUUUACGAUACGGAGGCGCCGGCACCUCCUGUUCUUCCUCUUGAGGGCAGAUCUGGAGUCCGUUCUGGGCUCCGGAGAGGGGAGAUCAUCGCCAUCGUCAUCACCAACCUUCCUUCAUCGUCGAUUCCAUGAUGCUCUUCACCGUUCGUGAGUAAUCUCAUCGUACGCUUGCUGGACGGUGAUGGGUUGGAUGAGAUCUAUCAUGUAAUCGAGUUAGUUUUGAUGGGGAUUGAUCCCUAGUAUCCACUAUGUUCUGAGAUUGAUGUUGCUACUACUUUGCCAUGCUUAAUGCUUGUCACUAGGGCCCGAGUGCCAUGAUUUCAGAUCUGAACCUAUUAUGUUGUCGCCAAUAUAUGUGUGUUUUAGAUCCUAUCUUGCAAGUUGCAGUCACCUACUAUGUGUUAUGACCCGGCAACCCCGGAGUGACAAUAGCCGGAACCACUACCGGAGAUGACCAUAGUAUGAGGAGUUCAUUUAUUCACCGCGUGUUAAUGCGUUGGUCCGGUUCUUUAUUAAAAGGAGAACCUUAAUAUCCCGUAGUUUCCAUUAGGACCCCGCUGCCACGGGAGGGAUGGACAAUAGAUGCCGUGCAAAUUCUUUUCCCUAAGCACGUAUGACUACAUACGGAAUACAUGCCUAUAUUAGAUUGACGAACGGGAGCUAGUUACAUAUCUCUCCGUGUUAUAGCUGUUACAUGAUGAAUCACAUCCGUCACACUCAUCCAUCACCGAUCCAUUGUGUGCGAGUCUUUUACUACUGGUUCUCGCUGCGUUACUUUGUCUAAGCUUGUCCCUAGCUACAAAAGGAUUGGGCCACUUUGCUGCUGCUGUCACUACUGCUGUUACUUGUUACUUUGCUGCUGCUGUCACUACUGCUGUUACUUGUUACUCCGCUGUUACUUUUGCAAGACUUUGUUGGCGCUAACAUCCCGUCAACAAGGCUUUUUCUGGCGCCGUUGCCGGGGAUUGUCAAAGCUUUUUCUGGCACCGUUGCUAUCGUACUACCUUGCUACUGAUACUUUGCUUGCAGACACAAAUCUUUCAGGUGUGGUUGAAUUAACAACUCAGCUGCUAAUACUUGAGAAUAUUCUUUAGCUUCCCCUUGUGAGCGAAUCAAUAAAUUUACUAGCAUGCUUCAUCAAUCCUACGCAAUCAACAAAGGUGGUCUAACUUGAGGAGCCCAAGAUCAUCAUCGUGAUUUAGCUCAAGUGGAGUAUGCGCAAGGCAAAGGUUUUACCUUGAUAGGUUUUCUAUUUUGCUUGUCUCAUGGUGUCAGUUGGGAGCCUGGUUCUCGCGCUUCACCAGCUACCUGUACGGCCUCAAGCAGGCGCCGCGAGCCUGGUUCNNNNNNNNNNNNNNNNNNNNNNNNNNNNNNNNNNNNNNNNNNNNNNNNNNNNNNNNNNNNNNNNNNNNNNNNNNNNNNNNNNNNNNNNNNNNNNNNNNNNUCAGCAGUUCAAAGCAUUCUGAGUAUGUAAAGCAUAAAACGGCUCAACAUCCAGUUCGCUAUGAGCAUAUCUCAUAAGUGUCGAAUUUGAUAACAUAUACUCCCUCCGUCCCAAAUAAGUGUCGCAAAUUUUGUACCAAGGUACAAAUUUAAUACUAAAGCAGCGACACUUAUUUUGGGACGGAGGGAGUAUUACAGUGAGAUCCCAAUACUGCUAUAAAUCAUUUACAGAUUGAGAAGAUUAUACAUAAGCACAUAACCACAAAUUGUAGAAAGAGAGGUCAUAUUUAAAAAGAAAAUGGGAGGCUCAGAGUUGGCCCAGUCUAUCAUAUGGGCAAAACCAACUCUGUAUCCGAUCCACUGUGUGACAAUUCGGUAUUGAAAUGGUAGCUCACAGAAAGCAAGCUCUCCCGAUUUGCACGCUUACACCUGGUCACACAAAACCCUAACCCUAAACAAUACCAUGAAAACAAGCGAUGGUAUCUGAUCUCAGUACCACCUCUAAAUGAGCCUUACUCAUCAUCGCCAUCAACAGCACUUGGCAAAAUCACAAAGAGAAUAGCAGAGAAGCCAAUAGUCAAAGAGCGCAAGAUGACCAUAAACCACAGGAGAAUCGGUGAAAGCAGAAAGAAACACUACAUCAGGAGCAAGUCAUGAACUGGUAGACACAAAAACCGGGACAUGUAAAAGUAAAUGGCUCAGAUAUACCACCAUCUUGACACCAUGAGUGAACAUCUUAUAUUUGUGAACGGAGGGAGUAAUAGUUAGCCGCUGAACUGGUUACUUGCUAUGACACAAGCCAUCCUAGUUUAGCACCAAGUAAUCAAUUCAGGUGUUGGACAGAAGCUCUCGCAGGGAAGCUAUAUCAUCAUAGCCAUUCAUAAACAUUACAUGAAGGAAACAGUAAUCUUAACUUGCCCUAUACGACCCUUAAGUUGAAACCAGUAAAGAAGUAACGAGAAACCAAAGGUACAAACUGAUAAGUAGAUAAAGAGUACAGCAGAAGAAUGAAUUUAUCAAGUCAAAUAGCAAUUGAAACAAGCAAACUGACCCAACACCAAAUAAGAUAGUUUCAAGAACAAUCCAACGGACAGCGGAGUUAUCAUAGCCAUUCAGGAAAAAAGAAGAACAGAAGACAACAAUAAGUGCGGCUAGAGUACUGUUCCCAAAACAACAGAACUGGUUGACGUACCGCAAAACCAAUAAAAUGUGUAGGAAAAAAUUGAAUAAUCAAAGANNNNNNNNNNAUAAGGGUCAAAAUUAGGUCGGAUAAGAUACAGAACAUCUACAGCUAAGUACAGUAUCAGCAGCUGGAAGGCCAUUAGAGCUCACAAGAGAGAAGAGAUGGUAAUUACGAUUUAAGGGCCUCUUUGGAACGCAAGUGUAGUUUCAUAUGUAUUCCCUCCACAUUCAGUAAGAGCUCAAGCGGAGAGGGAUUCAAAGUUCCCAGCCACAGCAGGUCAUGUCCAGCGGAACUGAAUUGUGAAAAUUCCAUCAGGUAGUACACCCAAAUUCCCAGCCGCCCCACGAUCCACACCGCAAGCCGCCAGCCCCUGAUGUUUCAUCUGCGGCGGCUGCCCGAGGGAGGGAGGGAGGGUCCAAAACAAAAUGCAAUUAAAAGGUGAAAAAUUGAUGGUUCAGUUUUGUCUUUCAUCUUCAAACCCAGCACUCACUCUCUUGCUGCAUAAUCCACCCAUCAUGAUGUAAUAGAACUGCCCUGGUUAUCACUCAUCAGAACGACCGUCCGAGGCACAGAACAUACAACAUCAUAGAUGAAUUGAACAGGCUGCAAGAGAGGUAAGGGUGAGCCGGAAUCGGUGACCCUUGUUCUGUGAGAUAAUCUAAGACAGCCAAGCGCUCAUUCUGGUCAAACACAAUAAGGUCCAUGACAGCCUUAUACAAGCCAGGAUGUGUUUCAGCAUGACAGGUGUUGUUGAUGGCACGUGCAAUCUCACGCAUAGCAUCAGUCAUGUUGCUACACUGGAUAGUCUUCCUUAGUCAAAACAGAUGUCCUCUUUCUCUUCUUAGUUGAAGUAGGUGAAGGAUCCUGAGUGGCACUAGCAGUAGGAAGUACAAAGUUAGAUCCACUAGGAACAUGUUCAAAUACCUCAUCAGUUGUUCCUUGUCCCUCCAUGACUUUGGAUUUGUCUUUGGCUUCCACAACAAUAGGUUUUCCCAGUGGGACACCAGUGGCCAUUGCAUAACCCCCCGAGCAAGCAAUAUUUGGCAUAGAUAGCUGCUGGUUGGUGAGUGAACAGAGGAGAUGAGAGGGAGGGAGAUUGGAGGAAAGAGGAGGGAGGACGGCGGCGGAGCUACCUUGGGCUCGGUCAGGGCCGAGCAGGAACCGCGUCGCAGCCUGGGGCGAGGCCGGCGGCGGAGCUGUCUUUGAUCGCUCAAGGAAUGAUUAUUUCAGCCAGAGUCAUCAUCAUCGCCCCUCAUUUUUUUCCCCAAAAGGAGGUUGAUCUCCCGACUGGGCUCUACACACCAAGCAACAUGACCACGAUACCCAUUACAUGCAUGCAAACAUCCAUCCAUCCAUCCUCUUUAAUUACUUGUCACACCACCUUUUUUGCGUAUGUGGCUUGUAUGUUACUCCCCUUCCAUAAUUCCUGUUGUGGUUUAAGUUACUCCCACUAUGACUAGUCUCAGUCUCAGGAGCUGCUCAUGCCCAGCGUCAGCUGACCAAACCUCCGGCUCAUAUGACACAUCAGACAACACUGUACUGUUCCCAGCCCACGCCACAACCAAAUCCAAGGCAACGGAAUGGCGGUGGCUGGCAGCACCGUAGAUUCGGGGAACUGAUGUGGCAGCCACCCAGACGACAGAGUCAGCGAGUCGGCAAUGAGAGCUUGACUGAUUUGUUUUAGAGUUUGAGAGAGAGAGAGAGAGAGAGANNNNNNNNNNGGCUCUAAGGGCAUCUCCAACGAGGUCACCGAUUCCGGCUCUAAUUAGUACCCACACACCACAGCUGUCUUGAUUGCUCAAGGCAUGAUUAUGUCGGCCGGUGACAUCAUCAUCGCCCCUCAUUUUUUUCCCAAAAAGGAGGUUGAUCCCUCGGCUGGGCUCUAUACACCAAGCAACAUGACCACGAUACCCAUUACAUGCAUGCACACAUCCAUCCAUCCAUCCUCUUUAAUUACUUGUCACACCACCUUUUUUGCGUAUGUGGCAUGUAUGUUACUCCCUCCGUUACAUAAUUCCUGUUGUGGUUUUAGUUCAAGUUCAAAUUGAACUAAAACCUAAGUUACUCCCACCUAUGACUAGUCUCAGUCUCAGGAGCUGCUCAUGCCCGGCAUCAGCUGACCAAACCUCCGGCUCAUUCGACACAUCAGACAAUACUGUACGGUUCCCAGCCAACCCCACAACCAAAUCCAAGGCAAUGGAAUGGCAGUGGCAGGCAGCACCGUAGAUUCAGGGAACUGAUGUGGCAGCCACCCAGACGACGGGUCAGCGAGUCGGCAAUGAGAGCUUGACUGGUUUGUUCUUCUUCUUCUUCUUCGCAGGGAGGGAGAGAGAGAGAGAGAGAGAGAGAGNNNNNNNNNNGAACAAAAUGCAACUGAACCGAGUUUAUGUAACGUAGCAAGAGAGGGCUCAGUUUUGCAUUUCAUCUUCAAACCCAACACUCACAUCUCUUGCAGCAUAAUCCACCCAUCACAAUGUAAGAGAACUGCCCUGGUUAUCACUCAUCAGAACGACCGUCCAAGGCACAGAACAUCCAACAUUGGCGAUGAAUUGGACAGGCUGCAACAGAGGUAAGGGUGGGCUCUAAGAGCAACUCCAACACAGACACCAAUUUUCAGGCACUAUUUAGUCCCACCUCGCCAUGGCUGUCUUGAUGUCUCAAGACAUGAUUAUUUCAGCCACAGUAAUCAUCAUCGGCAUCGCCCCUCUUUUUUAAUCCAAAAAGAGGUUGAACCCCAAAGCAACAUGACCAUGAUAUCCAUACAUACAUAUGUACUCCCUCCGUUCCAAAAUAUACUCCCUCUGUUCGAGAUAAGUAUCGUGGCUUUAGUUCACGACACAUGACCUGCAUUCAUCCAUCCUGCUAACUCUACCGUUCAAACAGGGCCUUCAUCACACAGUAGCACUAACUUUAACCUCUAACCUCUAGCUAAGUUAGAGUAUCCAAACAGGGCCUUCAUCACACAGUAGCAUCCAUCCAUCCAUCAAACUGGUCAUAGUGGUGAGUAACUUAGACAGUCUCAGGAGCUGCUCAUACCUAACGUCAGCCGACCAAACCUCCGCCUUGAACGACACAUCGGAACAAAACUCUACGGUUCCCAGCCCACGCCACAACCGAAUCCAAGGCAGUGGAAUGGCAGGCUGGCAGCACCGUGGCAACAGGGAACUGAUGUGGCAGCCACCCGGACGGUGGGUCAGCGAGUUGGCAACGAGAGCUUGACUGAUUUGUUUUAGGGUUAAAGAGAGAGAGAGAGAGAGAGAGAGAGAGUGGAGGGAUGCCAGCACUGGCCAUGUGGGUGACAGUGUCGUUGGCCAGCCUGGUGCGUGGACUCGGGGUCCGAGCGACGGCUCCGGAUUUGGUUGCUGGGUUGCUGGGUGUCGGCUCUAGUUGCUCCCUCUGUUCCAAAGUAUACUCCCUCCGUUCCAGAUAAGGCUGGUCGUAAUAGAGAGUAUCAUAUACUAGUAUUAUGCAUAUGAUACUACAUCCGUAAUGCAUAUUAUAAUCUGUUAAUAGUAUCAUAGGGUGGUUCAUUUAUUGCCAUGCAUGACACAUACUCAACUUCAUUUAAUUCUAUGAAGAAUCAUCAAAAUUGCCUACUUAUGAUACUCCCAUUACAAACAGCCUAAGUAUCGUGGUGUUAGUUCACGACACAUGACCUGCAUCCAUCCAUCCAGCCAGCUCAGGAGCUGCUCAUACCUGGCCUCGACCGACCAAACCUCCCGCUCCAACGACGCAUCAGACAACAGGGAACGGUUCCCAGCCCACGCGCACAGCCGAAUCCAAGGCAAUGGAACGGCGGUGGCUGGCGGCACCGUNNNNNNNNNNNNNNNNNNNNNNNNNNNNNNNNNNNNNNNNNNNNNNNNNNNNNNNNNNNNNNNNNNNNNNNNNNNNNNNNNNNNNNNNNNNNNNNNNNNNUGGCCCUCCUCCCCCUGCUGCCCUCCUCCCCCUGUGGCCUCUCCUCCCCCUGCGGCCCUCCUCCCCCUUUCGGUUAGUUUUUUUCUUCUUUUUUUUAAUAGUUUUUGCCUAAUUAGUUAUAUGUUUUAGUGAGGUUUUGGCUUAGUUUUAGUUUAGUUCAGGUUUAGUUUUAGUUUAGGUUUAGUUAGGUUAGUUUCCUGUUUAGUAAAGGAGAAAAGGAGAAGAAGAAGAAGGAGAAAGGAGAAGAUGAAGAAGGAGAAAGGAGAAGAUGAAGAAGGAGAAAGGAGAAGAAGAAGAAGGAGAAAGGAGAAGAACAAGAAGGAGAAAGGAGAAGACAAAAAUAAGAAGAAGAAGGAAAAGAAGAAGAAGGAAAGGGAAGGGAAGGAGAAGAAAGAAGAAGAAGAAGAAGAAGAAAAAUAGGAGAGGAAGAGAAGAAUAAGAGGAAAAAACAAAAUAAGAAGAAGAAGAAGAAGAAGAAGAAGAAGAAGAGAAGAAGAAAACAAGAAGAAGGAGAAGAAGAAUAAGAGGAAAAAAGAAAAAAGAAAAUAGGAAUAAUAAUAAUAAUAAUAAUAAUAAUAAUAAUAAUAAUAAUAAUAAUAAGAAGAAGAAGAAGAAGAAGAAGAAGAAGAAAAUAAGAAGAAGGAGAAGAAGAAUAAGAGGAAAAAAGAAAAAAGAAAAUAAGAAGAAGAAUAGGAAAAAAGAAAAAAGAAAAUAAGAGUUAGGUCACAUAUUUUUGAUUAUCUUAUAAAAACAUCAUAUUUGUGUGUUGAUCGGGUGAAUUUCAAUGUGCAGUUGUUCGACGACCUCCACGUGCGUUGGACGAGCUCCACCCCUACGCUUGUUGGUGAGCACAAAUGACUUCUCCUCCUACCCCCUUAAUUUGCUCUAUCUCGGUCCUCGUGCCGAUGAAACUUGCUAGCUAUAUAUAGUUUUCUUCAAUCAUGAGUAUGCGUGACCAGUAUGCGUCUCCCAUUCGAAAGGGCGACAUCUAUAAAUAUGCAUGUCUUUGCAUAUUUAUAACCGCCAUCCUUUGGAAUUGUCCAACAUUAUCCAUGGACAGCCCGAGUAUGUGUAGAUUGGGUUUGUUUUCCCGUAUGUUGUGCUCUGGAUCCGAUGCGGAAUUUCGUCAGUGCCUCCCUGUUGUUCUUCGGAUGCACAUCCUCUCUGUUUAUUGCGGAGGUGUGUAUCAGGCGAAUAGUUGGGAGGUGCUGCCGAAAUUUUGCGUUGGAUCCGGAGCAGAGCAUGGGAAAACGAACCCAAUCUACACAUACUCGGGUGGGAUUAGGACCUAUCUUUACCUAUUAGCGUGUAGGUUGCCUGGACGUAAUAAAAAUGGCGAACCUGAUUAACCGAUGAAUAUAAAUGCUAAAUUAUAUAUAAAUAUAUUUCUUCUGUCUUUAGUAGCUACGCAAGAUGAGUGAUCGUGCGUGGAUGUAUACCGGUCACCCUAGUCAGAAAGAGAUGACGAAAGAAUGGUUUGUAAAAACAAAGGAAUUUGUGAAAGCCGCAUUCGCAACUGGCGAGGAAAGAAACUAUUGCCCCUGUCCUGGAUGUGACAACUAUAAAAAGACGACAGCGGCUGUAAUGAUUAAACACCUGCAGAGGAGGGGUUUUAAGCCUAAUUAUACGGUGUGGACAUUUCAUGGUGAGUCUAUACAACGCACAAGAGCUGAGGUGGUCCGUCGUCGCACGGACGAGCAUGGUACCGGGAUCGAAGACAUGGUGCAAGACUUUGAUGAUGCUCGGGAUUCGAAAGAUGAGAUGGAGGAAUAUGCAAAGGCCUUUUAUGAAAUGUUGGAGUCUUCAAAACGUCCUCUUCAUGAGCACACUGAGCUCUGUCAGUUGGAUGCAAUUGCACAAGUAAUGUCUCUGAAGGCUCAGUUCAACUUGGGAAGAGAAUGCUACGACGCGAUGAUGACACUAUUUGGACGUUUCCUACCCAAAGGCCAUGUCAUGCCUGCAAACCUGUACCAGUCGGACAAAAUACUUCGUGUACUUAAGAUGCCCUAUGAGAAGAUAGAUGCAUGUGAGAAAGGAUGUGUCUUAUUUAGGAAGGAGUAUGCACACUUGGACUAUUGUCCCAAUUGCGAGUCUUACAGGUAUCUUGGGGUAGACAACGGUAUGGGUGAGAAGNNNNNNNNNNNNNNNNNNNNNNNNNNNNNNNNNNNNNNNNNNNNNNNNNNNNNNNNNNNNNNNNNNNNNNNNNNNNNNNNNNNNNNNNNNNNNNNNNNNNCUGUGUUCAGAAGACAUCAAUCCAAGUCCAGAUGGGCCGUUACUCACAUCAACACAAUAUAGAGGAAUAGAAAAAAAAAACAAUGCAUAUUAAAGAAGGUAAAAUCAAAUAUUUGUAGCGUAGCGAAAGAGGGCUCAGUUUUGCCUUUCAUCUUAAAGCCUGACACUCACAUAGCUUGCUGCAUAAUCUACCCAUUGCGAUGUAAGAGGACUGUCCUGGUUAUCAUUCAUCAGAAUGACCGUCCAAGGCACAGAACAUCCAACAUUAGCUAUGAAUUGAAUUGCUGCAAGAGAGGUAAGGGUGCGCUCUAAUUUAGUAGCCACAGACCACAGCUGUCUUAGUUGCUCAAGACAUGCUUAUUUCAGCCAUGGUCAUCAUCAUCGCCCCUGGUAAGAACUCCAUCUCUUCAUCACACAGUAGCAUCCAUCCAUCCAUCCAUCAGACUGGUCAUAGUGGUGAGUAACUUAGACAAUCUCAGGAGCUGCUCAUGCCCGGCGUCAGCUGACCAAACCUCCGGCUCGUAUGACACAUCAGACAACACUGUACGGUUCCCAGCCCACGCCACAACCAAAUCCAAGGCACAAUGGAAUGGCGGUGGCUGGCAGCACCGUAGAUUCGAGGAACUGAUGUUGCAGCCCCCCAGACAGACGACGGGUCAGCGAGUCGCAAUGAGAGCUUGACUGAUUUGUUUUAGGGUGAGUGUGAGUGUGUGUGUGUGUGUGUGUGAGAGAGAGAGAGGGGGGGGGAGGUGAAGAGGAUCCAUGCCAAAUCCAGAACAAAAUGCAACUGAACUGAGUAUAUGUAGCAUAGCAAGAGAGGUCUCAGUUUAGCAUUUAAUCUUCAAACCCAACACCCACAUCUCUUGCUGCAUAAUCCACACAUCACAAUGUAAGAGAACAGCCCUGGUUAUCACUGAGAUGGCCGCAUGCUGCCGAUGGUUUCCGACUGAACCAAUGUACAUGCCCUCAUCAGAACAACCGUCCAAGGCACAGAACAUCCAACAUUGGCGAUGAAUUGGACAGGCUGCAACAGAGGUAAGGGUGGGCUCUAAGAGCAACUCCAACGCAGAUACCCACUUUCAGACACUAUUUAGUCCCACCUUGCCACGGCUGUCUUGAUGUCUCAAAGACAUGAUUAUUUCAGCCAGUCAUAAUUAUGGGCAUCGCCCCUCUUCUUUAUCCAAAAAAGAGGUUGAACCCCCAAGCAACAUGACCAUGAUAUCCAUACGUACAUACAUACUCCCUCCGUUCCAAAAUAUACUCCCUCCGUUCCAAAAGAGGUGUCGUGGUGUUAGUUCACGACACAUGACCUGCAUCCAUCCAUCCAGCUCAGGAGCUGCUCAUACCUGGCCCUCGACCGACCAAACUUCCCGCUCCAACGACGCAUCAGACAACAGGGAACGGUUCCCAGCCCACNNNNNNNNNNNNNNNNNNNNNNNNNNNNNNNNNNNNNNNNNNNNNNNNNNNNNNNNNNNNNNNNNNNNNNNNNCAAUGCGCGCACGCACGCACGCACCGAGAGAGAGAGAGAGAGAGAGAGAGAGAGAGAGAGAGAGAGAGCUUGCACGCACGCACCGGAUCCAAAGAAAAAGAAGCCAGGCUACGCGAAAUCCAUCGACGGCGACUCAGAUCCUGCGCCGGAAACCGCCGCUCGGUCCCCAGCCCGCACGGCCGCGGACGUCUCCCGCACCGGCGGCAGCCCCGAGGNNNNNNNNNNGGGCAAUGGAACGACGGUAGCUGGCGGCACCAUAGCUGUGGGGAACUGACGCGGCGGACAUAGGCCAGCGAUCCGGCAACGAGAGCUCCCCUGAUUUGGUUUAGGGUNNNNNNNNNNNNNNNNNNNNNNNNNNNNNNNNNNNNNNNNNNNNNNNNNNNNNNNNNNNNNNNNNNNNNNNNNNNNNNNNNNNNNNNNNNNNNNNNNNNNUGGUAAGGAGACCUGAAGGAUUGGAAUAUCACCAAAGAACUAGCAAUGGUUUCGAAAGGCUUCAAGUACUAUUUUCAGAUUCUUGUUGAUGCCAUUUUUCAGUUUUUUGGUCCUAUUUUCGCAUACAUUGUCAAUUUUCUGUUCGUAUUUGCCAUUGUAGUCCUCCUUAACUUCCACCAUCGAUGCUUGCCAUCCCUACGUCCUUAUAAAGCUUCAUCUGCGAGGGAGAGGCAUCGAUGAGGAAGGAUGCUGGUGGUGAUGCGUGCCGUCUCCCCUGGCUUCGGACCUUCGCUUCAUGGGGCCACCCCUCCAGUCGUGCCCUGUGCGCUAACGCAUUGGCUUGGGAGGCCACCUCGGGCAGCCGCCGCAGCUGAAACAUCAGGGGCUGGCGGUUUGCGGUUUGCGGUGUAGAUCGUGGGGCGGAGUACUCCCGUGGCUGGGAAGUUGGGUGUACUCAGCGAGAUCUCAGCUACUUUGAUGGAUUUUUCACGAUUCAGUUCCGCUGGACCUGAGCUGCUGUGGUUGGGAACUCUGAAUCCCCCUCCACUUGAGCUCUUACUGAAUGUGGAGGUAAUACAUGUGAAACUACACUUGCGUUCCAAAGAGGCCCUUAAAUCUUAAGUACCACCUCUUCUCUCUCGUGGGCUCUAAUGGUCUUGCAGCUGCUGAUACUGUGCUUCGCUGCAGAUGUUCUCUAUCUGAUCCGACCUAAUUUUCACCCUUACCUGUUGCAUGCGCAAAGGGAUCUUUGAUUAUUCAAUUUUUUCCUACACAUUUUAUUGGUUUUGCGGUAUGUCAACCAGUUCUGUUGUUUUAGGAACAGUACGCUAGCCGCACUUAUUGUUGUCUUCUGUUCUUCGUAUUUCCUGAAUGGCUAUGAUAACUCCGCUGUCCCUUGGACUGUUCUUGAAACUAUCUUAUUUGGUGUUGGGUCAGUUUGCUUGUUUCAAUUGCUAUUUGACUUGAUAAUUUCAUUCUUCUGCUGUACUCUUUAUCUACUAUCAGUUUGUACCUUUGGUUUCUCGAUACUUCUUUACUGGUUUCAACUUAAGAUUACUGUUUCCUUCAUGUCAUGUUUAUGAAUGGCUGUGAUGAUAUAGCUUCCCUGCGAGAGCUUCUAGCCAACACCUGAAUUGAUUCACUUGGUGCUAAACUAGGAUUGUUUGUGUCAUAGCAAGUAAUCAGUUCAGAGGUUAACUAUUACUCCCUCCGUUCACAAAUAUAUGAUGUUGUUCAGUCAUGUUGUCAAGAUGGGGGGUAUAUCUGAGCCAUUUACUUAUACAUGUCCCAGUUUUUGUGUAUACCAGUUAAUGACUUGGUCCUGAUGUAGUGUUUCUUUCUAUUUCUACUGAUUCUCCUAUUAUUUCUGGUCAUCUUGUGCUAUUUGAUUAUUUGCUUCUCUGUUAUUCUCUGUAAGUGAUUUAUGAGAUAUGCUCAUACGAACCGGAUGUUGAGCCAUUUUAUACUUGCAUACUCAGAAUGCUUUGAACUGCUGAUGCAUCAAGAGAUUCUAUGUUGGAGUGUAGCGUUUCGGUGGCCAGGCUCAUCUGCACCCGGCCAGAAAAAAAUUCACAAAUGGUUCAAAAAAAAGACAAAUCAGGUCAUGAAGAAAUGAUUUUGUUUUUAAUUUUUCUAGUAUUUGUUUUGAUCUUUUUCGUCCACGCGGGUGCAUAUUAGCCUGAGUUCAGAAGUGGAUUAUCAGAGCUGCUUUUCAUUCAUGCAUCUGCACUAUGGCGCCUCAAGUGUCAGCAAGAAGAUACUACAUUUGGUCUUUGAUGUCAGCAUAUACUCCCUUGGUCCCACAAAGAUGUUUUUGCAAAUAGCUUGCAAAAAUGUCUUAUAUUAUGGGACGGAGGGAGUAUUUAUUUAGUUUUGAGUACCCAUUUAUAUGUGGUAUACGUCAUGUGCAACCUAAUCUGUGCAUUCCCUCGAUUUCUAUGCACCGGUGAUAUUUCCAGUAAUACCUGAUUUGAACUUCAUUUUGUUCUUUUGAACGUAAAACAUUGUACUCUACAUCUUGAACUCUUGUGUUCUUCCUCCAGCACAGUUUAAAAGGCCUGCACGUGUACCUAGGUCAUCAAUUUGACUUAUAUAAAAUAUUGUUUAACAUUAAAAUUACUCCCUCCGUUUCAAAAUAAGUGACUCAAAAAUGACUCUAUUUUGUACUAAACUUAGUAUAAAAGUGAGUCAUUUUUGAGUCACUUAUUUUAGAACGGAGGGAGUAUAUCAAUAGAAAAUAAAACAUCUAAAGUUUUAAUGAUAUAUUUUUUGUAAUAUAUGCCUUAUUAAGUUGGUCACAUUGACGACCUAGGUACAUGUGCCGGAUUUGUAAACUGAAACGGAGGGAGUAGUUAAUUCCUCAGCUCUCCGUGGGUUACUUUUGAACGACUAAUAACUUUGAUGACAUAUAAUUUUCAUGUAAUGCAGUAUACUGGAAUGUACAAGCAUAUACAGUGGGUAUUGACUAGAAAUCUCAAUAUUAGACAAUCACAAGCUACAAGCAUAUAAACUGGAUGGUUUGUCGUGGGCUAGCUCACAUGCACGCCGUGCACCACCAUGAAAUACUCACAGGUCUGGCGAGAGUUCCUGACGAUGCUCUGUCAUGCAUUCUGGUGAUGUAAUAAUAAGUAUCGUAAAUCCUAAAAAGUGCAGCUGCACUUUUUUGCAGUCCCGGGCACACACCCCUUCCGUCCGUCCGAAAUCCAUCCCGUGUCGCAUGCUCAGGUAGGCUACCUGGUCGGGAUCCCAUUGCCGCAUCUCCAUCGACGUCGAGAAUAGACAACAGAGUCGAGCUUCCUCCCACUCUCCCUGCCUUUCUUUCUUUGACUGAGCCGCCCUCAGGUUCUUCCUGAGGCCUUAAAUGGCGUGUCGUCAGAGAUCGACCCGCCAAGCCUUUGUUGCAUCUAGCCUCUCCCUUGACCCUUGCAUGCAUGUCAUUGCGUCGGCCUUGCUGGAUGUACGCCAGCCGCCCGCCUUGCUGCCGACGACCGUACUGGUUACAUCUAGGUCGUGGGGAGGGAGAUCAAGCGACGGAGGAGACGGUCAGGGCGUGGUCAGGGCGGGCAACGGCAAGGCCGCCUUGCUGCCGACGGCCGUAGUGGUUACCUCUAGGUCGAGGGGAGGGAGAGCAAGCGACGGAGGAGACGGCCAGGGCGGGCAACGGCAAGGCCGAGAGUGAUGCGCUGGGUAAAAGAGUCAGCCAUGGCACGGCGGCAGGGUCAUCCAAGGUGCGGUGCUGCAGAAUUUUCUGUAUUCAGAUAUCAUCAGUACCGUGAUGACCACUGCUAGCAAUUCAAAGAAUAUACAUGUCGUUUUGUGAGUCAAGUGAGAAGCUCGACGCAGGGCUGACGUUGCCGUAUUUAGGUGGUGUUUCUUUACCCAGGGACUAGACUAAAAAGUCCCUUUUAGUCUCUAGGUAAAGAAACAGGAGGGACUUUUUCUUAAGGGACUACAAAAAGACUUUAUUGAAGGGACUUUUUUCUUUAGUCCCUUGGACUAAAUAAAAGUCUAGUCCCUGGAAAAGAAACACCACCUUAUGCCUGAAGCUGGCAUACAAUUUGUAGGCGCGACAUGAAUUCAUCUCCAGUUUGGAUCAAUUACGGUCAAUUAAACAAGCUUGUUUAAGACAUGAAUUCACCUCUACUUUGGAUCAAUUACGGUCAAUUAAACAAGCUUGUUUAAAACAGGGGUACUAGUUGGAAUAUCCAUUUUGUACUUGAUGCAGGUGAACAUCAUGAGGGUGAGUAGGCCGCCAGACCGACAGAGGCAGUACUUUUCAGUUUACAACCUUCUCUUAAAAAAGUAGCAGCAACAUGCAGCAGUUUCAAACAAAUAAGAAGUUCUGAAAAUUCUAUGAAAUUCUUGUUCCAAAUGUUAAAAUUCUCAGUAUUUGGUUAGUGUUGUAUAUAGAAAAUUAAUGCAUGUGUAAUCUACACACGUCGAGUACAUCAACGUACCAUCAUUGUGAUUUUCUGUUUUCUUCGCACAAAAGCUCGCCCAACGCAUGAUAGGUAUUACCUCCGUCCCAAAUUAAUUGCCUUAGAUUUGUCAAGUUAUAGAUAUAUCUAAAAAUAAAUAAAUUUGUAUCUAAGUAAUUUAGGACAGAUGGAAUAGUUGCUAGCGACGCGGGCAAGAGUUGCAGAUCGACUCCCUAGAGCCGGCAAGUAAAGUGCGGCCUGUGCGUGGAGUCGUGGGUCACGUCAGUGUUUGGCAAGCCGAACGUGCGCGGGAUCCAGUGGGUUGGGCCGGUGUUUUGCCCACCAACCAUGUGCGAAAUCGGGGGGUUGGGGUAAAUUGAGUAUUUUGUGGAUCGGGGUUGCACCUUCGUGGCUUUGGGGGGAGUCGACGAACUGCGAGAUGUAGGGAGAUAGGUUGACGAAGGUUCCAUAAAAGGAGUUGGUUGAAGGAAGCGCCCAAGACUUGCCCAACACGUGAUAGAUAGUUGCCGGAGGUAGUGGUGUGAGUUGCCUAUAAAUUUGUAGUGCACCUAGUAAUUUUUUCCUAUUCUUCUCUCCCUGGGUAGCGGGUAUUUAAAAAAGUCACAAAUAGGGGUACUCCUAUUUGUAGUGAUAGUAUAAAAAAUAAUGUUAUUGUCGUCAUGUUUACUAGAGUUUUAGUAAAGAAANNNNNNNNNNUAAAAAAAUAGAUAGAAUGAAGAAGGGAGGAAAAAAUCUUGGAACUUACAAAAAAAAUGUAAAUUCCAUCACUUCAAAACUAUUCGAUCAACACACUUAAUUCUCUAUUAAAAAUCACAUUAUUAACACGAAGUUUCACAAAUAACAGAACAUUCUCAACGAUUUAUAUCAACAUCUCUCUCACAUGAGCAAAUUGCACAAAACCACCACAACUGUGCAAAAGUUAUCACCCACCCACCAAAAUGCAUGUUUUUCUCAUGGUUUUUCCUGAAGCAUUGAUAACUUUGACCCAAUUGUGAUGGUCUUUUGUAAUUUACUCCUCUGGCAUGUGUGUGCCUUCCUUCCGUCGCCGAUCAGCAUGCCCACCGGAUGAAACGUGCAAGAUCUGUCAUUGAGCUUCUCUUUAAAAGUAAUAAAAGCCAAAAGAAACAUUAUCAAUAGAGGUUAGUUUGCUCGUAGGAAUCUUUAUCCUAUUGAGAGCGACAUGCAACGUGCAUGCAUAACCAUGAAAAGUCUCUCACAAUCCCCUCAUGUCGCUUUCAAUCAGUCAUGAAAUCAAUUGUCCAUAUUUCCGCUUUAACUAUGCGUCGUUUCUUUUUGACGUCCAAUAAAUCUAGUUUUUCUGACGAUUCUGGAAGACCGUGCGCCCGGUUACCAUGCCCAUGUUCCAUGAAUUUUAUAUAGGCACACUCGACAUGGGCAGGAUUAACUAUGGAGUCAUUGCUCUCAUCCCCAAACUAGUUGGGGCUGUUGAGAUUCGUCAAUUCAGGCCUAUUACGGUGAUUAACGUGUUGGCGCGUAUUUUUGCUAAAGUCUGCGCCACUCGCGUGUCCCCUGUGGCCGAACGAAUUGCUCAUCCCCUUCAGUCCGCAUUCCUGAAGGGCAAGAAGAUUCAUGACGGGAUUCUUGCCCUUCACGAGGUUGUCCAUGAGGUGGCGUCCAAGGUAAUGAAGGGGGUCUUUCUCAAGUUGGACUUCCAGAAGGCGUACGACCGUCUUGAUUGGUCCUUCUUGAGGUUAGUAUUGCAGCGGCGCGGAUUUGACGAGAGGUGGUGUUCCUGAAUCAUGCAACUGGUUCGAUCUGAUAGCACCGCGAUCAAUAUCAAUGGUGAAGUUGGCCCCUUUUUUCGGGCAUCCAGGGGGUAAAGCAAGGAGACCCUAUCUGCCCCCUGCUCUUUAACCUCGCCGUGGACGCCCUUACUGGCAUCCUGGAUAAGGCAAGAUUAGCAGGGCAUAUCCAGGGGGUGGUUGGUCACCUCAUCCCGGGGGGUGGGGUUUCCCACCUCCAGUAUGCAGACGACACCAUGAUCAUGGUCUCUGGCUCCGACUCCGACAUUGCUAAUCUUAAGUUCCUUUUGCUCUGUUUCGAAGAAAUGUCUGGACUUAAGAUUAACUUUGAUAAGGGUGAGGUGAUGGUCCUAGGAUACUCUGAGGCUGAGCAACUCAGAAUUGCGGACAACCUCAACUGCAAGCUGGCGGCUUUCCCUAUCUCGUAUUUGGGAAUGCCCCUAGCGGAGUCUAGGAUUCUGGUUAGCGGGUUUGGUCCGCUUGUGGGACGAGUAGCGUCCCGUGCGGAACCCUGGUGUGGCAGGUUCACUUCUAAAGGUAGCAAAUCCAUUCUCAUUAGCUCGAACCUCGCAAGUCUCCCCAUGUAUAUGAUGGGGAUGUAUAUCCUGCCCGAAGGUGUGCACAGCGCCUUCGACAAGGAACUGGCUAGAUUCUUUUGGCAGGCAGGGGAUGGUAGGCCCAAGUAUCACAUGGUGAAAUGGGCUGACGUCUGCGUGCCAAAAGACCGAGGGGGCUUAGGCAUUCCUGCGUCCCGCCGCAUGAACGUGGCCCUGAUGCUCCGAUGGGUUCGGCGGAUUCUGCAGGCACUACAGGAAUCAGCUUCUUUGCCGUCUGCCAUCACAGACGGCAAAGACUAAACCCCGGACGGCAAAGAGAAUACCACAGACGGCAAAGAAUCUCACGGCCCGCAAAAUUUCUACGUCAGCCUACGACAGCAUCGUACCUUCUUUGCCGUCUGUCCCCACAAAGCGGACGGCAAAGCUCUUUGCCGUCAGCUUUUUAUAGGAGCAGUCGGCAAAGUGCUCAAGACGGCAGCCGACAGACGUUGCCUCCAUUAGGGGUUAACGGAGGCUUUGCCGUCUGCCUCCCCCUUAUUCUUUGCCGUCUGCCUCCCCCUUAUUAUUUGUCGUCUGCCUGCCCCUUAUUCUUUGUCGUCUGCCUCCUCCUCCUCCCCCCUCCACUCUUUGCCGUCUGCCUCCUCCUCCCCCCUCCUCUAUGCCCUCUUCUUUGCCGUCUGUCCACCCUGGAGGCAGACGGCAAAGAGCCUAUAUAGACACCCCAGGAUGCACACCUGGGUGCCAUGUGGCACCUUUGCCAUCUGCUAGCUGAUGGCACAGGUCUUUGCCAUCAGCUGGCAGACGGCAGAGAGCCCAUAUAGUACCUGUUUUUUUGUUUUAUAUUAUUUCAUAGCACACACAUAUAUAUGACACCACAUUUAUAUAAUUCACCACACAUAUAUGAUAUAUAGUUCACCACACAUAUACUUGCCAACACAUAUAUAUAAUUCACCGCACAUAUAUGAUAUACAUAUAAAUCAAUGUACAUCCCCAUAUAUCGAAAGAACCAACAUACAAAGUAUUGCACUUUUAUCCAUAUAUACAUAUACAUAUAGUUCGACAUUGUUCAUUAACUCAAAUGAAAACUAGAUAAUAUGCAUAUAAAGUCCAUCCAUCGACAUUGUUCAACUCCAUGAAUGCCAGCUUCCAUGCAUGUAGUAUAUCCAAUCUGCAAAAAUGUGAAUAAGAAAGUCAGAAGAAGAACAAAAUAUUAUGUUUUUGAGCUAAUUAUGUCAUUUUUAGCGGAAAACAAGCUAAGAAUAUAAUAUUCAUGAGCUAACAAAGGUUCUUGUGCCAUUUUUAGCUUAUUAUGGCAUUUUGGAGCUAAAUGGGUUAAUUAUGUCAUUGUUGGGGAAAUUAAAGCAAGGAUAAUAUGAAAGAGGAGAAGAAAGAGGAGGAGGAGGAGAAGAAGAAGAAAUCAAGAAGAAGGAGGAGAAGGAGGAGAAGGAGGAGAAGGAGGAGGAGAAGGACUAGAAGGUUAUUGGCCUUCUCCUCCUCCUCCUCCUCCUUCUCCUUCUUCUCUUCUUCUUCUUCUUCUUCUUUCUUUUUUUUCAUUUUUCCUAUUUAUUCUCCUCUUCUCCUCUUGUUGGAGCUAAAUCACCUAAUUAUGUCUUUUUGGAGCUAUAUGGGCUAAUUAUCCCAUUUUAGAGGAAAGCAGGCUAAGAAUAUAAUAUUCAUGAGCUAACCAAGGUUGUUAUGCCAUUUUGAACUUAUUAUGGCAUUUUGGAGCUAAAUGGGCUAAUUAUGUCAUUGUUGGGGAAAUUAAAGCAAGGAUAAUAUGAAAGAGGAGAAGAAAGAGGAGGAGGAGGAGAAAAAGAAGAAAUCAAGAAGAAGGAGGAGAAGGAGGAGGAGGAGGAGGAGAAGGACUAGAAGGUCCUUGGCCUUCUCCUUCUCCUCCUCCUCCUCCUCCUUCUCCUUAUUCUCUUCUUCUUCUUCUUCUUCUUCUUUCUUUUCAUUUUUCCUAUUUCUUCUCNNNNNNNNNNUAAUAAAGAGGAGGGGGAGAAGAAGAAGAAGAAAUCAAAAAGAAGGAGGAGGACGAGAAGGCUAGAAGGUCCUUGGCCUUCUCCUCCUUCUCCUCCUCCUUCUCCUUCUUCUCUUCUUCUUCUUCUUUCUUUUCAUUUUUCCUAUUUCUUCUCCUCUUCUCCUCUUGUUGGAGCUAAAUUACCUAAUUAUGUCUUUUUGGAGCUAAAUGGGCUAAUUAUCCCAUUUUAGAGGAAAACAAGCUAAGUAUAUAAUAUUCAUGAGCUAACCAAGGUUCUUAUGCCAUUUUGAGCUUAUUAUGGCAUUUCGGAGCUAAAUGGGCUAAUUAUGUCAUUGUUGGGGAAAUUAAAGCAAGGNNNNNNNNNNCCUAAUUAUGUCUUUUGGGAGCUAAUUGGGCUAAUUAUCUCAUUUUAGAGGAAAACAAGCUAAGCAUAUAAUAUUCAUGAGCUAACCAAGGUUCUUAUGCCAUUUUGAGGUUAUUAUGGCAUUUUGGAGCUAAAUGGUCUAAUUAUGUCUUUUUGGGGACAUUAAAGCAAGGAUAAUAUGAAAUAGGAGAAGAAAUAGGAGGAGGAGGAGAAGAAGAAGAAAUCAAGAAGAAGGAGAAGGAGGAGAAGGAGGAGGAGGAGAAGGACUAGAAGGUCAUUGGCCUUUUCCUCCUUCUCCUCCUCCUCCUCCUCCUUCUCCUCCUUCUCUUCUUCUUCUUCUUCUUCUUUCUUUUCAUUUUUCCUAUUUCUUCUCNNNNNNNNNNNNNNNNNNNNNNNNNNNNNNNNNNNNNNNNNNNNNNNNNNNNNNNNNNNNNNNNNNNNNNNNNNNNNNNNNNNNNNNNNNNNNNNNNNNNNNNNNNNNNNNNNNNNNNNNNNNNNNNNNNNNNNNNNNNNNNNNNNNNNNNNNNNNNNNNNNNNAGUUCUUAUGCCAUUUUGAGGUUAUUAUGGCAUUUUGGAGCUAAAUGGGCUAAUUAUGUCUUUUGGGGGAAAUUAAAGCAAGGAUAAUAUUAAAGAGGAGAAGAAAGAGGAGGAGGAGGAGAAGAAGAAGAAAUCAAGAAGAAGGAGGAGAAGGAGGAGGAGGAGAAGGACUAGAAGGUCCUUGGCCUUCUCCUCCUCCUCCUCCUUCUCCUUCUUCUCUUCUUCUUCUUCUUUCUUUUCAUUNNNNNNNNNNNNNNNNNNNNNNNNNNNNNNNNNNNNNNNNNNNNNNNNNNNNNNNNAAUGAGCUAACCAAGGUUCUUAUGCCAUUUUGAGGUUAUCAUGGCAUUUCGGAGCUAAAUGGGCUAAUUAUGUCUUUUUGGAGUUAAAUGGGCUAACUAUGUCAUUGUUGGGGAAAUUAAGGCAAGGAUAAUAUGGAAGAGGAGAAGAGAAACUUACCGUAGUGGUCAUCAAGGAGGAGAAACACGUGGAGAAGGGUCGUGCGAUGCCGCUCGGGAGUUAUUCUGCAGAAUAGAUAUUUUGCAAUGUCUCAGUUAGCGUGAUAACACUCAAUUAUUAAUACUAGUUUAUAAUGAAACUGACCGUGCCAAUCAAAGAGAAGACGGGCAUCGACGGAGGGACUUGACCGCUCUUCUCGCACAGACCCUCAAGAGUGGGUCGUAUUAGUUAGUAAUGAAACAGACAUUACACACAUGAUUUGGCUAAUGUGAAAAAAAACUUACCACAAAAAGCUCGUACAGGGCCCGUUGACCCGCCUCAUUCCGGUACCUCUCCUCCUCAAUCAAUCGUGUCGUGGUCUGGUCCCUCUCAUCAAGAGCAGCCUGACUUGCCAAUCUCUCUUUCUCAAGAGCAGCCUGACUUGCCAAUCUCUCUUUCUCAAGAGCAGCCUGGUUUGCCAAUCUCUCUUUCUGAAGAGCAGCCUGAAACACCAUUCCUCGUUACCACAAUAAUGAUCUAUGGUAACACACAUAAUGAAAUGGAUGAAAGUGUUCUUAGUCCGUACAACUAACCUCGAUGGCAAGUUCGACUGGCCGUGGACGACGCAUUAUCUCAGGACAGCUGCUCGACUGGCGCGCCUUGAUCUCCGGAAGAGUGAGUGGACAACGUAUUAUCCCAUCUCCAAUGGCUAUCGAGCCAUGGGGCCUCCCGCCACCAGAUAUCAUCACCAACUCUAGAUCCAAAGGUUCCUGGCUAGGGUUAAAGUCAUCCCCUUUCGUAGCCUUCCCCGCGUCCCUGUAUGCCACGAGCUUCUGGUGGGAUGAUAUGUUGGUGAAGUUAUUGGGAUCAUCCACGUCAGACUCAGAGAAUGCCUUCGCCUUCUUGUACGAGGCAGUAUGGGCCAUGCCAUAAAGGUCGUACAAGUGUGGCAUCUCCGUCUUAUUCUGAUGCGCCUAAAAGAGAGGAACAAAAUAUUAGCAUCAAGAAUGAAUUGCAUGAAUCAUGAAGCGUGAUCACAUACCCAGUUUCGUCCAAACUGAAGUAAGUUGGCGCUGCUUUGAUGGUGUGGCACACCAACCAUUUGGCUAUGCUGAUCCUUCGUAUUCUCGUGGACGGCUCGCCAGCUGCCUGUGCACCACUCAUCAACCAAUGCCUCCCAACACUAGUGGGGACAGGGCCUAUAGCCCCGGCCCGUAAGGGGCUUUAGUCCCGGUUCACCAACCGGGACUAAAGGGGCGGGACUAAAGGCCUAACCUAUUCGUCCCGGCCCUCUUACAAGCCGGGACUAAAGGUGCUCCACGUGGGCACCUCGUAGCGCCCCAGGGGCAGGCCCUUUAGUCCUGGUUCGUUACACGGUCCGGGACUAAAGAUUUUCAUAUUUUGCUGGCUUUUGGGUUUUUUUUGAAUGAAAUUAUUUUUGGGUUUUAGGGUUUUAGAGUUUAGGUGUUCAGGAGAUUAACGUGAUGCCUCGUUUUGUGUUCGGGAAUUAGUUUUCAUAUAAUUUAAAAUAGAAAUAAUUAUGCAUAUAUAUAUAUAAGAUUAACUUAUCUUACAAGCGAUCAUAUAUAUACAAUUAUAUGGAGAUCUGAAUUAUCGGGACUAGAGCCCGUCUAUUCGAUUACAUGGACGAACAUCACUAAUGGCCCUUAGCUACACUAAAUCGUCCUUUGUCUUCUAUAGCUUCCGUCCUCAGAAAUCCCGCAAGCUCCUCUGCAACAGCAAUCGCGCGUUGCUCUGGUAGGACCUUCGUCCUCAUGGCCGUGUGCUAUAUAAGAAGAGGAGAUGAAUAUGAAUAUCAAUCAUGAUACACAAAGAAUGACGGGUAAAAAUAGAUGUGUGAAUGUUCAUUGCUUACGUCGAAUAUGUGCUCCUUGAACUCAGAGGUAAACGUGCGAAUGGUCUCGCAAACAUAGUAUCCGCAUAGAUGCGUUCCCCGUGGCUGCUGGUCGCACUUUACGAGAAUGGAAUAUAUAUAAUCAAAAUAAUAAUCUAGCAUCAUAAAUGUAUUGAAAAUUAAUAGAAGUAUAUCAUACUACUACUUACCUGAGCCGCUCUAAAGGUCAGCUUCUCAGGAAAGUUACCGAGAGUCACGCACUUGAACCGAUUCCAAACCCUGCCCGACAAGGAUAAUGAUUUGCUAAGUUUUUCAUUAAUUGAUAUAUCAGAAAAUCAUCGAAAGAGACCGAUAGAGCGCAAGAAUGAUUAAAAUUACCCUUGGAGCAUGUCGUGCAGGCUUUGGAACUGUUCCAAGGGUCUCGAUAAUGGGUCGAAGGCAUCAACUAUUCCUUUAUCAAUUUGAAUGUCCAACAGAAUCCAAUGAAAGCUGCACAUGUGUGUGUGUGUGUGUGUGAGUAACUUAUCAAUUACACUUAUAAGUGAAUGGACACAACAGAGUAAAGACCCUCACCUGAAGUUGUAUGGAAACAGUAUAUGGUCACAGAAAUUUUGAUCUCUUAGAAACCUUAGAAGGUUUUCCUCCGUCUCCUUGGGAUAAUUAGUUAGCGUCGCUAUAUGUAUUUUAUCUGGAUCAAUAAACCCAAUAUUUAUGAUGCUCUUACUUUUACACUCCAGAAUCUUCAUUCUGCAUAAUAGAGUACAAGUUAUAUAUAGACAAUGAAUUGAAAUAACUAAACAAGUUAUAUGUAGACAACGAAUUAAAAAACUUACAGACAAUAACAACUCAUAAGCGAUUUGUCGAGGGCGUCGCCAUUGUACAUCUAGAAGAGUUCAUCAAAGUCGAUAUGGAUUUCUUCGGAGCGGCCGUAGUACUCCUGUGGGACACUCAGCACGAUCAUCGUUCUCCCCUUCUUUGAUUCACUUAAGUACCAUUUAUGCAAGUAACGCAUAUUUGUUGGGAGAUCAUCUUUGCUGACCAAACGCUCUCCCAUGACAAACUUUGGCUUAGGGGCUACCACAGCCUUGGGUAUCCUGUCUUCUUGGGAAGCCAGCAAAUUUUCAACCAAGAUACCACAUUCAUCCGCCAACUCCUUUGCUUUUUCAAAAGCUUGCCCCUGCACCGAAGGGGGAACAUUCUCGGUUAACACCUUGAGGGGUGGGAUCGACUGUUUGGCGUGUUGUCCAAGCUGAGGAACGUCUGAUUUUUUCUUGCUUGUAGUUGAACUUGAUUUGCUCCCACUUGCACUUGCAUGUGACCUGCUCUUUUUCACUUCCUUCUGCAAUGUGCGUGUAUAGUCAUCAAGCUUAUAGUGUAAGUCAUACUGUGAUGGAGUGGUUAUGAAGUCUUUUGCCCAUGCUAUGUUCUUCUCGGUGUAUUUCGGGCGGGGCUCGGGUUCCUUCCUUUUCAUCUGCGUGUCAUGCUGUUCCUUUGCUAUCCUGGCGUUUUCCUCGGGGGUACGAUCAUAAGGUCUAAUAGGAAGAUUAGCAUGAGGUAUCUUUGGGAGGGGCGACAGUUUGCGCUUUGGGGAGCUCCGUCCCUUAGAAAUCAUCGACGAAGCGUUCUUGCUGGCACGCUUCCGCUUAGUAUCAUGUGCGGGCGGCGGCGGAGACGGACGACCCAAGUCCGGCGACGGUGAUUGAGAUGGACUCGUGUUGUGCUGGCCGACGUCAUGUGGAGGGCUUGGAGGUAAUGGAGGUGUAGGUGACCUGCGACGACUCGGAGGCGGUGUUGUCCUUGGGGCCGAGCCUGGAAGCUUGAUGUAGUUCUUGUCCCAUAGGAUGACUCCACCCAGUACUUCUCCGAGUGUCCUCUCAUCUUCGGGUCCAGCUAUGUCGAGCUCCAUAUCAUAAAACCCCGUCAUGAUUUCAUCCACCCCGACUUUAGCAAAGCCAGCUGGAAUCUCACGGCCAUGCCAGCGUGCAUUAGGGCCAGAAGGUAAAGCUUGUCCGACGGCCACCUUCAUGGAUAUGUUCUUGAAUUUCUGAUGGAGUUCACAUGAUGUUGACUCCUUGAUUCCAUCCACGGGGUAGCCGGGACCGCCCUCUAUCAUUCUUCGUUCAUCGUCGGGCGGGGCCUCAGAUUCAGCCACGCUGCUUUUCCGCUUAGACGGGGCGCCGGUAAUAUCAAGUGCAGGAUCUUCCUCGCGCGGUACUCCUCUAAGCUCAUCAAUCUGCUUCUGUUGCUCGUUAAUCGUGGCAAGGAACUGGUUGAACUUGUCAUUCUCCUCAUCCUGUUGCCGCUUCUUUGCUCUCUCUCGGCUUCUGUAAGUGUCUUGGUCUCUGGCAAACCCAAGCCACCACGGGUAAGAAGGACCGAAGCCUCGCGUUCGUCCUCCAUGUUCGUCAUUGCCGAGGACCAGUGUGAGCAAAUCUUUCUCUCUAUCUGCAGUGAACUUUCUUCUUCCCUUCUUAAUUUCUUUCACUAUCCUUUUCCAAUUCUCCAUGGGUAUCCUAAGAUUGUCAUUGCAGAUGAGGUCCCCUGUUGUUUCGUCGUACGACCCAUCAUGCGCAAGGAACCAAUUUCUUGCUCUCAAUUCCCACUCAUCACAGAGUGGUUCAGGUACGACGCCUUUAUCUAUCAGAUCUUGCUCUUUCUUAUCCCACUUUGGGAUGGCACUCUCAUAGCCCCGUGGCCCCAGCUUGUGGUGAUAUAUCUUCUUGUCGGCAUUUAUCUUGUUCUUUUCUGAUAAUGCCUGGGCAUCUUCUGACUCCUUGUACUCUUGAAAUGCCUUCCAGUGAUUCGCCUACUUGGCUAGAUACCCCUCGAAUACUGGCACUUUCUGUGUCUUCAGAUAGUUUUUCCAUAGCUUCUUUUUCCAGCUACGGAACAGUUCAACCAUCUUCUUCAGAGUCCACUGCUUGACUUUGGCCCUCAGUUUGUCUGCGGCGUCUUCAUUCUCACAUUCUGGCAGGUUGACAUGUGACAUGAGAUCAUUCCAAAGAUUAUCUUUGUACCUUUCGGCGACAUAGUCACUAUCGGCUGCCCCUUUGCGCUUGUUCCACUCCCGAACGCUGAUCGGGACGUGAUCCCUAACGAGAACUCCGCAUUGCUUCUUGAAUGUGUCAGCAACAUUCUUAGGAAGCUUGGGUUCGCCCGUAGGAAAUAUCACCUCAAAUGUGUAAUGCGUCCGUGCAUCCAACUUUCUAGUCGGGCCUCGUUUCGUAGUUUUGCUCGAUGUGGAGGCCUAAGAGGGAGAAACAUUCGUCAAAUGAAUGUAUAUGUAUACAAUAUAGAGCUAUCUCCAAUAUUUUUCACAUAUUGCAAGUGAUUGUCGAACUUCAUAUGUAUACCUCGCCGGACUUCUCCUCUUCACCGGCUUCUCCAUCAGUGGAGCUAUCACCUUCUCCGUCAUUGGACCUAUCUCCUGCCCCAUCGGCUUCAUCUUCGUGUCGCUCGACCUCCAUUCCAACGUCCUGGUUUAGAUAUAACGACGGAGAUUCAGCUGGUUCAACGUCGGGGCCGUCUUUGAUUAUAUCUUCCAAAAGUUCUUCCUCUUCGAGGUUCCUGAUAUGUGGAUCCAUAGUUCUGCAAAAAACGGAUUCUCUUAACCUUUGUACCAAAAACCAAAGUAAGAGUACUUUUCCAAUUUGAGACUCCUAGAUUUCUGCAUAGUAUUCAAAGUAGGAGUAAUUUUCCAAUUUGAGCAUUCAAUAAGCAAAACCAAAUCGUAAAAUAAAGUAGUAUUCAAAUUUGCAUGCAUUUAAUUAUAAGCUAAUACAUCAUCACUUUUGUUCGUACAUCAUUGAAUAUUAUCAUUAAUACUCCUCGAAUACUAUCAUACAUAUAGCAUCACUAAUACAUCUAGAACCGUAGCGUGCGACGAGUAUCGACGCGGGCGGUGGACACCCAAAGAGAAGGAACCAUCACAGGAUCAUAGCUCCAGUGAGAUCCCCGAAGAACCUGCCAGGUAUGCUCGAACCUGCCCUCCAACACAACCAUGUAGCGACGGACAUGCUCAUCCUCCUCGCUGACACGGUGACGUACCACCUCCGCGGUGUCCGGAAGCCUCGGCACCCUCACUGGCCCACACGACCGCCACCAAACAAGGAAAGGGGUCAACGACGGGCUGGCUCCUCACCAACCUAUGCCCCCCGGAAGGUAGCACCUCCCAAUACCAGCCGGGCGGAGCCUAGUCCCGGACAGGGCCCCUCUGAUCAAGCAGGUGUCCUCCGCCGAGUCGACGACGAGGAUGCGGGAUAGGCAUCGUAAAAUGAACUAAAAAAAAUAAACUAGUUCUAUUAAUUUUCUUACUAAAAAUAAACUAUUAGCACUUAAGCAUAUACAAUAGCAAAAUUAAACUAUUAACACUUAUUUUCAUUUUUCUUCUCCUCCUCUUCUUUUCUUCUCNNNNNNNNNNNNNNNNNNNNNNNNNNNNNNNNNNNNNNNNNNNNNNNNNNNNNNNNNNNNNNNNNNNNNNNNNNNNNNNNNNNNNNNNNNNNNNNNNNNNUGAAUCAUCUGAAUCAGAAUGUCCACCUUCCUCGAGGUGACGCUGGCCAUAGUGGACGACUCGAAUCUUGCGGUACAACUCGUAUGAAACAUAUGCAUCUUUUGUUGCAUACUCAAUGUUGAUAUCAUCAAGUGGGCCCUUCUCCCAAAGUCUGUGCUGAGACUUUGGGAAACUGGUCUUCAUAUCAGCAUAUGAAUCGUCGAUCAAGGCAACUGCCAUACGAGCCAUCGAAGUCCUGUCAUGUUGAAGCUUGAAUAUCGUUUGGAGAUCAACGAGGCAAUCAGCUGGUAUCUCAAUACCGAAGCUGUGCCUCAUCUUCAGCCUGUCGUUCCUUAUGUCAACGAAAGCAAAAGUGACGCCGCUGCGAAGGAACUCCAUGAGUCUUGGACAAUGCUUGUCACUCCUGCAACAGAAACAAAUUAAAAUGGACCAAAUGUUACAUACUGCUGCAAUAAGGAAACAUGUUUCACUACAAUUAAAGAGAAACUUAUCUUUAGGAUUCAUAUAGAACAUAUGCAAUGGAACCUAGAGAGAUCACUACAACUAUUUGAAGCGAACCAACUAUGAUUCCAAUGGAACAUAUUAAACACUAGUUGAUUCUAAUACGAUUUUUCAGAUUAUGGAACACUAUUCCAAUCAGAUUGUGUUCCCCUUCAACUAAUCAAAAUUGUUUCACUACAACUAUUUGAAGGGAACCAACUAUGAUUCCAAUGGAACAUAUUAAACNNNNNNNNNNNNNNNNNNNNNNNNNNNNNNNNNNNNNNNNNNNNNNNNNNNNNNNNNNNNNNNNNNNNNNNNNNNNNNNNNNNNNNNNNNNNNNNNNNNNGGCCUUUAGUCCCGGGUUGAGCCACCAACCGGGACUAAAGAGGUAUACCAAACGGUUGCCACCACUACGGCAGGCCACGUGUUAGGCUUUUAGUCCCGGGUUCAACCACCAACCGGGACUAAAGAGGUAUGCCAACGGUCGCCCCACUACGGCAGGCCACGUGUUAGUCCUUUAGUCCCGGGUUGAGCCACCAACCGGGACUAAAGGGGGAUACGAACGGUCGCCACCACUACGGCAGGCCACGUGUUAGGCCUUUAGUCCCGGGUUGAGCCACCAUCCGGGAGUAAAGGGGGAUACGAACGGUUGCCACCACCACUGCCCGCCGCGUAGCCCUUUAGUCCCGGUUUGGGACACGAACCGGGACUAAAGGCUCCUUACGGGCCGGGACUAAAGACUCGAGGGAGGCAUUGAGAAUUGGGGCGACGUGGCCGGGCCUUUAGUCCCGGCCCAGAGGCACUCCGGGACUAAAUGGUCCAGGCCAAAGGCCCGUUUUCUACUAGUGCAACAAUCCAUCUUAUUCGCACACCAUCUCGGGGGCACCUGUAAGUUAUUAGAAAGAAUUUUCAGCGCUACGCCUAUGAAUGAAAUCAAGAAAACUACGUAGAAGGACUUAAGAAUAGGUAAUUACCUUCAUGUAUUGCUCCUUCUUCAGAAACUUUCCGCGGCAAUCCUUCUUCUGCUUCUUAAUACCACGCGUGGCGUAGUAAUCUCGAAUAGCCUGCGGCCGAGCCUCGUGGCGCAAGUUCUGUAGUAACCGCCUACACUCGGCCUCGAGAACCCUAGCCGCCUCCUCCUCAUAUCCAUCCUCACACCUAUAGAAGGUCUGCAAUCAAACGUGAAAACACCGAUUAGUACAAUAAUUAGCUAUAUUGUUAAUUUUAUAUUCUGUAAAAGGAUAAUUUACCCAAAAGCUCUUGAUCACCAUCUCGGCCCUCGUGUGGCACAAGACACCAUCUAUAAUCUCCUCCGGCGGGGCCUGCGCAGCCUGGUAGUGCUCCCAGGAAAAUCCUAGUGUAGGAACCUGACCCUCACCAGGCAACGUGACAAACCCCGGGAAAUAUGUCCGGCAAAGCACACCAAGGACGGAGUUCGUUCUGCGGACUACAAGAGGGUGUACCCAUCCCCUGCAGUAUGAUAAGGUCAACGCAUUAGAUAUUUGAAAAAACUUGAAGGCAAAAGCUAAAAAAAAAGAGUAAAUGUACUUACCUAUCUCCUUCAGGUUUAAUCACCGUCCUCUGCUCGCGGGUAGCCGACGCGACCGGGAGACGUGUACUACCACACUUGUACACGGUGGCCCCGUCCACCUGCACAUCGCCCUCACUAUCCGUAAGCUCAUCCCCACCAUCCCCGCCCCCUGAGCCACCCGAACCCUCGGUCCAAUCCGGCAACUCGGUACGAUCCGGCCAGGUCUCCCAUCCGGGCCUCUCCACGUCGGGUGAAGCCUCCGGAACCAUAGUCUCCUCCGGCUGCUCGUGGGCCGAAUGCACCUCGACCCGAGGCUGCUCCUGGACCGGAGUCUCAUGGGACGAAUGCCCAUCAACAACAGGAUCCUGGAACGGAGUCCCCGUAGCCUCCUCCGCAAACGGGUCGACCAUAGUAGUCCUAUGCUCGGGUGAAUGAGCUGGUGGUGGUGGCGAGGACGGCUCAAUAGUCCUCCUGGACCUUCCGCGGCCACCACCUCUCCCUGUACCCUUCCCCUUCUUCCCUACCCGACCAACACCUCUCCCAGUGGGCAAUGCCGCCGACGAACAAGAACCCACGGGUGGCGUCGACAGACAGUCUGACAAGGCUCUAUGGAGAGAUAGGGGUGGAAGGGAAGUACCACCCCUCGUGCGGGGCGCCUCGGAAGAACCUGUCGAGCGAUCUGGACCAGCGCCCACCAUCUUUCCACACCUGGUGACCUGCCAUGAUAAAGAUUAAAAGAAAUUAGUACAACAUAAAAAAAUUAAAAACUGACAUGAAUAAUAAUAUGUACAUGAAUAAUAAAGAUUAAAAUAUAUAUAAUUUAAGUUGUGAAUCUUACAAACUAAUAAUCAUCAUCUAUAAAUGCAUCAUCAUCACUAUCACGCAUGUCUUCAUGAAUGACGUGCUCGUCGGGUUCAACGGCGUGAAGUUGUGAAAGGACUUCCUUUAAUUGUUGAAGCAUUGACAGGUCAUCCGCAUCAGUAACCUCUACGAGUUCCAGGUCUUCUGGUUCCGGCUCAGGGCUGGAGUCGGAUUCAUUGUCGCUGUCUACUUCCAUGUUCUUGGGUGAAGCACAGCGGUUCUUGAAACAUUUCUUGGAAAGACGUGUUUCUUGGAAGAAUUCUCCAUCAUAUGUGUCUGGGUUAAUGUGAGGUUCAUAAUCCUGUUCAUUUGGGAGAGGUGGUCUGACAUGUGGCGGCACUUCAUAAACAACAUACCAACCUUCCAGAUUCUUAUCCGUUUGGCAUGCCCACGGUAGAUAGAAAACUUGGGUCGCAUGUUGAGCCGUAAUAUAGACAUCGGGAACAUCUAAAUGGGUGUUUGGAUUGAUUUCGACUAGUCAUAUAUGCUCAUGAGUCCUUCUAGUCUUUUUCGGCUGGAACCAAUAACAUUUGAAGACUACGACGUUCGGUGGGUUUUCACCAUAGAAUUGAAGUUCAUAAAUUGCUUCAACUCUUCCAUAAUACUCGAUAACACCUUCGCCGAUAGCAGAGACACCACAGUUUGUAGAUUUCCAGUCGGGCAUAGAUAGCUCUUUGCCAAAGGUACGAAAGAGAUACCCGUUGAUGUUGUAUUUCUCAAAUGAACGGACCUUAUAGUCAAAACCAUUAGCAACUUGUCUCAAUUCGGCGUCCAUAGACUCUGAAUUAGCCUACAAGUUUAAUACGAAACGGUUGUUGCAUUAGCCGCAAGUUAGACCAAGAAUGAAAUGGUCCAUUAUUGAUAAUUAUCGUUUGUUUGAACCAAGAGAUGAAACCGGGAUAGCCGCCUCCUGUCUUUGACAGAAGCUCAUACUCUUCGACGGAAUCAUUUUCGAUCACCGCUCCAUCCGAGAAUUUGGCGACGUAACGGUUGUUUGAAAUAUCCGGGAAUAAGAGCAGUUCAAAUGAAUUAGAAGUUACGGGAAAAUGUGCCGAGAACUCACUCGAUGUAUGGCCGCACUUCUGUUAGGUUGUUGAAGAUAUACAACAAAAUGUUCCGCCAUUCUUCGACAUCCAACGUUAUUGGUUUCGAAGCACCGGCUGGUGCGAGCUUCCCUUUGAAUAGGCUGAGGUUGGACCCACCUUUUUUAGGGUCUGCAUCAUUGUGCCGAGGCUUCGGAUUAUGCAAAUGAUGAUUUUUGGCUUCAUAGUGUGCUGUCAUAAAGUUUGCCACCUCCUCAGUAAUGAAUGCCUCAGCCAUCGAUGCUUCAAUUCUACGCUUAUUUUUACAUUUAGCUCGAAGGAUCUUCUGCAAAUUCUCAGUUGCAUAGCACCAACGAUCUUGCAUGGGCCCACCAAAUCUUGGCUCGGUCGGUAGAUGUAAAAUCAAAUGCUGCAUUGGAUUAAAGAAGCCAGGUGGAAAGAUCUUCUCUAACUUGCACAACAACUCCGGUGCAAACUCCUCCAUGUAUUCUACCACGCCAGGCUACAAUUCUUUCGCACAAAGAACACAUAAGAAAUAGCUCAGCUCCGCCAGUACUAGCCAUUCAUCCUCAGGAAUAAAGCCACGUAACAUCACCACCAUUACCCGCUCUAGCCAUAUGUGCCAAUCAUGACUCCUGAGACCAAAGAUUUUUAAUUUUUCAAGACUCGCUCCCCUCUUUAGAUUCGCUGCAUACCCAUCGGGGAACAUCAAGUGCAUUUUGACCCACAAGAUAAUUUCCCUCAUAGCUGGCCUUCCAAGAUUGAACCAGGCCUUUGGCUUCGACCACUCCUGCUUUCCUUUGGCUUCUCGCAUGUUUUGUAACGGUCUAUGACAUAGUGUCUCUUGAUCGACUCUAGCCUUAAUAUUAUCCUUUGUCUUCCCAUCUAUGUCAAACAAUGUACCAAAAAUAGCCUCUCUGAUAUUAUUUUCAGUGUGCAUCAUGUCGAUAUUGUGUGGAAGAAGGAGGUCUUUGAAGUAAGGCAGAUCCCAGAAGCAUGGCUUGUGAGUCCAGGCGUGUUUUGAAUUAUACCCCUUGAAAUACCCUGGACGCUCUGGAUCAGGCUCGAGGGCGUUUAACUGAUCCAGGAUUUGUUGGCCUGUGAACGCAGGUGGUGCCAAUUUUUUGACAACUUUACCUUUGGUAAACAACUUUACCUUUGGUAAAGUUCUUCUUGUCUUUUCUGAACUGAUGGUCAGGAUCCAGGAACUGUCUAUGCAAGUCAAAGCAAGAAUACUUCCGACCCUCCUGCAACCAAUGAAACUGAAGAGCUGCCUUGCAUUGGGGGCACGGGAACCUUCCAUGCACACACCAUCCAGAGAAUAGCGCAUACGCUGGCAAGUCAUGCAUAGAGUACAUGUACCACACAUGCAUUUUGAAGUUUUCUUUUCUAGCGGCAUCGUAUGUCUUGACCCCAUUAUCCCAAGCUUCUUCCAAUUCAUCCUUAAGCGGUUGCAGGUACACAUUCGUAUUCUUCCCCGGAUAAUUGAGCCCUGGAAUUAUCAACGUCAGAAAUAUGUUCUUUCUUUGCAUAAUCUGCCCGGGGGGGAUUGAGUAGAAUGAAAAAUACAGGCCAACAACUGUAUUGGGUUGUCGUCAUGCUGAAGGGAUUAAAACCAUCCGUGGCAGCGCAGACUCGAGGAUUCCUUGGAUCUGCCGCUUUAUCCUGAUGCAAUCCAUCGAAAUGUUUCCACGCUUCCCCAUCCGAUGUGUGUACCAUCAUCUUAUUCCCAUCCGCAUCUAGUUCGGUUCUUUUGCCCAAUUUGUGUCAUGUCAUCUGUCUGGCUGUCUCUUCGACCAUGAAAAUACGUUGAAGUCUUGGUACGANNNNNNNNNNNNNNNNNNNNNNNNNNNNNNNNNNNNNNNNNNNNNNNNNNNNNNNNNNNNNNNNNNNNNNNNNNNNNNNNNNNNNNNNNNNNNNNNNNNNCCAACUAUGAUAGAAACAAAUAAACUUAUAUGUGGAAUUCACUAUGAUAGAUUAUGGACAUUAUGCAUAAUAUGCAAACAAAAGAAAGCUUGUUAACUAGUAAAUCCAAACUAUAAACUAAGUCUUAUCGGAUUGACAAAAUUCGAUCCAAUGUGAAUUAUAAAUGAACACAAAUAAAUCAAUUCCUACUAAAUAUAAUAUUAAGUAUAAUCGGACUCUAGCUACAUUACUAAAUCAACACAAAAGAGUAGCAUGUCCUAUUCAACACUAAAACAUAUUGAACACUAAAAAAUUGUACACUAACAAAUUAAUUUCUACUAAAUAUAAUCGGAUACUACACUACUAAAACUAAUUCCACACAUACUACACUACUAAAUCAAAUGUACAAAUACACAAAAUCUACUACGCUACUUAAUCAGAUACACAAAUACAGAAAAUCCAUGUGAACGUGGGAGUAGUGACCCUAGGGGAGGGAUUAUCUUGGAUCAAAGAAAGCCUCAAAACUUACUUCGCCCAUUGGAAGAUCAAGACAUGGCUUGCGAAGCAUAUUUGGAUGACGGCAACACCAUGUUGAUCGACCGUGUACUCCAGAUCUAGCCCGAAGAACUUCUCAUGAUCCGGAGCGUGGUUAAACCAUCGUUCCUUCAACUGUUGAAGGAAAAAUGGCACCUCCGUGCUCAGGUUCGUGUACACGACACGGAGCUUCGUCGCGCCAUGCGCGACCACCUCACGAAAGAUAGUUGGCAUGGUGGAAGAAGAGAAGGGAAGAAGAGAGGAGAAGAACAGAGAGGGCGACGCGAGAGAGAAGAAGAACAGAGAGGGCGACGCGAGAGAGAAGAAGAACAGAGAAAUGGCGACUGUACGCUUCGGUUCGUGCUUUUCAUCGCCCGAAACGACGCGGGAUGCAAACCGUUUGGGCCUUUAGUCCCGGGUUGAGCCACCAACCGGGACUAANNNNNNNNNNNNNNNNNNNNNNNNNNNNNNNNNNNNNNNNNNNNNNNNNNNNNNNNNNNNNNNNNNNNNNNNNNNNNNNNNNNNNNNNNNNNNNNNNNNNGGGUCGGGCAAGGCUGCGGUGAGGGAGAGUGGAGAGAGUGUAGAGAGUGGGAGAGAGGAGGGCGCGGCGACCGUUAUCGUUAAUUAGGUGUCCAUCCACUUCGUCGUCUGCCGCAGACGGCAAAGGAAGAGAAGGCAGACGACAAAGGGGUGGGGUGGGCGCGGGUGGGGUGGGGCAAAGAGGUGGGUGAUGGCGUCAGCUUUGUCGUCUGUCUUCUCUUCCUUUGUCGUCUGUGGGCGGACGGCAAAGAGGUGGCUAAUGGAAAAUAGGUAUUUUGCCAUCAGCCACCUCUUUGCCAUCUGUUUUCCUGAAGCUGAUGGAAAAUAUGUUCUUUGCCGUGUGCUGGCUGAUGGCAAAGAUUUGGCAGACGACAAAUAAAGGAAUUCCAGUAGUGAGGGAGAUGGGGGUUUGUGGCUUCAAUUGAUUGAGGCCAAGUACCUUCGAGGCCGACCUCUCUUGGCAUGCUCUCUCGCGAAUAGUUCGCAGUUCUGGAAGUCUAUCCAGAACAUUAAGCACGAUAUUAGGUUGGGCUUGCGGAUCUCGGUGGGCGACGGGUCUGGGACCCAGUUUUGGUUAGAUCCCUGGUUGGAGGGAGAGCCUCUGCGAUUCCGUUUCCCGAGACUCUUUGCUAUUUGUGCCGACCUGCUGUCCUUGUUUCUGCAUCUGCUCUGGAAGACGGAUGGCAUGUUGCAUUCCGCCGUCCCCUUGGCCAAGCUGAGGUCCAGGACUGGGAAUUAUUAUUGGAAAUGACUCCCCUCCCGGCCUCAGCGGUUCGUGAUAGUGUCUCUUGGAGUCUUUCUCCCUCGGGAGAAUUCUCUGUUAGUUCGACCUACCUGCCGCUGUGCAGGAUGCCGGUCCUCCCGUGGCUAUCCCCACUCUGGAAGGCCCCGUUGCCCUUGAAGAUCAAGAUUUUUGUUUGGCAGCUUCUCCAAGACCGUUUACCUUCAGGGACUGAGGUGCUGAAACGCCAUGGUCCGGGUAACGACAUUUGUCCCCUGUGCCAUGUCCCAGAGACUGGCUCUCACAUUCUGUUCUCAUGCGUUGCGGCACAGGCACUAUGGUGCUUUGUACGCGAGGCUCUGGGGCCGGAGUGGGAGGCCUCUGACCUUGCAGAUUUUCUGCAGGUGCGGGCCACUCAGGUCGGCCAUAAACGCCGACUGUUUUGGAUGGUCUUCGCGGCUAUGAUGUGGACCCUCUGGACUACUCGCAAUAAGAUGGUGAUUGAGAAGGUGUUUCAGCGGCGUGCUUCUGACUCGUUCUUCAAAUUCCCUGCAUUCUUGCAGCUUUGGCAUCCGCUCGUUAGGACACGGGACCGGGACCGGCUUCAGCACUUCCUGGACGCGUUGAUGGCGGCCGCCCGACGGCUCUCCUCUCCCUUGCUUGCUGCCUAGCCUGUCCCCGUGAGGGCCUUUUUGUUUCUUCUCCUUUUCUAGGGCUGGACUGUGUUGUUGCCCCAGCGGACUAUCUUUUUAUUUCUUUGUUCGGACAUGUUGGCUGGAUUCUGGUUUGUGUGCUUUAUCUAUAAAGCGGGGCGAAAGCCUGUUUUGAGAUAAAUCUAGUUUUUGAUAUUCAUGCUUUAAAUUCGGCCAUGAAAUCUCCCAGAAUCAUUCUUUAAUUAGGAGUCAAUUAGCCACGUAUGCCCUAUUGAGAACGAUAUGCAGCUGCGUUCAAUCUGUCAUCAAAUUUAUAGUCCAUAAUCCCGCUUUAAGUAGGAGUAGUAAUGGCUCCCAAAUUCCUGCUUUAAAUUAGGCUAGAAAUCUCCCACAAUUCUUCUAUAAUUAUGAGUCAAUUAGCAGCAGCGGCACAUUCCCCCUCAUUUAUCAAAUUAUUAGCAAGUGCAGCCAUGGGCAUAAUUUUGAGAGUUAAUUUAUUCCCUUGUUAUCUCCGCAAUGCGUCGGACAAUCGUCUCAAACCAAACCCAUGAAACGCGGCUCGUCUUCGGCGUUUAUACAGGUGGUGCACUCACGCUUAUUUAUUCCCUUGUUAUCUUUUCAGUUCUUCUAUCCUUUUUUCCUCCUUCAACUGGAUUAACGUAUCCCAGUUUGUGUUUGGACUAACUGAACUGUGUCAAUGAACAUGUAUUUUUUAUAGACACGGUGCUUUCUAAAGCCGAUAAUAAUGCAUUCGUGCAACCCUUUCAUGAUGUGUCUAUUCUUCUUAUACUCAAGCCUUAAUAUGCACUAAAUUUGUCUUAAGAUGUUGCCAAACUAGUUUGCCUGCCUCAUGUGUUUACCCUCUACAUUCCCGAUUAUUCGGCUAGAAGAUAAAGGGAGCACCUCUGCGAUUGUUACGACUGAGUAAUCCACAUACGUACCUCACAUGAGUGAAGUCUAAAGCUAGGUUUCUUAAUGACAAAUUGGUCCCGCAAAGGGAAUGUGACAAUAAUUAGGUGGUUAUCACCAAGGGUUAAAAUUCACAAGCAUACACUCAAUCCGCACACAACGGAUGCUCACAAACCGUGAGAAAGGAACCUAUAAAGGAACUAUUUUCUUGGAAAUAUGUUUCUUAGUAAGUAAAAGUAAUAUAACAUAACUCCAUGAUAAUUAUCUAUCUAUUAGCACCAUAUGGCCUGGUUGCCUGGUUCUCCGAGCUGUUUACCUAUUUUACAGGUCACACAGUACGAAACACUUCCUGCUUUCUAUCAAGGGAGGCAAAAGCAGAUCGUCAGUUAAGAUAGUAUUAACACAUUAGAUGGAGAACAAAGUGAUAUAAAUACUUAGUUGCAUAAAAUCACGCAUCGGGUUGUUGAUCUAGGUUAUCUAUUAUUACACCCACGCGACAAUCUUGUUGUGACAAGCAUGCGGAGGGCAUCUAAUGCCCCAGAUGUAAUCCUUGCCAUAUUGGGAUCCUUUCCUUUUGUGGAACCAUAUUUUGAAUGUUAUGAAGUCAUCAUUUCAUGUGGAUCAUUUUAUGUCAUCAUCUUUGCAUCAUGGCAUCAUUUUUUUCUUCUUUUGCUUUGUUUCAUUCUUGUUGGUUUGCUAGCUUGCUUGUGGUGGUGUGUGAUGAUGUGGAGGUUACCAAACAAUGCUUACAAACACAUUGCUUUCAUUAUAUGUCAAAACCUUCUCCCCCUUGUUAUUUAUUUAACUUGUGUGUCAAACCUUCCUAGAACUUGUUUUAAAAAUGUUAAACAUUUAGUGUAUUAUCUUGUGAUUGAGGGGGUAUUGUCUUGGGGUUUUAAAACUCAAGUCAUGUGGGGUUUUUAUUUACAAAACAUCAUAUAAAAUCCCUGGUUUGGAUAUAAUUUAGUUGUCCUAAAAAUCAGUUUUGUAUUUUAUUUAAAUAGGGCAUAAUUCCCUCAUGUCCCCAGUGUUCUUAUUUUUAUUUUCAAAACCCUGUGUUGCUCUGGGUAUUUUGUUUUGCUGUGAGGUUUAUUUUAAAAGAAAACCCUUUUGUUUCUUCUUUCAAAGAGAUCCAGGUGGGCUGGCUCCCUCCUCUUACCUGGGUCUUGCCCUUUUUCUUCCUUUCCUUCGCGUAGCAGCCCGCUCGGCGUCCCUCUUCUUCCCCUGACGUCGUUGCUUUUCCCCUCCUUUCCGUCAGAGAGAGCGUCGUCGUGUGAGAGAGAGAGCUCCUGAUGUCGUGGCUUCACGGAUGUCGAGGCCAUUGCCCCAGCACCUAUUUAAUCCCUCGACGUGCGGGCCUCGUCCUAGGGUUCCUCUCCCUGCCGCCACCUCAUUCCCAUCUCUCUCCUUCUCCUCUGCAGGUAAGACUCCAGUGAGUUCAUAGAGAGCGCCGCUCGUCGCCGUCGUCCCUCCCCUCGUCAUCGGCGCGUCCCCGUGGAAUCCGAGCAUGCAGGGAGGAUGUCGGAUCCUCCUCGCUCCAUUCCCGGCACUGGGAAGGGGGAUCCCUCCCUCUGUCGGCCCCUCCUCGCCGUCGUCGUCUCGGGUGAAAGGAGCAGAGGGUCAGCGCCGCGUCGCCUCUUCUUCCUCUCCGUCGAGCCGCUCGCCCUCCUCUUCUUGUCAUAGGGUGAGCCUUCGACGUCUCCUCCCCCUCUCCCGUGUGUGUGUCCGCUCGUGGUGCCGGAGUUGCGCCGCCGUCGUUGUUCUGCGCGGUCGGUUACGCAGCCGCGUCGAGCCGCCGUCUUAGGGUCCCUCCACGUGGGUUAGCCACGUGAAUGGGUUCCCCAUUCCUCCCACGUCCCGCGCCGUAGCCGCCGUUCAGUUUAGAUCGCUGGAGCGUCGGCGGAGAACCUCCGUUGUUCCGGCCGUCGUGGGUGUGUGCAGUAGGAGCAGAGGGGGCUGCUCAAAAGAGCAUCUCCCCCUCUCUGUUAAGAUUCGAACGAGUAGCGUAGUGGCAACGGAGCUUGGGCAUGCGCAGCGCGUCGCGGGUUCGAUCCCCCGCAGGCCCCCUUUUUUCCUUUUCUAUAUUCGCUAGAAGCAGAGCAGUGCAGAGAAGUUAGCCUGCAUCCUUCCCCUUCUGUGUCGAGUGCCGAAGCAGUAGCAGGGUGGUGAGCGUGCAUGUGGUGGCAAUAGGAGGUUGUGGGUUCGAAACCCAGGGCCUCCCCAUUUUUUUUGUUUUUCCUUGUNNNNNNNNNNUCUAUUCUUGUAGUGUGUGUGUGUGAGCACAUGCAUGUGUGUGGGUUCGAAACCCAGGGCCUCCCCAUUUUUUUUGUUUUUCCUUGUAUUGUUUUCCUUUUUCUUUUCUUUUGCUGCAAGUAGUGUUGUUUAGUUUCUUUUAACAAAAACCAGGGGGGGUGCUUUAUUUCUUAUGAGGCCUAGAGGACAUGUGAGUGUAGGUGUGAGCACAUGAGUGCAUGUGUAUGUGUAUGAGAGUGUAUGUGUGUGGACAUGAGUGCAUGUGCAUGUGUAUGUGAGUGUGUGUGCAUGGGUGCAAAUGCACACGUGCAAGAGGGCCUAACCCUCAUGUUGCACCUAUUCUUGUAGUGUGUGUGUGAGCACAUGUAUGUGUGUGUGUGUGCUCAUGCAUGUGUGUGUGUGAGUAUGUGUGCAUAUGCACUUGUGCAUGAGGGCCUAACCCCUCAUGCUUGCCACUAUGGAGUGGUGUUGUUGUGUAUAGUGCUUGUGUGUGUGCAUGUGUAGGUGUAGAUGUGCAAAAUGUGCUAGUUUUACAUGUGAUGUUAUUCUUUUAUAGCUUAUUGGAAUCUAGGUGAUAUUUUUUCGAGCUAGCUUUGUGCCUUGAUGUUACAUGCAAGUACCCAUGUAUUACAUAUGAUUUUGGGGUAGAAUCAUCCCAGGAAUCCAUUGGUGCAAUCAGAUUUCACUUUAGAGCAACUUCAUAAAACUGUUAUUUUCUGUCAUGAUGCCAUGUUUAGUGCUUUGUAUUAGGUGGUGCCUUGACCCUUUGAGGAUGAAUCCUUGAUGUAGUGCUAGUGGGUGAACCCCUCUACAACAUGGAGUCUUUGUUUAGUUCUUAGGAAUUUUUAUGCACCUAUUGUGCCCUGUCAAAGUUGACACUUGGCUGAAACUGACAGAUUUGUGAAACCUUGUGAUUUUCACUAAGUCUGGGAAUCUGGUGUUAUUUUCUUCCCCUGUUGUCUUGAAUGAAUUAGCUCCUGUGUUGGGAAUCAGCACAUGCAACAAACUAAAGUUUGUGAGAUUUUAUGUUUGUUUAGCUCCCUGUUAAAUUUCAUGCUGAUAUACUUUCUGUAGAUAUCAUUUUGAAGGCUGCCAAAAUGCUUCAGAGCAUAAGCAACCGGUGAAAAUAUGUGAUUUUCACUAAGUCCCAGAAUCUGUGAUAUUUUGUCCAAGUUUGUGUCUAUAGAUCUGAUCAUGGGUGAUUCCUUUGUAUUAACUUCUUGUUCAGGGUUGUAGAGAUUUUGGAUGGCUUCUGCCUCAUAUCUUGUUUGGCUUUUUUAGAUGGCUUUAGCUACUUUAAAUAUUGUAGACAAACUGUUGUGAUGCUGUUGAAAACAAAUUGCAUGUUUUUGUUGAUUUGAAGCUUGUGUGGGCAUUAUUGUUGGUGUGGUGUGUUCCCAUGCACCACCCCACUUAUAUUUUGUUGUUGAUCAUGUGGCAACCUGGUUACAACAGGGGAGUGCCAUUGGAGUGUGUUUGUGGCUGAUUUGAACCGUAGGUCUCCAUAACUUGUUUCGUAGUUUCCGGUUGAUCCCUAACUCCGUUCUCUACGUUCUUUAUAUGUUUUUGCAUCGUUUUCUCGUGAUGCACAUGUUCAUGCCAUAUUCAUGCAUGUCAAGAUAACUUAAUAUGAGGUUCUGUCCAGUAUUCAAUUAACUCAACUAAUGCAUAUGAAAGUGACUAGAAUAGUGAUGCAUGCUUCCUUCUUCACACAUGCAUCAUAUUGCUUAUUGCAUCAUGUUGUGUUGGUGUUCAUUGACUGUUAUCUUAUCUUGGGUAGCAUCGGGAUCAGAUAGCGAGUACGUGGAUUCUAGAGAGUACGUGCAGGAAGAUCCAGAGCAGUUCCAAGCUGAAGACAUCACAGGCAAGAUGACGUGACCUUGAUACCGUAUCUAGCUUUGUUAUGCUUAGAAUCACGUUUCCUUCGUUACAUGCUCGCUGCCUACCACUUGAUAUAAUGCCACUUGUCUUUGCCAUGAACCCCAAACACCUCCCUCUCCUAGCUAAUGUUGUUUGGCUAAGUAGGCUUGCUAAACCUCUAAUGUGUAGCUUUGCUAGUUGCAGGUGCCAGUUGUCUCAUGUGAUAACAUGAGUAUAUUGAUAUCAUUGUGUUUAAACUGCUAUUUAAUUAAUGCACCUAUAUACUUGGUAAAUAACAGAAGGCCUAGCCUUUUGCCGGGUGAUUUGUUCCGUUGUUGCCGCCUUAGUUUCGGUUACCGGUGUUUGAUUCCAUAACUGAUUGCUUCUAACACGUUCGGGGUUGUUAUGGGGACCCUCUUGAUAAAUCAUGUAGUGUUAAGGCUUGUCCGGCAGGACCCAACAUUGGUUUUAAUCUGCUAAUCACCUAAUAACAAUUUGCAUAGGGAAUAGGUACCCCGAGGAUUUAAUCAACAACCCGGUCCAGUGCUCCUCAUGAGUGUUGGUCCAACCCAGAGCAACUUAUUACGCUCCCCGGGGCAACUCGGUGUUUUGGCGUGGUAACCAUCGCUCAUCCGUCGUGUCCUGAGACUGAGAUAUGCGGCUCUUAUCGGGGUGGUCGACACAACGGGAGGUCCUGCUAGAUUUGUCUUACCUUAGCGAUAUAUCUUGCGUAUAGGAAUCCCGGUGAAACUUUGGGUCUCCUUAAAGUUGAGGUUUUCCUCUAAGGAAUCCAACGAGAUCACGAGAUUCGUGAUAGAGGAUUACUUUGCGGCCCGUGGGAGUUUGUAAUGGAGUAGUUGGAGCACCCAUGCAGGGUAUAAAUCUUUCACAAAGCCGUGCCCGCGGUUAUGUGGCAAGUGUGGAUAUUUGUUAACAUCCGGUUCUAGACAACUUGAAGUAACUCUAAUAAAACUGCCGACUGUGUGCGUAACCGUGGCUGUCUUCUUCGGAGAUCGUUCUCCGAUCGAGAACACGGUGGGGUUAUGUUUGACGUGGGUAGGUGUUCAGGAUCACUUAGUGAUCAAUCUAGUCUUCGAUCGCUCGCGUAGUCCACCAUAUAAUUACUCUGAUCAUCGUAAGUUAGCCACCAUAUAUGCUUAGGUUGCUGCAAACCCAUACACUAAACCUUCCUCACCUAAUAACUUGACUAGAUUCAGUACCAAGGUCAUUAGAUUGAUGAAUCCCCGUGGCUCAUAGAUUACUACAAACCCCAACAGGUACAGGUACGCCCGACGCAGGAGAUCCUGAUGACAACCAAUUGAAGUGGGAGUUCGAUGAGGACUCUGGCCGUCUGUAUGUGAACUAUCCGGAAGAUUGAGGUCGUGGUCGUGAUCGUGGGCUAGCAUACAGGAUGUGUUAGAUCAUCUGUUUUCUGUUUAAGUCCGUAGCUGGACCUGCUGCUACUCUGAAUAAUGUGUGUGUGUAAGCUAUAUGAUAUAUUCUUAACAAAUGGCAAGUGUAUGUCCUACUUGUUAAUCUUUAAUUAUGUAUUGUGAUGAUUAUCCCGUUUGCGAAACGCAUAGAUGCGCCCCUUUCCCCUUUUGAGGCCUCGUCCCCAAAUAAGGAAAGGGUCGCAUCUUAGUCGUUACAGGGCAUUACUUGGUCAUAAACUAGGUGAAGAGGCACCUCCUAACCAUCAGGCCCCUUCGGCCCUACUCGUGCCAGUUCUUCAGGAUUAAGCUUCGUAAACCUUGUCUUCACCAUUGCCCAUGCCUCUCGAGCACCUUCCUGGCAGGCCGAUGUUUUCCAAAAUUCAAAUCGGCGCCGAGCUCCUUUAAAGCACUCAACCAGUUCUGGCAUCCUUUCUGGAGGCUUCUUGAUCGGCCAUAACGCCUUCAGCAUGCUCUUCAUCGCUUUUCGCCCGCGCUCAUAAGCUAUGGACAAUUCCUUUAGAAAGUCACCACUAAACGAACUGGCUUCUUCCUCAUGACGCCCAGUCACGAGUGCUAUACCAAGGAAAUGGAAUUUUUGUUAAUAUCAUAUGUUAUAUUUGUAUAUUUACAAAGUUCGCUAUAUUACUUACCAAACAUUCCAUCCUUUAAUCUCUUGUUUUCUUCGGUGACUUGUGCCAGCCGAGUCUUUAGAGUCACAAAUUGGCUUAUCUGUUCUUGUUUUUCCGUCUUAAGCAUUUUAUUUUCAUCAACACUUCGGAAUAACGACUUGUAGGUGGCCUGAUUUUGAGAUUCGGCGUAUCUUUGUGAUUCUCUCGCCGCUUCUAGAUUUUUUUAGUUAACCUAUAGAUUCGGCUACUGCAAAAUAUACUUUCAUUUAAGGACAAUAGGACAACCAUCCAUGUGAGUUCAAAAUAAAAAACUCUCACCAUGUGCUUGUCUCGUGUAAUUCCUCACUUGCUCUAGUUCGGCUUUAACAACCUCGAGUUAUGUUCGGUAUGUCCCAAUCUCUUGGGAUAACUCCUUAUUCUUGUCCCUCGCAGCCUAAAGAGCACGUUGAGAGUUGUGUUUAGACCCUCAGAUCGUCCAUUCUGCCCAAUCAAAGAUCGGGGGCUAGUGGCUUGGGAUUUGUACACAACGGCAGAAUUUUAAACGCAUACCUUAAGGCUUGUUGACAUAUGGUUGUCUACUCCUUCAAGUCCUGAUUAGGCGGCUCUGAGGUGCGGGUCUACCAAACUCAAGCCGUUAAACUCGUGUUCGGAAAAUUCAGGAUGACGCAAGGAUUCUUUCCGACGGCGAUGGUUAAUUACGCUCUCCAUUUUGGAGUUGGUAACCAAAACCUCAUCAUGGUCCCCAGUGGACUGACCUGCAAGAGGGACCUCCGCGUUGUCCACUGUUGUUGAUGGGGGUGGAUGUGUUCGAUCCUACAAAAUAUGGCGACAGAUGUGAAUAUUUGUCGUUUAUUGGAAAAGCAAUGCUCGUAUUAAAAUUGUUACCUCUUGGCGAGGGGAGCAGCUGGAAUAGUCCUGGUAGAUGCUUCACGUUUAGAGGACCGUCCAUUGUUCGGCACGGGUUCGACAUACCCUACAAUAAUAGGUGCCCGACACAUGGAACGAUGACCCGUUGUAACAUGAGGGGAUGUUGUGGCACACGGAUGACCUUUUCGAGAAGGAGCUUUCUUCUUUUCCUUGAUCAACGGAGGAGGUAUCUUGGGAUAAUCGGCUACGAGGGUGGUCUCAGUGUCGUUAAUGCUCAUCUGAAAGAAGAACCCAUUUUCAAAGAUAAUCGACGCAUCCGGAUCAUCAUGGAAACCGGGGUUGUCGUCCUUGACAUAGUUCUCUGGCAGAGGAGGGAGUUGAUUUUCUCUACCACGCGCCUCCAUUCCUAUUUGAAUCUUUUUCCAAGGAUUUAGUCACACAAGGGACACUAUAAAAAUCUGAAUUAGGGAAGUUAAGCUAUACUGACCCAUUCGAUGGGGUUAUGAUUAGAAUAGUCGUCCUUGGUGUUCUAACUGAUAAAGUCUUCCUUUUCUCCUUUAUAGGGGUCCACCAAUACGACACCCAAUGCCGCUGGGCUACCCGGACCAUCCCGCUUGUAUCGAGUGGCAUCGCUUGAACCAUUGAAUUGCCACAGUAGAUGGGACCUUUGUUGGAUAGGUCAAACACACCAUCUUAUGGCCUCGUCCAUUACAUCAAUCAUAGUAAGUCGGAAAUGUGUCAACAGUUUUUUCCUUGGCAACCAACUGUCUCACCUCUGCGCCAUCUUCUUUAUAAGGGCUUCUUGGACGCUAGUUGAACCACUUAUUAAGAUGAGCGGUUGAGAAUUCGAGCAGACCCCUUCAGACAGGGUCAAAUAAAGGCACGUCUUUGAUAUAUAACCACUAUGACGUCCACUCUUCAGAAGCUGCCCUCGGGGUCCCUACCGGAUACCCAGUCCCAGCUAUGCGCCAUACUUCGGCUCCUCCAACUUCACAAAUAGUCCCACCCUUAGUUCGGGGGACGCGACAUGAAAAUUUCUUCCACAAUUCAAAGUGGGUUUCUCAACCCAGGAACAUCUCAUAGAGAGCGAUGAACCCCGCGAUGUGGAGGAUGGAUCCGGGGGUAAGCUGAUGAAGUUCGAUACCGUAAUACUCCAAGAGGUCGCGUAGAAAGGGGUGGAUACGGAAGCCCAUGCCUCGUAAGAGGAACAAAACGAAGUAUACCCUCUUCAUCGUGUUGGACAUGGGGAAUCUCUCUGCAAAGGCCUCGCCAUUGGCGGAGGUUAGCACGGGGCGAGAGGGUGCUAGAUUUGAGUCAGGCAAAUACCCUUGCACCUCAAGCUCGCUUAGACGGAGGCGUGAGACUGAGCAACUAGCCCAAUCUCCUGGGAGAGAGCCAUGAGGGCGCGAGGAUGAGCCUGGAGAAGACACCAUGUCUUUGUUUCUUUGGUGUUCUUCUCCACGUGUUGGAGGGGAUGGGGAGCGUUGCUGGGGGCAUGCGUGGGUUGUAUGAUAAGUAACUUGCCUUUUUUUCUUUGGGAAGGAACCACUUAUUUUCAUUGGCACACAUGAAUCGAGCAGUUGGUUAACCCCGCGGUAAGAAAAUAUUCAUUUUUGUGGGCUCGAUGAUUUUUCAUGAGUCGCAGAUGAAGGACAAUGCGGAAUGGGAUCAACCAAGUAUAAGGUGGAACUCGCCUCACAAGUCAAAGAUCGCAGAAACAUGAAGAUGGCGAUCCUAGACAACUGCAAUAGAGGUUAGUUCGGGGGCUACUAAGGUAGUCUGGGACUAAGGGGUCCUCGGGUCGUGUGUCUAUUCUCAUGAGCCGGACUCCCGGGCUUGUUCGGUCAUCAUUGGAAGUAUCGAAAUCAAGAUGGACUCUUCCGAUGACUUGACAUACGAUCCAAGGCAACAUAGUAAUCGACAUGUUCAUUCUCUAUUGUAGCCGACUUUGUGUAACUCUGGCACCCCUGGUAUCUAUAUAAAUGAGGGGCUCAUAGUUCAUGGGAUACAUUAAGGUCAUUACAAUUAGGGUUCAGACCACUACAUCUGGUCUGGAAGUAGAUCAACUUUGUACUCUGUACUACUCCAUCAUCUCCUCGAGCCCCUCGCAUUGGCGCUUGUCGUGGGUGUGGAGGGAGUCCUCCAUCACGUGCCGCAUAUGCUCCCCCUCAUCAUCAGUUAUAGGGACUGGUUGGGGUGGCGACGACAGUGAUGGGAUCAACGUGAACCUGGACGACCGACAAAGUAUGACUGCCGCCGCACGUCGUGUUUAUCGCGGAACCAAGUAUCCCAUCGAGUUGAGUCUAUGGCAUACCGGUGGUCGUUGACGAGGUCGAGCGGUAGGUGGGUGCGACGGCGGCGGAUCUCCUUGCGGAGGGCUCGGUCGCUCAUCGGGACCGGUGGGAUCGACACCCGAUAUGCGAAGAGGUCUGAGUUAUUGAGGAGGUGCACGUUACUCCUCGAGAACAGUGAGCCCGUCUCCUAAUACCUCUCGUAGAUCUCAGCCUUCACGUACGAUCGCAUGCGAGUAGCGGCCGCCGCCGACGAGAUGUGAAAUGAUGGGGGUGGAGGAGGUGGGGAUGGAGGAGGAGCGGCGGCCGAAGGAAGACCCGACCGCGUGGUCGUGCUUCCUCUUGCGGCCGAGGAUCCGGUGCCAACCCAUUUCGCUGGCGGUGAGGUGGAGAAGAGUAGGCGUCGGAGCUAGGGUUUGGCACGAACGUGUCGGCUUGAAAGAGGUCCAGAGUUUCCACAUUAAGAAAGACAGCGACUCGAGGCGUCAAAAAUACGAAUGCUCAUGCGAGUUGGGUCUUCUUGUCACAUCCGGACGAUUUGGGGGUGUACGUUAGAGUAACCCUUAGCCGAUCCAAAGAAAAGAAAAAAAAAUCGACGUCCGUGUUAACCUGAGAAAAUGCACCGUCAAGGCACAGCAAGACACGUGCACUCCACUGCAUGCCUGCCCUCCCCUCCCCUCAAGGUGCCUUUAUCCUUCUUCCCCUUCCCCUUCCCCUUCCCCCUCCCCAUUAUUUUCGCUAAAUGGCCCCUUCACAUUAUCCUGAACUGAGUAUGUAGAUACGCGCAGACAUGGAUCUGGAACCGGAGCGGAUACCCAUCCGGGUCCAGAUCUGGACCGACCCCUUCUCCCGCUGGCGACGAGCCCCUAGCUAGCUAUCUCGGACCAGUCCGGCUGCGAGAGGCCACCGGCGGCAUGGCUGCGUGCGGCGGCAAGGCCGAGUGCAAUGCGAGCGCUCUACUCGUAUCUGUCCGAAUCCUGUCGCCACGCCCGUCCCGCUCGCCGUGGCCGCUGAUCGCGCGCGUUUGCUGGGGCCGCGUCCCUCCCCGGACGGCGGCGAUGAUGGAGGGAGCCGCCGGCGCCGGCCAAACCCCCGAACGGCGGCCGCUCCUCGGGGCCAACUCUCGCCGCGCCGGACCGCGCAUCGGCUUGGAGGCCCCUCGGGGCUGCN
RNAcentral lists this long non-coding RNA (119640 nucleotides) under Hordeum vulgare. Its description in RNAcentral is "long non-coding RNA (HVUL_LNC020567)". The stretch from base 86133 to 86248 matches the Rfam family "MIR1120/MIR1122 microRNA precursor family". The record is from RNAcentral. Lineage: Eukaryota; Viridiplantae; Streptophyta; Magnoliopsida; Poales; Poaceae.